RNAcentral lists this long non-coding RNA (97007 nucleotides) under Zea mays. RNAcentral describes it as "long non-coding RNA (ZMAY_LNC002050)". The record is from RNAcentral. Lineage: Eukaryota; Viridiplantae; Streptophyta; Magnoliopsida; Poales; Poaceae.
UGUCUUGCAUACAUAGCUCAUGUGUAUACCUUUGAUCAUCUCUUUUAUAUGCCAUGACUAAUGUGUUUUCAAGUAUAUUUCAAACCAAGUCAUAGGUAUAUUGAAAGGGAAUUGGAGUCUUCGGCGAAAACAAGGCUUCCACUCCGCUUCAUCAACUCAUUCAUCCUUCGCCGUCGCUCCGAGCACCUCACCGUUUUUUGGUAUAAUCUUCAAUCAUAUUAUUUGUUUGCCAAAGAGGGAGAAAGUAGUUCAUAAAAGGGCUCUAAUGAUUCUGUUUUUGGCGAUUCAUGCCAAAGGGGAGAGAGUAUGAGCCCAAAGCAAAAGGACCGCACCACCACCAAAUUUUAAAACUUAUGAUUUUCAAAUUGGUAUCUCAUUGUGUUCAAAAGGGGGAGAAAGUAGUAUUUUCAACAUUGAUGUCUUAAAACCCUCUUGAACACUAAGAGGAGGAUUUUAUUGAAGGGAAGUUUUGUUUAGUCAAAGGAAAAAGCAUUUGAAACAGGGGGGAAAUUUUUCAAAUCUUAUAAAUGCUUCUCAAAAUUCUUAUUCAUUUAUCUUUGACUAUUUGCAAAAGGACUUUGAAAAGAUUUUCCAAAAACUUUACAAAAACAAAACAUGUGGUGCAAGCGUGGUCCAAAAUGUUAAAAAUAAAAAGAAACAAUCCAUGCAUAUCUUAUGAAUUUCUAUUGGCUCAAUUCUAAGUAACCUUUGCACUUACAAAUAUGCAAACUAGUUCAAUUAUGCACUUCUAUACUUGCUUUGGUUUGUGUUGGCAUCAAUCACCAAAAAGGGGGAGAUUGAAAGGGAAUUAGGCUUACACCUAUUUCCUAAUUGAUUUUGGUGGUUGAAUUGCCCAAACACAAAUAAUUGGACUAACUAGUUUGCCCUAGUCUAUAAGUUCUACAGGUGCCAAAGGUUCACAAAAAGUCAAUAAAAAGACCAAGAAUGGGUUCAAACAAAAAGAGCAAGGGACAACCGAAGGCUGCCCUGGUCUAGCACACCGGACUGUCCGGUGCACCAGGGGACUCCAAGCUGAACUCUUCACCUUCGGGAAAUCUCAUAGGAGCUUCACUAAUUCACCGGACUGUCUGGUGCCCCAGGGGAGAGCGACUCUGAACUCGCCAGCUUCAGGAAUCUGCUCCGCUAUAAUUCACUGGACUAUCCGGUGUGACAGCAGAGCAACGGCUACUUCCCGCACAACGGUCGACUGCAAUACAUUAAAUGCGCGCCAGCGCGCGCAGAGGAGCAGGGCACGCGCGGGUGGCACACCGGAUAGCCUACAGGGCCUGUCCGGUGCACCACCGGACAGCCAGGCGGGCCCACAAGACAGAGCUCCAACGGUCGAACCCUAACGGUCUGCUGACGUGGCUGGCGCACCGGACAGUGUCCGGUGGCGCACCGGACUGUCCGGUGCGCCAUGCGACUGCAGCCUUCCAACGACUACUUUGUGGUGGUUGGGGCUAUAAAUACCCCAACCACCCCACAUUCAUGGCAUCCAAGUUUUCCACCUUCCAACUACUUACAAGAGCUCUAGCAUUCAAUUCUAGACACACCAAAGAGAUCAAAUCCUCUCCCAAUCCCACUCAAAGCUUUAGUGAUUAGAGAGAGUGAUUGUUGUGUUCAUUUGAGCUCUUGCGCUUGGAUUGCUUCUUUUUCUCAUUCUUUCUUGCGAUCAUCUCAAUUGUAAUCAAGGCAAGAGACACCAAUUGUGUGGUGGUCCAUGCGGGGAAGUUUGGUUCCCGUUUGAUUGAGAAGAGAAGCUCACUCGGUCGGAGGGACCGUUUGAGAGAGGGAAAGGGUUGAAAGAGACCCGGUCUUUGUUACCACCUCAACGGGGAGUAGGUUUGAGAGAACCGAACCUCGGUAAAACAAAUCCUUGUGUCUCACUUCUUUAUUCGCUUGCGAUUUGUUUUUACGCCCUCUCUCGGACUCGCAUUAUAUUUCUAACGCUAACCCGGCUUGUAGUUGCGAUUAACUUUGUAAAUUUCAGUUUCACCCUAUUCACCCCCCCUCUAGGCGACUUUCACUAACCGUCAAGGAAGGGUCGGCCUUGCCUCAGCAAAGCCCGACCCUCCCUCGGGGGCUAGAAGGGGGAAACCCCCUCUGCUUCAAAAUUUUCCUCAGAAAAAUUUUCUACCAAAACAACUUUUGUGCUUUCGACUUCCGUAUCGAUAGCGGGAUCCUGAGAACGACGAGAGUACACGUAAGCGGCAAGGCCGACCGAGCCGAGGAACUCCUACGCCUUCGGGAUACGAAUACCUCACUCAUCACCUUCCGCGAGAAGUAACUCACGCUCGGAUAAGCGAUCCUGCUACCGAACAAGUCCUAACACUCAGGUAGAAAACGACUUUCGCGCCUUCUUGACUGUACCAAUAAUGGAAUCCUUCGACAAAAUGAGAGCGCACGUAAGUGGCAAGGUCGUCCGAGCCAAGGGACUCCUAUGCCUCUGGGAUACGGAUACCUCACUCAUCACCUUCCGCGAAAAGUAACUCUCAUUCGGAUAGACGAUUCUGCUAUUGACAGAGAAGUCGUGAUGCUCGAAACAAGAGGAGAGAAGACGUAGCUUUUUAAACACGAUGAUCAAGUGUUUAGGCCUCGGCGACCGUGAAAAAGCAUGCGCAUGCUACAGACAAAAUGUUCCUGCAGGUUCGGGCAUCGGCAGGGGGAGCAGCAGCACCCUCGGCGUUGUUUCCACCCUCGGCGGAACCUGGCCCGGCCUCGGACGGCGACCCAGGCAAAAGGACCUCCACCUAAAGGAGGACGCCAGCACCGCGCCGGCAGACGUCUUGGCCAAGCUCCAGCGGCUACUACCACAUCUUCCUCGGCCUGGGAAGCCGCCAUCUCCCGGGCCGACGAAGUCUCUUUCCGUGCCGACUCCGCGUCUGUCCGCGCUAACACCGCUGCCUCUGGCUCUGGCUCAUCGCAGAGCAGCCGAGGGUUCCAAAAACUGAGCAAGAGAAGCCAAGAGCGGCAAGGCUGACAGAGCCGAGGGACUCCUACGCCUCUGGGAUACAGACACCUCACUCUUCACCUUCCGCGAAAGGCAACCGACGCUCGGUUAAGUGGUUCGGCUAGCCAACAAGCAAGUCCCAGUGCUUGGAAUGAGGAAGACACACAGCUUCAUUUUCGAAUACCCAAAUGUUCAGGCCUCGACAGCCACAAAGAACAAGCACAUACACUUGGGGGUAACUAUGCUACAUAGACUUAGACGUCGGUAGAACCCUCGGCGGUUCUCCCGACCUACGACAAAUGUCUAAGUGCUUGAAGCGGUUACAUUGUGCUCCGGCAAAAACCCGGUAUAUCUCCUUACAAACGGGACUCUGGUUCCGCUCCCACGGGUAUGAACUACCUCCACACCAGAGGGCCUACGGGACAACAAAUUCCAGGUGGCUCGCCGGCGACCACUACGCCAGCAGCGACAACGACACCCGCUUCGGGCGGCUAAACAGCAGCAGCGAUGACCUCAGGGCCGACGCUGCUGUGACGAGGUCCUCGCCCGCGUCUCCGCUCGAGGGGCGAGGACAAGCCAUCAAAGCCAAAGAGCCGGGGGUCCGGCCACAGCUGGCACCGAUGGUCUCGUCGGCGGAGAAACCUUCUCCGGCUGCCACCACCUCAACACCGAUGACAGCGGCCACCUGCGCGCCAGCACCACGCCGACGAAUGGCGGACGCCCCAGCCUGCACCGGCAGAUCCCCACUCAGGUCCUUGCGGACGGGCAGGCCUCGACCUCCGCGCGGAGGCAUCGUGCCGGAGUGAGGACAAGAUAAUCCAAGAACACGAACGUCGCCCAUGCGGCGUACGGCGUCUUGGACGGUGAAAGGGAAAUGUGCCCUUGGGCCAUUUCUAAGUAUUUUGGUGAUUGAGUGCCAACACAAGUGCUUAAAUGUGAAUUCAUGCUUAUGGGUGGACAAAGUGCAAAACAAGAGCAAAGGUAUGUUUCUAAGUCUUAGGUGCUGUUUGGUUCAAGAAAUGUAACGCAAAGGGUAAUGGUAAUGGUUUACAUUCGAUUACUGUCGGUAACAAGUUUAAAUAGUGCGGUAUCAAUUUUUAGUAUGGUAUCUGAUUACAGUGGGACUAAAACAAACAUGAUUUAACGUUAUCACUUACCCAUUACGUUACAAAUAUCUGAACCAAACGGUACCUUAGUACAUUGGUUUUGUGUACUAAUAUACUUGUCUAAGUAUUAGAAACAGAGAGAAGAAGAAAAGAGAAGAGCUGGCUGUGUACAGCCAAAAGGCUGGUUCGGUCUGGGGCACCGGACUGUCCGGUGGUGCACCGGACAGUGUCCGGUGCGCCAGGCUGACUCGGCGCGAAGUGGCCGCUCUCGGGAAUUCGUCCAACGGCGUACGGCUAAAAUUCACUGGACUGUCCGGUGUGCACCGGGCUGUCCGGUGAGCCAACGGUCGGCCGGGCCAACGGUCGGCCGCGGAUUCUGCGCGCGACACGUGGCCGGGCCAACGGUCGGAAGGGAGCACCGGACUGUCCGGUGUGCACCGGACAUGUCCGGUGCGCCAACGGCUCUCUGGCCGCCAACGGUCGGCUUCGCCAUUUAAGGAAGGAAAUCGGGCACCGGACAGUGUCCGGUGUGCACCGGACUGUCUGGUGCGCCCAAUGACAGAAGGCAAGAAUGGCCUUCCAGAUUUGCUCUCAACGGCUCCUAGCUGCCUUGGGGCUAUAAAAGGGACCCCUAGGCGCAUGGAGGAGAUAACCAAGCAACCUUAGAGCAUUCUUGAUCAUCCACACUCAGUCCUUGCGCAUUCGUUUGUCAUUCUCAGUGAUUCGAGCUCCGUUCUAGUGAGAACUUUGAGAUAGUCUUUUGAGCUCGAUUCUUGGCCGUGUGUGUGCGCAUUUUGCUGUGGAUUUGUGUGUGUUUCUUCUCUCCCUUACUCCGUGCUUCUUUGUGAACUUCAAGUGUAAGGGCGAGAGACUCCAAGUUGUGGAGAUUCCUCGCAAACGCGAUAAGAAAAGAAAAGCAUAACACUGUGGUAUUCAAGUUGAUCAUUGGAUCACUUGAGAGGAGUUGAGUGCAACUCUCGUCCGUUGGGACGCCACAACGUGGAGUAGGCAAGCGUUGGUCUUGGCCGAACCACGGGAUAAACCACUGCGUCAACUCUGUGUUUGAUCUCUUGUGGUAUUGUGUUUUGUUGAGACUCAUCUCUAGCCACUUGGUGAUUAUUGUGCUAACAUUUAACCAAGUUUUGUGGCUUAAGUUUUUAAGUUUCACAGGAUCACCUAUUCACCCCCCCCUCUAGGUGCUCUCAAUUGGUAUCAGAGCCGUUCUCUUCAAGAAGGGACUAAUCGCCCAAAGAGAUGGAUCCUAAGGGGAAGGGAAUCGUGAUCAACGACAAGGAGAAGGAGUCCUUCGUCAACGAGCCGAAGGAUGACAAGCCCACUGACUCGGGCUCGGGCCACAAGCGCAAAGACGGGAAGAAGAAGAAGACAAGGCGCAUCAAGGAGAUCGUCUACUACGACGAUGGCGAUGAGUCUACUUCUUCCCAAAAGGACGACGACAACGACUACAGGAAGACGGUCAAUUCGAACUUUUCAUUUGAUUAUUCUCGUAUUCCACAUAGUUCGAAUUCGCAUUUGCUUUCCAUUCCUCUUGGCAAACCUCCACACUUCGAUGGGGAAGACUACGGAUUUUGGAGUCACAAAAUGCGUAGUCACUUAUUCUCUCUCCAUCCAAGCAUAUGGGAGAUUGUAGAGAAUGGAAUGAAAUUUGAUAGCUCGGAUAGCCCUAUGCUUAUAAAUGAACAAAUCCAUAGAAAUGCACAAGCUACUACUGUUCUAUUAGCAUCUUUGUGCAGGGAAGAGUACAAUAAGGUGAGCGGCUUGGACAACGCCAAGCAGAUAUGGGACACCCUCAAAAUCUCUCACGAGGGGAACGACAUCACCAUGCUCACUAAAAUGGAGUUGGUGGAGGGCCAGCUUGGACGAUUCGCAAUGAUAAGGGGAGAAGAGCCAACCCAAACUUACAACCGGCUCAAGACCCUUAUCAACAAAAUAAGGAGCUACGGAAGCACUCGAUGGACGGACCACGACGUCGUUCGCCUAAUGCUAAGGUCCUUUACCGUUCUUGAUCCUCAUCUCGUAAACAAUAUUCGUGAGAAUCCCAGGUACACGAUGAUGACGCCCGAGGAGGUACUCGGAAAAUUCGUAAGCGGGCGAAUGAUGAUCAAGGAGGCGAGAUACGUCGACGACGCUCUAAACGGUCCAAUCAAUGAGCCUCAACCUCUUGCUCUCAAGGCAACAAGAAGCAAGGAAACGCUACCUAGCAAGGUGGCACAAAUUGAGGCGGCCGGACUUAAUGAUGAAGAAAUGGCUCUCAUCAUCAAGAGAUUCAAGACUGCACUAAAAGGCCGCAAGGGGCAACCAAGCAAGACCAAGACAAAGGGGAAACGCUCAUGCUUCAAAUGUGGUAAGCUUGGUCAUUUUAUUGCUAACUGUCCCGACAAUGAUAGUGAUCAGGAUCAAGGGAACAAGAGGGAGAAGAAGAAGAACUAUAAGAAGGCAAAGGGCGAGGCGCAUCUAGGCAAGGAGUGGGACUCGGACUGCUCCUCUUCCGACUCCGACAAUGAAGGAUUCGCCGCCACCACCUUCAACAAGUCAUCCCUCUUCCCCAACGAGCAUCACACAUGCCUUAUGGCAAGGGAGAAGAAGGUGAGUACUCAAGACUCCACUUAUGCUUCUUCUAGUGAUAAUGAGUCUAGUGAUGAUGAUGACAUAGAUUAUUCAUGCUUGUUCAAGGGCUUAGAUAGAUCUAAGAUAGAUAAAAUUAAUGAAUUGAUUGAUGCCUUGAAUGAUAAGAAUAGGCUUUUAGAAAAGCAAGAGGAUUUGUUGUAUAAAGAACAUGACAAAUUUGUAGAAGCACAAAAAACACUUGCAUUAGAGAUUAAGAGAAAUGAAAUGCUUUCUUUUGAACUAUCUACUUGUCAUGAAACCAUUUCUACUUUAAAUGGUGUCAACAAUGAUUUAAAUGCUAAAUUAGAAGUAGCAAAUAAAUCUAAUUCUUGUGUAGAACAUGUUGUAAUUUGUACUAGGUGUAAAGAUUUUGACAUUGAUGCUUGUAGUGAACACCUAGUUUCAAUUUCCAAGCUUAAUGAUGAGUUGGCUAGUCUUAAUGCUCAACUUAAGACUAGCAAGAAUGAUUUCGAUAAGCUAAAAUUUGCAAGGGAUGCCUACACGAUUGGUAGACACCCCUCAAUUAAGGAUGGACUUGGCUUCAAGAGGGAAGCCAAGAACUUAACAAGCCAUAAGGCUCCUAUCUCCGCCAAGGAGAAAGGGAAGGCUCCUAUGGCUAGUAGUACUAAAAGGAACCAUGCUUUUAUGUAUCAUGAUAGGAGACAAACUAGAAAUGCUUAUAGGAGUUAUAAUGCUUAUGAUGAUUUUGACUCUCAUGCCAUGUUUGCUUCUAGUUCUUCCUAUAUGCAUGGUAGAAAUAUGUCUAGGAGAAAUGCUAUUCAUCAUGUGCCUAGAAAGAAUAUUAUUCAUGCUCCUAGGAAAGUAGUGAAUGAACCCUCUACAAUUUAUUGUGCUUUAAAUGCUUCCUUUGCUAUUUGUAGAAAGGAUAGGAAAAUUGUUGCCAGGAAGUUAGGGGCAAAAUGCAAGGGAGACAAAACUUGCAUUUGGGUCCCUAAGGAUAUUUGCACUAACCUUGUAGGACCCAACAAGAGUUGGGUACCUAAGUCCCAAGCCUAAAUUUGCCUUGCAGGUUUAUGCAUCCGGGGGUUCAAGCUGGAUUAUCGACAGCGGAUGCACAAACCAUAUGACGGGGGAGAAGAAGAUGUUCACCUCCUACGUCAAGAACAAGGAUUUCCAAGAUUCAAUUAUAUUCGGUGAUGGGAAUCAAGGCAAGGUAAAAGGGUUAGGUAAAAUUGCAAUUUCUAAUGAGCACUCUAUCUCUAAUGUGUUUUUAGUAGAGUCUCUUGGAUAUAAUUUGCUAUCUGUUAGUCAAUUAUGCAAUAUGGGAUAUAACUGUCUAUUCACAAAUGUAGAUGUGUCUGUCUUUAGAAGGUGUGAUGGUUCACUAGCAUUUAAGGGUGUACUAGACGGCAAGCUUUAUUUAGUUGAUUUUGCAAAAGAGGAGGCCGGUCUAGAUGCAUGCUUAAUUGCUAAGACUGGCAUGGGCUGGCUGUGGCAUCGCCGCUUGGCACAUGUGGGGAUGAAGAACCUUCACAAGCUUCUAAAGGGAGAACACGUGAUAGGUUUGACUAAUGUGCAUUUCGAAAAAGAUAGACCUUGUGCAGCUUGUCAAGCAGGUAAACAAGUGGGAGGAGCGCAUCACAGCAAGAAUGUGAUGACCACUUCAAGACCCCUGGAGUUACUACAUAUGGACCUCUUCGGACCCGUCGCCUAUCUAAGCAUAGGAGGAAGUAAGUAUGGUCUAGUUAUUGUUGAUGACUUUUCCCGCUUCACUUGGGUAUUCUUUUUGCAGGAUAAAUCUGAAACUCAAGGGACCCUCAAGCGCUUCCUAAGGAGAGCUCAAAAUGAGUUUGAGCUCAAGGUGAAGAAGAUAAGGAGCGACAACGGGUCCAAGUUCAAGAACCUUCAAGUGGAGGAGUUCCUUGAGGAGGAAGGGAUCAAGCACGAGUUCUCCGCUCCCUACACACCACAGCAAAAUGGUGUGGUAGAGAGGAAGAACAGGACACUCAUUGAUAUGGCGAGGACGAUGCUUGUAGAGUUCAAGACCCCCGAGUGCUUUUGGUCGGAAGCCGUGAACACGGCUUGUCACGCCAUCAACAGGGUCUACCUUCACCGCCUCCUCAAGAAGACGUCGUAUGAGCUUCUAACCGAUAACAAACCCAAUGUAUCUUACUUUCGUGUAUUUGGGAGCAGGUGCUACAUUCUAGUGAAGAAGGGUAGAAAUUCUAAAUUUGCUCCCAAAGCUGUAGAAGGGUUUUUAUUAGGUUAUGACUCAAAUACAAAGGCAUAUAGAGUCUUCAACAAAUCAUCGGGUUUGGUUGAAGUCUCUAGCGACGUAGUAUUUGAUGAGACUAAUGGCUCUCCAAGAGAGCAAGUUGUUGAUUGUGAUGAUGUAGAUGAAGAAGAUGUUCCGACGGCUGCUAUACGAACCAUGGCGAUUGGAGAAGUGCGGCCACAGGAACAAGAUGAACGAGAUCAACCUUCUUCCUCAACAACGGUGCACCCCCCAACUCAAGACGAUGAACAGGUUCAUCAAAAGGAGGCGUGUGAUCAAGGGGGAGCACAAGAUGAUCACGUGAUGGAGGAAGAAGCGCAACCGGCACCACCAACCCAAGUUCGAGCGGGGAUUCAAAGGGAUCAUCCCGUCGACCAAAUUUUGGGUGACAUUAGCAAGGGAGUAACUACUCGAUCUCGAUUAGUUAAUUUUUGUGAGCAUUACUCCUUUGUCUCUUCUAUUGAGCCUUUCAAGGUAGAGGAGGCCUUGCUAGAUCCGGAUUGGGUAUUGGCCAUGCAGGAGGAACUCAACAACUUCAAGCGCAAUGAAGUUUGGACAUUGGUGCCUCGUCCCAAGCAAAAUGUUGUGGGAACCAAGUGGGUGUUCCGCAACAAACAGGACGAGCACGGAGUGGUGACGAGGAACAAGGCUCGACUUGUGGCAAAAGGUUAUGCCCAAGUCGCAGGUUUGGACUUUGAGGAGACUUUUGCUCCUGUGGCUAGGCUAGAAUCAAUUCGUAUCUUGCUAGCAUAUGCUGCUCACCAUUCUUUCAGGUUGUACCAAAUGGAUGUGAAGAGCGCUUUCCUCAACGGGCCGAUCAAAGAGGAGGUGUACGUAGAGCAACCCCCUGGCUUCGAGGAUGAACGGUACCCCGACCACGUGUGUAAGCUCUCUAAGGCGCUCUAUGGACUUAAGCAAGCCCCAAGAGCAUGGUAUGAAUGCCUUAGAGACUUUCUAAUUGUUAAUGCUUUCAAGGUUGGGAAAGCCGAUCCAACUCUCUUUACUAAGACAUGUGAUGGUGAUCUGUUUGUGUGCCAAAUUUAUGUCGAUGACAUAAUAUUUGGUUCUACUAACCAAAAGUCUUGUGAAGAGUUUAGCAGGGUAAUGACGCAGAAAUUCGAGAUGUCGAUGAUGGGUGAGUUGAACUACUUCCUUGGGUUCCAAGUGAAGCAACUCAAGGACGGCACCUUCAUCUCCCAAACGAAGUACACGCAAGAUCUGCUAAAGCGGUUUGGGAUGAAGGACGCCAAGCCCGCAAAGACUCCGAUGGGAACCGACGGACACACCGACCUCAACAAAGGAGGUAAGUCCGUUGAUCAAAAAGCAUACCGGUCAAUGAUAGGGUCUUUACUUUAUUUCUGUGCUAGUAGACCGGAUAUUAUGCUUAGCGUAUGCAUGUGUGCUAGAUUUCAAUCCGAUCUUAAGGAAUGUCACUUAGUGGCGGUGAAGCGAAUUCUUAGAUAUUUGGUUGCUACGCCUUGCUUCGGGCUCUGGUAUCCAAAGGGGUCUACCUUUGACUUGGUUGGAUACUCAGAUUCCGACUAUGCUGGAUGUAAGGUCGAUAGGAAGAGUACAUCAGGGACGUGCCAAUUCUUAGGAAGGUCCCUGGUGUCGUGGAACUCUAAGAAACAAACCUCCGUUGCCCUAUCCACCGCUGAGGCCGAGUAUGUUGCCGCAGGACAGUGUUGCGCGCAACUACUUUGGAUGAGGCAAACUCUUCGGGACUUUGGCUACAAUCUGAGCAAAGUCCCACUCCUAUGUGACAAUGAGAGUGCUAUCCGCAUGGCGGAAAAUCCUGUUGAACACAGCCGCACAAAGCACAUAGACAUCCGGCAUCACUUUUUGAGAGACCACCAGCAAAAGGGGGAUAUCGAAGUGUUUCAUGUUAGCACCGAGAACCAGCUAGCCGAUAUCUUUACCAAGCCUCUAGAUGAGAAGACCUUUUGCAGGCUGCGUAGUGAGCUCAAUAUCUUAGAUUCGCGGAACUUGGAUUGAAAUGUAGCAUAUAUAUGUUUAUGCCUUUGAUCAUGUUCAUUCUGCAUUUUGUUGCUUAAUGUAGUGCUCAAGUUGUACAAACACUCCCUGGACCUCACAAGUCCUGUUUGCAAGUGAUGCACAUAUUUAGGGGGAGCUGUGCUACAACUUGACCCUUUGAGACUAACCAUGUACUUGAGUUUGGUUGUUUUAGUCUCCAAGGAGAAUUGAAAGGGAAAAGGUGGACUUGGACCAUGCAAGACUUCCACUGCACUCCGAUGAAAAGAGUAACUUUUCCAAGUUCAUCUUUAUACUCUUAUUGCCUUUGUGUUCUUAUUUGAAGAUUUUGGUGAGGCAAUGGGGUUAAAGGGGCCAAGAUUGAUCCCGUUUUGGUGCUUGAUGCCAAAGGGGGAGAAAAUAAAGGCCAAAGUGAUAAAUGGAUCGGCUACCACUUGAGAAAUUUUGAAAAUAGUAGAAUAGAGCUUUUGGUUUGUCAAAACUCUUGCAUUGUCUCUUUUGUCAAAAGUUGGCCUCUUGUGGGGAGAAGUGUUGAUUAUGGGAAAUAGGGGGAGUUUUUGAAAUCUUUGAUCAAUCUCUUUUGGAAUGACUCUCUUUAUGCUUCAACAUGUGUGUUUGACUUAGAGAUAGAGAUUUGAGUUUGAUUUGCAAAAACAAACCAAGUGGUGGCAAAGGAUGAUCCAUAUAUGCCAAAAAUGAAUCAAAAUAAAUUUGAGUUUUAUUCGAAGUGAUUUUGCACUUAUUCUAGUUGCUUUAUGUUGUGUUGGCAUAAAUCACCAAAAAGGGGGAGAUUGAAAGGGAAAUGUGCCCUUGGGCCAUUUCUAAGUAUUUUGGUGAUUGAGUGCCAACACAAGUGCUUAAAUGUGAAUUCAUGCUUAUGGGUGGACAAAGUGCAAAACAAGAGCAAAGGUAUGUUUCUAAGUCUUAGUACAUUGGUUUUGUGUACUAAUAUACUUGUCUAAGUAUUAGAAACAGAGAGAAGAAGAAAAGAGAAGAGCUGGCUGUGUACAGCCAAAAGGCUGGUUCGGUCUGGGGCACCGGACUGUCCGUGGUGCACCGGACAGUGUCCGGUGCGCCAGGCUGACUCGGCGCGAAGUGGCCGCUCUCGGGAAUUCGUCCAACGGCGUACGGCUAAAAUUCACCGGACUGUCCGGUGUGCACCGGACUGUCCGGUGAGCCAACGGUCGGCCGGGCCAACGGUCGGCCGCGGAUUCUGCGCGCGACACGUGGCCGGGCCAACGGUCGGAAGGGAGCACCGGACUGUCCGGUGUGCACCGGACAUGUCCGGUGCGCCAACGGCUCUCUGGCCGCCAACGGUCGGCUUCGCCAUUUAAGGAAGGAAAUCGGGCACCGGACAGUGUCCGGUGUGCACCGGACUGUCCGGUGCGCCCGAUGACAGAAGGCAAGAAUGGCCUUCCAGAUUUGCUCUCAACGGCUCCUAGCUGCCUUGGGGCUAUAAAAGGGACCCCUAGGCGCAUGGAGGAGAUAACCAAGCAACCUUAGAGCAUUCUUGAUCAUCCACACUCAGUCCUUGCGCAUUCGUUUGUCAUUCUCAGUGAUUCGAGCUCCGUUCUAGUGAGAACUUUGAGAUAGUCUUUUGAGCUCGAUUCUUGGCCGUGUGUGUGCGCAUUUUGCUGUGGAUUUGUGUGUGUUGCUUCUCUCCCUUACUCCGUGCUUCUUUGUGAACUUCAAGUGUAAGGGCGAGAGACUCCAAGUUGUGGAGAUUCCUCGCAAACGCGAUAAGAAAAGAAAAGCAUAACACUGUGGUAUUCAAGUUGAUCAUUGGAUCACUUGAGAGGAGUUGAGUGCAACUCUCGUCCGUUGGGACGCCACAACGUGGAGUAGGCAAGCGUUGGUCUUGGCCGAACCACGGGAUAAACCACUGCGUCAACUCUGUGUUUGAUCUCUUGUGGUAUUGUGUUUUGUUGAGACUCAUCUCUAGCCACUUGGUGAUUAUUGUGCUAACGUUUAACCAAGUUUUGUGGCUUAAGUUUUUAAGUUUCACAGGAUCACCUAUUCACCCCCCCCCCUCUAGGUGCUCUCAGACGGUCCACCGGUGCGCACGGCGCAACAGACGCCCGAGCCCAGAUCAAGCGGCAGGAGGCAGCGUCGGAGGCCGCGACAGAGCCAGCUGAGCCAGCGAGCCAAGCACGCUGGAGCUGACGACGCUUGCGGCCGACCGGUCCUGCGUUGCCGAAGUUCGCCCCUCCGCAAGGUCGGUGAGCGCCUUCUCCCCUGAAUGCUGAAGGAGGAGACGGCCUGCCGGCCCAUGCGGGAGGUAGAACCCCGGCUCAGCUCGCCCUCCGCCUCAGCAAGGAUGAUGAAGAUCCUUGAAGCUGAGGGCGGGGCAGAGGCUGCAGCCCAGCUUGCUUCUCCCCACCAAACUGCCCAUUGGUGAGGGAAUGCAGCCGGGCUGCACGGCGAAAAUCCUUGAAGCUGAGCGAUGGCUGAAAGGUGCUGAUCUCCACGAGGCCGCGCUCCUCCAACGACAGCAAGAGCAAGGCGGCGCUGGAGCACCCCAUCCGGGGGCUCAAAAGGCGGAAGGGCGCAAUGCAUGAGGGGAGAACGAAGGCAUGGCCACUGCCCAGGGGAUCGAUCCCCCUUUUAUAGGCAGACCUCCUCACUUGCACCCCUUAGCAUCACGGGCGAAAUCCCCACUGACAUACUCUAGGGUUCUCCCCCUACGACAUGGGGGCUACGACCCACACGUCAUACGAGCUGAUCCGAAGCACGAAGAAGGCGAACCGCCGCACGCGAGGCAUGUAACCGUCCCGCGGUUACAAGCGCUCUCCCAUCUUCGCAGAAACCGGUGGUCGAAAGGGUGAACUGCCACGCGACGGACAUUCAACUGCACCGCAACUGUGCGCCCCUUCGGCUUCGACCACAUCCGGCGGACCAGCGCAAAGGAAGCGGGCCCGCGUGUCAUGUAACCGGCGUGCCGGUUAUGACGUGCGAGAAGUUACACCGCCACUCGUGCCAAUGUUGUGCCUCCUCGACUGCGGAACCAGUACCGCGACUCGAGGUAGCCCUGUGCAGGACCCAACAGUGCCAGUUAAAGGUGAUGGCCACAGGCCGGUCAGCCGCAGGGCGGGCACGACGGUUGGCAUGGUCAAAAGUGGGCCGACAGUAACUGUAGCGGCAGACGAGCGGAGGUAGCGGUCAAGUCGCCUGCAGGCUCGCAUCCACUCCUGAAGCGACGGGAGAGCCCUCUCCCACGGCGUGAAGACGACGCGCCCGUGCCCCGUUCCUCUAACGGCUCGCACGCGCAAUGGGCGCCACGUGAAUCGCCCGUACCAUCGCAUUAACUUCCCGACGGAGCAAGCGACACCUCUGGCAGGCGAGGCGAGCGUGGCUUCGCCUUCGCCAUAAUGACCGCAUCAAAAAAGGUGUGCCACCUUAUUUAAAUUCAUAUCCUUCCCCUCCUCCUCUCUCUCUCUCUCUCUCUUGCUACAGGGACCGGGAAGGGGAUGUUGUGGAAAGGAUCCUUCCCGGCGAAGGAAGCGGGCCCCGAGCCCUCCUACUGAUUAGGGGUUCGAAGGCUGGCCCCUCGGAAGGGUUCGACAGCCGCCCCAGAGCGCUCGGGCUCCGUGCCCACUACUGAUCAGGGGUUCAUAGGCUGGCCCCUCGGAAGGGUUCGACAGUCGCCCCAGAGCAUGCAAAGUGAGGGAUGACUCUGGGUACGUUCGAUACAUAGCCGAGGCUCGGGCUAUGCUCCCGAGGUACCCUAGGACAUUUCCGAGAUCGGCGGGAACGAUUUGUAAUGGAAUCCCACCGGAGGGAGGCAUCGAGCCCUCGGACCCUGUCGAAGGGGUCUGGGUCUGGCAAAUCACCUGCAGGUACUUUUGGAGCGCGCCUCUGGGCCACCAGCCGACCCCUAACGAACGGGGCACUGGCGUCCACUCGAAUUACCCGUUAGCAGCUCGCUGGAAACACCAUGUUCGGCGCCCUCCGAGGGCAACAUGGCGCUUCCCCCCCUCCUUCUUGCGGAAAGGCGACGCAAGGGCGUAUAAUAAAAGUCGGGAAAGUCCUUGAUCGUCCUCUCGCUCCGUGCAGAGGCUCGGGGGGCUGCUCUCGCACCCGGCUACGGCCAAAACUAUUGACAGCAUCAACAAACCAGCUUGAUAACUUGGAACCCGACCACGCACCUGGGCUACGGCCGGGCCGCAUGAGGGAACGAUCAGACCGGUCGAAGCACCACGAAAAGCAUUCAGACCUCAGAGGAGUCAAACCACUCCUCCGAGGCCUCGGGGGCUACACCCGGCAGGUGCGCUCGCGCGCACCCCUCAGAACAAGGCAAAAACCGAGAAAGGCCGGUCCCCUCACCGAAAACGCGGCAAAAGCCUCCAAACGAGUACCAACACUCCCUUCGAGGCUCGGGGGCUACUGUCGGGUACCAUAAUUAGGGGUAUCCCCAACGCUCCUAAUCAUGGCUGGUAAACACCCUCAGACCAACUGACGGGUGCGGUUCAAGCCAAGACUUCGUCUACCCGAGGGACGCGAUCUCACCCGAGCCCAGCUUCGGGUUGGAACAGUAGUCCCAGACGAAUUCACGCCUCGCCGGAGGGCCUCCUCAUGCAGCAGGCGCCCCCUCGGCUCUCCCGAGGCCCGGCUCGGGCAGGCUUCAUUGUGAAGCAACCUUGGCCAGACCGCCUCACCAACCGACCGCUUCGCAGGCGCAUUAAAUGCAGGGGAUGCCUGACGCCGUAUCCUCACACACGCACCUCAGUCGGGCAGGCCGAAGUGACCGCAGUCACUUCGCCCCUCUUCUUUACUGUCUGACAUGAUAGGAAAACAGCGCCGCUCGCUCCGCUCCGACUGCCGUGUCAGCCACCCUGGCGACGACUGACAACAAGUCACGAUCAACCCCCGAGUUCAGCCUCGGGCACAACAGGAAGCUCCGCCUCGCCCGACCUCAUGCUCCAGCCUUGGGAGGAGGUCUCCGCCUCGCCCGACCCCCGGACUCGGCUUCGACCCCGGUCUCGGGAGGAAUCGCGUCCUCGCCCGACCCCGGCCUCAAGAGAAGUCUCUGCCUCGACCGACCCUGGGCUCGGGCCGACCGCGCUAACAGGGGAUACAUCAUUUUCCUAUUCCUAGCCUGCUCAGGCUACAAGGAACAAGACCGACAUCCCAUCUGGCUUACCCCGGCAACAGGUAAUGAUGGUGCCCCGCGUGCACCAUGACGCCGGUGGCUCUCAUCCCCUUACGACAGCAAGGAGACGUCAGCAGGAUCCUCACCGCGCUGCCAGCUAUGCUCCUACAAGACUCAGGCGCUCCUUCGACGACCACGCCAUCAAUGUAGAGGGCCCAAGCUCUCCCCCAACGGCCACGUUGGCAUGUACACAGGGCUUAGGCACUCCACUGCCGGACACGUUAGCGCAUAGCUACUCCCCCCACUGUACGACUGGACUCUCUCCUUGCCUCUAUAAAAGGGAGGUCCAGGGCCACCCUGAGGGGGUUCGCGCGAGGGAAGCGACGGACAAACUUUGUGUCUCUCUCUCCCUCACGCGACACGCUUGUAACCCCUACUACGAGCGGCACCGCUGGUGCAGGAUAAUACAAGGCUUGUCCCACCUCUUGUGUUCCAUCCCGCGCCAACCCGUCUGGGCAGGGGCACGCAGCGAUUUCACUGGUCGGUCCAAGGGACCCCCCGGGUCCGAGACGCCGACACACAACAACUUCGGUUGUUACGAAUUCAUUGCUUGAUCCAAUGCAAGCCAUCCAGUUCCUAAAUUCCGAAAAAGAUGGCCUGGGUCCUUGAUGGAAGAAUGGUUUUAUGUCAAGAAUGAUCUGAUUGAAAGAGAGGACACUAAGGGAAUCAUCCAACGCCCCAUCUGGUCUCGCUUCGGCCUUCGGAGGCCGAAGGUGACAAUCAAUCAUAAUGACGAAGCAUGCCAAAAGGCUUUUAGCAACGUUUGUGCCUUCAUUGGCACAAGGGAUAUAGUUCAAGAGCACAUAGCGUACAAAAUAUGGCCACUUGUAGAAAACUGGGAUAUGCCGAAGGAUACUACUGCCGAGUCAACUGAAGGUGGGUUGGUCCGAUUGAAGUAUACCUUUAGAUUCAGAGACCGGUUUGAUGAGCCGAAUGAUGAUUGGCUAAAAAGUAUUGAGGUUAUCAGCGACGAGCUACUUGGAGCAUAUAGCAGAGCCGAAGAUGAUGCCUUGUCCAUAGCCUUCGGGGGCCAGGGGAAGAAAAGAUUAAACAGAGUAUUUGAUGCCAUCGGCUUCAUAUACCGUGAUUAUUACUACCCACUACGAAGGCAAGGGAAGAAAAGAAAAGCUAUCGCUUUGGCAACCACUGUUGUGCCGAAGGGCAAGAAGAUGAAGGUCCUGACCCAUCGGCCGCGAUAUAUUGAACCGGUCGUUGUGCCUGAAUUUGGCGAAGGAACCUCUUCAACUGCUGAAGUAAAACAAGCUGCUCCGAUUACGCAGAGCGCAGAAGAGCCGAUUGUAGUGCCGAAGGUGCCUACAGUCGGGCCUACCGAAGCCAAAGAUGGUGCGGCCAAAGAGCCGAUAAUGGAAAAGGUAUUGAAACUACCAGAAAUUCUGAGCCCAUCAGAAGGAGCAGAAUUGCCAAAGGUACAAAAAAUUGUUGCCGCAACUCCCAAAAGGAGGAGGAUGGCUAGCGUACUAGACUGUAGGAAACGGGUGACGCCUAAGAGGGGGGUGAAUUAGGACUUCUAAAACUUUUACUAAACUAGGCCACAAUUAAAUCCCUAGAGCAAAACCUAUGCAAAUAAUCAAAACUAGAAUGUGCAAACUAGGUUUUGUCUAAGUGUUGCUAUCUCUACCGCAAAGGCUAAGUUUCAAUCUACACUAAAUAAGUAUGGCUACAAGAUUGAAACUUAAAUGCUUAAUAUAAAUGCGGAAUGUAAAGAGCUAAGUAGAGAAGCAAACUCUCGUGGAUGACGCCGGUAUUUUUACCGAGGUAUCCGGAACCACGCAAGGUCCCGACUAAUCCUCGUUGGUGCCCCUACGCAAAGGGAAGCCCACGCGAGGGCCAAGCACCAUGGUCGAGUAACUCCGUAGAGAGUCGCGGGCCUUCUCCACGCGCAAGUGGUGCUCCGCUUCCAGCUCCUCUCGGACGCUCCCCACCGUCUCCUCUAUCGAGCUUCCGGCCGAAACGCCGCGGGCCUCGUUCCCUCCGGUACACGGUGGCGGCCGUGACACAAACGCGGUUGUCACGGUCUCGCAAGACUCUCGCCCCACUCGGUACAAUUACAACGACUCACACAAGAGCCGAGGGGUUGUGUGGUUUUACAAAACUCACUCAACUAACUAGGGUUCACCUAGAGCAAGCGCUAAAGUGGUCUAACUAACCUAAGCACUUCGCAAAGCACCUACGCUAAUCACCGAGUGGUUCUAUUAAGCACUUGGGUGUUUGAGCACUUGGAAAUAUGCACUAUGUGUCUUGGUAUGUUGCUUGGGCUCUCACACUUGAGAAUGGCCGGUUGGGGUGGUAUUUAUAGUCUCCACACCCCAAACUAGCCGUUGGACAGAAAGCAGCAGCUUUCUGUCGUCGGGUGCACCGGACAGUCCGAUGCACCACCGGACAUGUAUUGUGCAGUGUCCGGUGCACGCCACGUCAACCGACUGUUGGCGCCUGUAGCAGUCGACCGUUGGAUCCGACCGUUGGUGUCUGCCCAGUGCACACCGGACAGUCCGGUGCAUACCGGACAGUCCGGUGCUACAGCCAGAGAGCGUCUGUCCGUGGCCUCUCUGCGCAGACUGUCCGGUGCCUCACCGGACAGUCCGGUGCACACCGGACAUCAAUGUCCGGUGCGCCACCAGGCGUUGGCUGACAGCCCGCAUCUUCGAUUCCUUUGCUGAUUUCUUCGGGCUUCUUUAGUUCUUGAGUAUUGGACUCCUAUGCAUCUUUUUAUGUCUUCUUUUGAGGUGUUGCAUCCUCAUUGCCUUGGUCCAGUUCUCUUCGCAUCAUGUGAACUAUAAUUAUAAACACUAGAAAACAUAUUAGUCCACAGGUUGUGUUAAUCAUCAAACACCAAAACUCAAUUAACCAAAAGGCCUGGGGUCCAUUUUCCUUACAAUCUCCCCCUUUUUGGUGCUUGAUGACAACACAACCAAAGCAAGCAAAUAAUACAAGUAUUUGAAUUAAAAUAUGCAAUCUACUUGCUAAGAUGCAUGAUUAUCCCCACAAUGUGAAAUUAUGGACUUAAGCCUCCCCCUAACUCCAUAAUUCACUUACUUCCUAUUUUUGGACCAAAUAACCAAAACCACUGGAAAAACCAUUUGUAGAUAUAAAAUUUUAAAUUGGUGGUGUUUGGUGUUUGAUAUAGUUUUCAUUGCUUUGGUCCCUAAACUUCUCCCCCUUUGGCAUCAACCACCGAAAAGGAAGACAUUAAAAGCAUGUAGGAAGUAAAUAAAAGCUUGCCCCUAACAAGAAUUGUAUCAAAUGAUAUCACUAGAAGGAUAUUGAAUUGAACCAUAUGAAUGAUACCAGUUGAAAUGAUUACUCCCCCUAAAUGAAUGUUCUCUUUAGAAAGAGGUUUCUCCCCUUUUUAGAGAAGAAGAAAUACUCCCCCUGACAGAGAUCCUCUACUUAGGAAAAAAGCAUGUGAAAAUUAGAGGUGCAAGUCAAGAUUUGAAAAGACUAACUUCCCUUAUGCAUAGGUAACAGAAUAUGAGUUAACCACUUAUGCAUUUUUAGCAACAUGGAAGUAUAUGAUAUGAAAUAUAGUCUAAUCAAAUAUUGGAGAAGACAUGUAAAUGAUACUGAAUGUAGUCUCAAAAGGUACCAAUUGAAAGUCAAUGGUGAGCUUGAGAGACAUGAGAGUUCUUGGAGAUUUUGCAGUGGAAGAUUGUUGUCUUUCUCCGGGGACCUUAUUUUCCUUACAAAGAGACUAUCACAUAAAAUAGACUUGAAAAGGUGUUAGUCUCAAAGUGUUAGAUUAUAGAGUAAUCUCCCCCUAAAGGUGUGCAUACAAGUUUUGAAUACUUGAAGGAGACAUGCACUUUGAUUUGAUAUCAAGAGGGGAAAAUUAUCCAUAAUCCGAACUUUGGCACAUAUAAGUUAAAUGAUACAACUUGUAGAGAUCAAAAUUUUCAAUUGAUGCAUCAUUUACUAUGGAGUGAUAUAAAAGCUAUGUGCUGUGCUUAAAUAAACAUUUUAAGCCAUGUAGGUUUGCUUAAGUAUAUGAAUUAAAAACAAGCAAUCCUACCAUAUGAUUUGCCUAGUAUGCAUGAUUUUAAACAAAAGUACAUAACAAAUGUAAUACUAGGCAAGAAAGGUAAACUAGAUAAAAGGUAAAUAGAUACGCAUAUCUAAAAACGAAGAAUACAAUAAAACUAGUUACCUUAGUUAUGGGUGGGAAAUUUGGGUCCGAAAUUUUCACUAACCCACUUGGCAAUAAACUUGAUCCAAUAUGAUGUAUCCCAUGAUAUACAUCCCAAUUUUGCCAAGUCUCCAAAUUUCCCGAAGACCUUCGGUCCACUCACUUCCCUUUCGGGAUCCAAACCUUCUUGGUGCUUUUCAUGGUUGAAAUUAUUUCCUUUGGCACCCAGAUGCGUUUGGCCCCUUUUUCUUUGUUGGCUUGCUUGUUGGCCUUGAUUGCUAUCACCUUUCCAUUCUUUUUCUUCUUGAUCAAAUAUGGUGUAGCAUCCUUUUUGUUCACCUUUUUGAUGUAGGUGUUGGAGAUUUUGCUUGAGCUUUUGCCUUUGUUUAUCCCCGGUCAUCGCCUUGCAUUGGAAAGACUUGUGGCCUUCCUUGUAGCAUAGCCUACAAAUCACAGUUUCUUCCUCCAUAGGCUUGUUCACUCCCGCAGUGGUGUUAUCCUGUGGAGGUCGGAUUUGUUUGGCUUUGCCAUUCUUGUCAUACAAAGCCUUGCCAAGGCGAGCCACUUCUUGCUUUAAUUGUUCAUUUUCCUUUGCAACCUCAUCCGAACAUGUUUCUACAACAAUAUUCUCAACAAAGACUUGGUUGCAGGGGUUAGACUCAUCAAGUAAAUCAAAGCAGGAAGUAGAAGCAUCUUUCUUACUAAUUUCAGGUAUUUCAACUAAAGAUGCUGCUGGGGUGCUACCAAUGUUUUCUAGCUUAGUAGUUAGCUCAUUAUUGUGUAUGCUAAGAAUUUCCAUUUUCUCUAGCAAAUUUUCAAUAGCUUCUUGGGAGCUAGCUAACUUAGCCUUAAGUUUUUCAUUCUUUUUAAUAAGGCUAUCAUCGGUAGCAGUGGAUGGAGCACUAGAUUCUAAUAGCUCAAUUUUAGUUGAUAGCUCACUAUUUAAGUUUGCAAAAGUUUCAAAUUUUUCUAGCAAACCUUUGUAAUCGUUUUGAGAGCUAACCAACUUAUUUUUCAAAGUUUUAAGUUGAGCUUUUUGCUUAGUGCAAACAUCCUGGAAAAAUUCUACGGCUUCCGCAAGCUCAUCUAGAGAGGGCUUUCCCUCACCUUCAUCAUCACUACUACUUUCAUCACUUGAGGAUGAAAUGCUUUUGUUACCUCUUGCCAUAAGGCAUUUGUGUGAUGACCGUGAUGAUCGUGACGAGGACCGGUGGCUGCGCGUCCUUGGAGGUUCAUCUUCACUUGAAGAAUCAUCCCAAGUUCUAACACUUGUUAGCGCCUUGCCUUUGCUCCUCUCCUUUUUGGGUUUGGCCAUAUUUGGACAGUUGUCCCUGAAGUGGCCCUUCUCCCCACAUGCGAAGCAUCCUCUCUUCCUUUGCUUUUUCCUGUCACUGUUAAAGAGAAGAUCGUCGACCUGCAGGGGCACACCCAUUAGAUUAAUCUUGCGAAUCAUCCUCAUUACCAUUUCGACGCGUCGGAUUGUUUCUUUGUCCUCGGAGGAUGAUGUGCAUGGUUGAUUAUCUUCAUCAUCAUCACUUUCUUAUUCUUCCUUUUCUUCACUUGAGGAACUUGGAGUGGGAGCCUUCUUUUUUCCCUUCCUUUCAUCACAUGCAAAAGCAUAUGGUCUUGAGGAAGUUGGCUCCUCUCCCCGACUCAUUUUUCGCGACAUCUCAAAAGCCGCGAUUUUCCCAAUCACAAUGGUCGGGGUCAUGUUGCUCAAGUCCUCCAUGUUGUGAAGGAUGGUGAUGAUGCUCCCAUAUCUUUGUUGUGGUAGCAGGGAGAUAAUCUUCCUCACAAUGUCCGCAUCACCUAGCUUAUUAAUGCCAAUAGAAUUGAGCUCAUUGAUUAUUAGAUUCAAACGAGAAUACAUGUCUCUAACAAGCUCAUCAUCUUUCAUAGCAAAAGAAUUAUACUCAUUUAAGACUAGGCAAUGUUUUUGCUCACGGACAUUGGAUGUGCCGUCAUGGAGCUCAUGCAAUUUUAGCCAAAUCUCAUUAGCAGUUUUCAAGGUAAAUACUUGAUUAAAAAUAUCCAUGCUAAGAGAUUCAUACAAGCAAUUUUUGGCUCUAGCAUUUAAAUGAAUUUCUUUUUCCUCACUCGUGGUGGGUUUCUCGGGAUCCUUGAGAGGUUUCAUCCCGUCACGAGUGACUCUCCAAACACCUAGAUCAACGACCUCUAGGUAACAAGCCAUUCUAGCACUAUAAUAUGGGAAGUUAGUGCCGUCGAAGUGUGGUGGCCUAUGGGUAUCCAUCCCUUCCUCUAAAAAGCGUCGGCUCUUUUAGCGGUGAAGCUAAAGCGUUUCAAAUGAGCCAAACCGGGCUUUGAUACCACUUGUAGGAAACGGGUGACGCCUAAGAGUGGGGGUGAAUUAGGACUUCUAAAACUUUUACUAAACUAGGCCACAAUUAAAUCCCUAGAGCAAAACCUAUGCAAAUAAUCAAAACUAGAAUGUGCAAACUAGGUUUUGUCUAAGUGUUGCUAUCUCUACCGCAAAGGCUAAGUUUCAAUCUACACUAAAUAAGUAUGACUACAAGAUUGAAACUUAAAUGCUUAAUAUAAAUGCAGAAUGUAAAGAGCUAAGUAGAGAAGCAAACUCUCGUGGAUGACGCCGGUAUUUUUACCGAGGUAUCCGGAACCACGCAAGGUCCCGACUAAUCCUCGUUGGUGCCCCUACGCAAAGGGAAGCCCACGCGAGGGCCAAGCACCACGGUCGAGUAACUCCGUAGAGAGCCGCGGGCCUUCUCCACGCGCAAGUGGUGCUCCGCUUCUGGCUCCUCUCGGACGCUCCCCGCCGUCUCCACUAUCGAGCUUCCGACCGAAACGGCGCGGGCCUCAUUCCCUCUGGUACACAGUGGCGGUCGUGACACAAACGCGGUUGUCACGGUCUCGCAAGACUCUCGCCCCACUCGGUACAAUUACAACGACUCACGCAAGAGCCGAGGGGUUGUUUGGUUUUACAAAACUCACUCAACUAACUAGGGUUCACCUAGAGCAAGCGCUAAAGCGGUCUAACUAACCUAAGCACUUCGCAAAGCACCUACGCUAAUCACCGAGUGAUUCUAUUAAGCACUUGGGUGUUUGAGCACUUGGAAAUAUGCACUAUGUGUCUUGGUAUGUUGCUUGGGCUCUCACACUUGAGAAUGGCCGGUUGGGGUGGUAUUUAUAGCCUCCACACCCCAAACUAGCCGUUGGACAGAAAGCAGCAGCUUUCUGUCGUCGGGUGCACCGGACAGUCCGGUGCACCACCGGACAUCUACUGUGCAGUGUCCGGUGCACGCCACGUCAGCCGACCGUUGGCGCCUGUAGCAGUCGACCGUUGGAUCCGACCGUUGCUGUCUGCCCAGUGCACACCGGACAGUCCGGUGCUACAGCCAGAGAGCGCCUGUCCGUGGCCUCUCUGCGCAGACUGUCCGGUGCCUCACCGGACAGUCCGGUGCGCCACCAGGCGCUGGCUGACAGCCCGCAUCUUGGAUUCCUUUGCUGAUUUCUUCGGGCUUCUUUAGUUCUUGAGUAUUGGACUCCUAUGCAUCUUUUUAUGUCUUCUUUUGAGGUGUUGCAUCCUCAUUGCCUUGGUCCAAUUCUCUUCGCAUCCUGUGAACUAUAAUUAUAAACACUAGUAAACAUAUUAGUCCACAGGUUGUGUUAAUCAUCAAACACCAAAACUCAAUUAACCAAAAGGCCUGGGGUCCAUUUUCCUUACAUAGACGUUGUCAUAGAGACCACGAAGGCCUUAACUCCUGCUUCUACCAAGAAAGCUACCGAAGCUGCCAAAAACCAAGUCGAAGCCGAAGCUGGGCCUUCAGCGCCUACUGAGACGAAGGCCGCCGUGCCUGAAGAUAAGGUGGGUCAGCAAAUUUCAGAUACCGGCAAGACGACGGAGCAAGACAUGGCAGAAAAAGCAAAAUCUCCUGUCCCCAAAGCCUUAGCUGAAUAUAUUGAUUACAUUGUUUGACAUGCUUCGGGGAAGAAAUUAUCUGAAGAAGAAAUCUUGGAGGCCAAACACUACGCCCAAAGACUGAAAUAUCCGAAGGGGGCCUUAGUGUUCAAUGGUACUAACGAAGAUGAUUUCCUGUACUGUCUCCCGGAUAACAAAGAAAUAUCUGUUUGCCGGGAGAUAGCUAAGAGUAUGGGAUUUCCUAAGCUUGAAGAAGGGCUUUCGGUCUUGUCGAAGGAUGAUCUUGCUGAUAGCCUCGCGUAUAACAAUAUAAAGGUAUAGAGGUUAACUUUGAAGCUAGAAAAUGAAGUAUUUUAUUGCCAUGCUCAACUCUUUCUUCUUGUUUGCAGGGCUUAAUUCUUAGUAAUGCCUCGAGGGCUCAGAAGAGCGCCGAAGACGAAGGCUGUACAAUGGCUCUUAACAACCUUCGCUCUGAGGUGAUUGAACUGAGAAACAAAGGUCUAGAGAAACACAAAAGUUUGAUUUCAUUGGUGAACAAAGUAAAGGAAGACGAAGCUAAUUACAAAGCUCAGGCUGAAGCCCAGAAAACCGAAAUUGGAGACCUUCGGAAACAAUUGGCCGAAGCUAAGGAGAACUGCGUGCUCGCACAGGCUAAUCAAGAGAUCAGUGAAUACUGGAAAAAUAAGCUAGAGAAAAAUGUUAAAGAACUUCGCGAAUCCAAGGAAAGGUGCUUUGAGAAAUCCUUGGAUUGCGUGAAGAAAUUAAAAACUAGCUUCGCCAAAGUUUGCGCCUACUCUACUGAAGAAAACUUCAUACGAGGCGACCCCGAGGGCGUUGUUGAAUGGAUAAGUGGAGAAGUUGAAGCCUUCGAGGAAAUUUUGAGUGAUCGCGGGGAUAUUUGCGCGUUUUCCGGUGCGUGAAGAAUCUCAACUAUUCUAGAGAAGGCAGGAUGUGAUCACGUUAAGGCCAUAGCCUAGGCCGAAGCUGCCUUCUCCAUAGAUGAUACGAAGGAUCCUUCAGCCGAAGCAACUUUAAUGAGUGGGAAAUUUUAUAACGAUGUCUGGAUGAACGGUGGCCGAGAGCUGGCCCAUGAGAUUAUAAAAAAGAGUGAAAAAGACACCCAUGACGCCCAGGCAGAAGCAAAGCGAGCUGAAGAAGCUGCUGAAUGCGAAAGGCGUAUAGGUAUUAUUUCUUGAUUAUUUAGCUUCGGUACUUGCUUUGUGGCUUCGAACUAAACUGUUUACCUACUUCAGCUGAACUAUCCCCGCCUCCGGAGCCGUACGAUCCCCUAGCUGAUCCAGAAAUGAAGGAAGCACUGGAAAUUAUAAGCCUGGCAGACUCCAUUAUCGACAAAGUCAUCGAUAAGCUUUUGAACGAAGUUGCAGAAAAAGUUCUUAAAGAAGAAUAGAUUUUAUUGUAAUAAUAUUUUGAAACGCUUGAUGUAUGGAACAAUGGAAGGAAGAUUAAGCUUCUACUGUAACAAAACUAUGUAACAUUUGAUGUAUGUGACAUUGAAUCGAAUAUGUAAAUCGUUGUAAUUUAUUUCUUUGCGAUGCAUGAAACGUACACACAUACCGUUUUGAGCCUUCGGCGAAAAAACACCUCCCUUCUUUUCAUGCUUCGUAAAGAAGGAAACCCCUUUUAGGGUAGAUCUGAUAGAAUUGUCAUCCGAAGCUUGAUUCGUGCCUUAGCACAUUUUCAUUCAAUCGAAGUAUUUCCAAUGGUUUGCUUCGUAUUCAGUCUUUCUGUUGAUGCGGUAUGAUGUAUGAUGUGAUGCUAUGCUAGAUGAUGCGAUGAUAUGAUGCAAUAUGAUGAUGCUUUAACAUCCACACACAUGCCCAAACUAGUACAUGGAAGACCGCAUCCCCUUAGGAACAUCUGUUGAGUCUAAGCUCUGCAUCCCCUUAGGAACGACUUUUGAGCUUCUUCACCUUCUAUUUCGGUGGUAUAAGUUCUGCAUCCCCUUAGGAACGACUUUUGACCUUCUUCGCCUUAUAUUUCGGCGGUAUAAGUUCUUCAUCCCCUUAGGAAUGACUUUUGAACUUCUUCGCCUUAUAUUUCAGCGAUAUUUGGGUCUGCAUUCCCUUUGGAACGACUUUUGAGCAGAAAACUUACACUGCGCUCCCUUAGGAACGACUUUUUGUAGCUUCGUCAAUUUAGGCUCUGCAUUCCCUUAGGAAUGACUUUUGAGCUUCGGAAUCUGCUUUGUUUUUUUAAGAGUCGUCUUUCGAGCUUCGUAAAUCUAUGAAGAAGAUAUAUUUCAUUCUAGUGUUUGCAGAAUUAUUACAAGAAGUUGAAACUAAAUUUUUCAUUACUUGUUUCUCAUACAAAAAGGUAAAAUGGUAUAAAAGAUAAAAGUACUUCAAACAGUAGGAUAUUCCUCAAUAUAUGUGCUUCGCUUCUGGCACAGUGCUGUUGACUGUACGAGCUUCAGACUCCUCCUUGAAAUCUCGUUGCUGUUGGGGGUACUGACGCCCUUCUGGCUGCUGGCUUUGGGUAUGAGCAGGUGGCAAUGGUGGUGGCAGUGGAAGCUGGGGCUAGGAAGCUUGUGAAUGGCUUGCCAAACCAACGGAAGCUGCAGGUUGAUUGCCCACAUAUUCUGGUAUGUAGGGAGAAUAGCACGAAGCAGUAUGUAAAACUUGCUUCGGCUGGUUCUGCCGGGCUUCUGCUUCAGCAAUCUCUUUUUGCUUCUGCAUGGUAAUCUGACACGUUCUUGUAGUGUGGCCCUUGUAUUCACCACAGAAUAAGUAAUAGAUUUUUCUGGGCUGAUCCCCAUAUCUUCCUCCGAAGCCCCUGCCGCUUCUGCCCCUUGGAGCUGGUGGUCUGAAGGAGCUUUGUUUCUGUCCUGAAGACUGUGAGUUAUGUUGUGGCCUCUGGAACUGGCUUCCUUUGUCAUCACUCUAACUGGAGCUAUGGAUUGAUCUGACAUGCCUAGGGUGGAUUCUUCCUCCGAAGCCCCUAGUCAUCUCAGAAAACCUAUAAGCUUCUUCCCUUCUUUGGCGGAAAUCAUUGUCAGCCUAGAUGUACUCAUCCAUUUUCUGAAGCAGCUUCUCUAGAGUUUGGGGGGGUUUCCUAGCGAAGUAUUGAGCCGUGGGCUCUGGCCGAAGACCCUUGAUCAUGGCCUCAAUUACGAUUUCAUUGGGCACUGUAGGCGCUUGUGCUCUCAGACGCAAGAACCUUCAGACAUACGCCUGAAGGUACUCCUCAUGGUCUUGUGUGAACUGGAACAAGGCCUGAGCAGUGACUGGCUUCGUCUGAAACCCUUUAAAACUGGUGACCAACAUGUCCUUAAGCUUCUGCCACGACGUGAUUGUCCCUGGCCGGAGAGAAGAGUACCAUGUCUGGGCUACACUUCGGACUGCCAUGCCGAAGGACUUUGCCAUGACAGCAGCAUAGCCUCCGUAUGAGGAUAUUGUUGCCUCAUAGCUCAUCAAGAAUUGCUUUGGGUCCGAGUGCCCAUCUGAAAGCUCUCUUAUGGGUUUUUGUCUUUGGAUGACAACCCAAUUAAAGGACUAACAAGUGUGCUAAGUGUUGAACAUGUGCUUAAUGCAAAGCUAAUAGAGUUCAACACAAGUGAACAAGUGUGAUGGUCCAAAGACUGAAUUAUCUAUAGAUAAUGAACACUGCUUAAGUGAGACUCGGUGUGUGUAACUCAGAGACAACCGAUCAAGCCAAGGAUGGAGACAAGAAGAGCUUCGAGGUACCGAGUGCAUGGAAGAAGGUCAAGGAGACUAGGAACCCAAAGCCAGGGGUGAAGAAGAAGACUUGCAAAGUCAAGGUUGAUCGAGUUAAGAGUUAUGGUGCAUCAAGGAUCACUACAUAAGGAGAUGACUUACAACCAAUCAGGUAACAUCUUAAGUUAUAUGGUGUAAGUCAUAAGGCUCAAGAUCAAGCUCGAGAAAUGAACAAGGGAGUUGGAGCUCAGAUAUGUCAAUCUAGAUCAAGUCAAGUUGACUUAAUGGUUUAGAGUCCAACAUCGACCUCAAACAUGCCAAAUUGGAAAAAGAUGAAAAAGGUUAAGUAUGUAAGGUUUGAGUGUUCAACCAUGUUGCAUACACCUCUUACUACAAGUUUGGUGCUUUGGUUUGCUCUCUAACUAUUUUUGUAGAGAGUACCAUUCUGAGCUCUGCUGGAGGAGAAACAGAAAAGCUAGGAGAAGAACAAAAAAGAUGUAAGUUUCUAGGACUAAAUCAAUUGGAUUAUACUCUAAAUGUGUUUGUUUAAGUCUCAGGAAAAUCCUCCCAAAAUUUGAAGUCAAACGGAGAAAGAACGGAGGAAAAAUCACUUAGUGUGCUAUUGGCUGGUGCACAGGACAGUGAAUAGUAGCUGUCCGGUGCACAGGACAGUGAAUAGUGACAUAUCCGGUGCACAGUACAGUGAAUAGUAGCUGUGUCUGGUGCACAGGACAAUGAAUAAUAGCUGUGUCCGGUGCACAGGACAGUGAAUAGUGACCUGUCCGGUGCACAGGACAGUGAAUAGUAACAUGUCCGGUGCACCAACAACUAGCUGUUCUAGAGAAGGAAACUGUCAAUCAGAUCCGUUACUGUUCACUGUCCGGUGCGCCACCGGACAGUCCGGUGCGCCACCGGACAGUCCGGUGCACCCGCAACCAGGGAAGGUUGGGAGCUUCCAAAUGAAGCUCCAACGGCUCCUAGGCCCUUUGGGGCUAUAAAAGGGACCCCUAGGCGCCUCAAACAAGUACACAAGUGCAGCCAACAAGUCCAUACAUCAUUUGGAUCAAUUCUUUCUCUCCCUCUCUUGUGUAUCUCUCUAGUUUGUGUAGAGGCGAAGUUAUAAGCAUUUAGAGAGAGGGGAAGUGCUGCUGAGAGCUAGAGCAAUAUCUUGAGCGCAUUGUUACUCUGCCGGAGUGCUGUCGAGAAGAUUGUAAGCAGUGUCGAGAAGAUUGUAAGCAGCCACGACAUCGUUGUAACUGAUAUCAACAUAGUGGAAGGCUCUAUCUGUCGCACUGACAGAUCUGAGCAAACAGAGGAAGGAGUUGAAAUAGACUCCAAGCUAAGGUGUGGCUAACUCCAAUGAGGACUAGGCAAGCAUUUCAGGCUUGGCCGAACCUCGGGAUAAAUCCCUGUGUCUGUGUGCUCUGCUCUGUGCUGUGUGUUGUUUCUCUGUCUUAUUUGUUGUUUAUACUUGCACUUCAAUAUUUAUAUGUGGUUCAAGCUGUCUUCGAAGUGCAGGGUAUUUUAGGACAGGAACUUCUAUUUCGCUGCAACCUAUUCGAAGGGUCCUUCAUUCCACUAUGAUCCAGCCUUCGAGUAGAGUAAGAAUUUCCAGUUUUAAAGUGAUAAUUAUUAUUCGCCUAUUCACUCCCCCCUCUAGGCGACAUCUAGAUCCUAUUCCCGGGCAUAGGGAACUUUCACCAUCGUACAUGGGCAACUGGGUGGCUUGUAGGAUUGUGGCCAUGGAAUAACCUGCAAUUCUGCUGCCAGGGGAGAAACAUCAUCAAAAGUAAAGUUACCAUGAUGAAAGUCAUCGUACCACUCAUCUUCGUUGAAUGAGCCAUCUUGACGAAGCUCCCUGUGCUGAGGCCUUGGGUCCUGGUCAUCUUGAGUGAGAUGACGUAUUUCUUCAGCGGCCUCAUCGAUCUUCUUCUGAAGAUCGGUGAGACGAAGCAUCUUCUCCCUUUUCCUCUGGACCUGUUGAUGAAUAGCUUCGAGAUCCCUGAUCUCUUGGUAUAACUCUUCCUCCUGUGGUGUCGGACUAGUAGCCUUCCUUUUCUGAAUUCUGGCUUCGCGCAGAGUGUCCUGGUUGACAUCUAGUAGCUGCAGUGGAGCCCCUAGUCUUGACGAGGCUUUCUUCGGCGGCAUGACGCAGCUCACAGCUUGCCGAAGGUGGUCGAAUGAGUUCACCGGAGGUGGGCGCCAAUGUUGGGGACUUGUUCUCAAAUGCUAUGAGUUAAGAACAAGGCAACACAAAAUAUUAAUGGUUAAAGUCCUUCGUCCUUCAAAACAUUAUCUCCCUUAGGAUAUAAUGAUCUUCAGAUGAAGGUUAUGAAGGUCGCACCUUCAACAUCACAGCUUAUAUUAAUGAAAGUAGAAGCAUAUAUGACAUGAGAAAUAGCAUGAAUAAUCAUAUGACAUCAUUGAUAUGUUUUUAUUAUAUCAUCACGAAUGGGCAUAAACAAUAUUGAAUUACGUUUAUACCUUCGGCUUGACGGAAGGCGAAAGUUCAAGUGUGACGCGCGAGUGAAUACAAGUCAGCGCAAACAGUAUAGUAUCACUGUUCAUCAAUUUAUAGGCACAGGACGCAGCCUGUGUGAAAUUACAUUCAUGCCCUUGACAUUUACUAUUGACUUAGGGAUAACCUAUCGAGGACUAGACAACCUUUUCCCCUUUAAGUCGGUUUCAUUUUCCACUGCUGAGUCAAAGCUUUUCCACGAGUAGCUUCGGCAUUGGUUCAUCCUUCUUCUGAACUGUGCUCUUCAUAUCAUGUACAACUUCAUCCCAUGUCCGAAGGUUCCUGUACAUAUAUCAUACUCGGGAUACACGUUAGUCGUGUUUUUGAGGACCUUCGGAAGACGAAGGCCCCCAACAGCAAUGAUUUUGGUUCAUUGUAAUAAGGCAGUGCUUUAAGCUUAGUUCCUCAGUUCCAGCUUCAACGUGUGCACGUGUUGUCUCCAUAGUCUAUGCUCUGAUUAACGUGAUGGAGAGGAUUUGUGUGGUGCAUUACUUGUAUUGUUGUCUGAGUGGAGGGAAAGGGAACUGUAGCGGGAUGAUAGUGGUAUGAAUUUCUUCUCCUGUUUUAGAGCUCUGCUCUGUAUUGUUCUUUAGGUAAUUCAGUUGUCGCUUCUUUUAGCUAACAUGUUUCAUUCGAGUCACCAACAUCUCACUAUAAGGCCUCAUCUCAUACUUCAAGCGGUUUUUACCUGAAAUUAUAAGACAAAAAUAUGGUUAGCAAUCUCUAGUUAGGUUAGUAGGAUGCUCAACAUCUUAUUGGGUGUAUGCAAUAUAACUACAUUGUUGCACCUUGAUGUCUAUUUUUCAGAGACACUCCACUACCUGAUGAACUUGGACGUUUCAUAUUUCAGUAAACAUGUUACGUGUAAGAUCAUGUGUCUUCUUAUUAAAUAUCUUGAAGGAAAGGAAUGGGGGUAUGUCCCAUUAUAUACCCGACUAGCUUUUAUAUAGAUGUUUGUAACAAAAAAGAACAUAUAUAUAAAUGUCUGCUUUUGAUCCAUAUGCAUAAAUGCCCACAUGGGAUUAGAAACUAGUGAUGGUAUCUAUGUCCUCAGCUACCCUAAUUCGUAUUUGUACGGUGACAAUAUCUAGUUCUCGCAUGAAAUUGCGAUUUACUUGGAAUCACUGCAAAUAUACAUAUAAUCAUGUUGUGUUUAUUAAUGUGAAAUUUGUGUUGCUUCAAGGGAAUUAUAUGACGUCUGAUAGGGCACUAUUGAUUCUAGUAUCUACUACAUUUAAGUGGGAUUUUCUCCUUUCGUGCGUUGUCUCACGCAGCGAAUGAAAUAAAAGUCCAAAAAUGAGUGGGUUCAUAUCAUCACCCUUCCCCCUCUCGUGGCUAGGUUCUAACAACUGGAGCUCACAACCAUUUAUGUUCAACAAAGAAUAAAUAUGGCAAAUAUUCUGAAUAUAGAAAUCGUAGUAACACGCAUACAACCAACUAGUUAGGCAUAGAAGUGUCAACUUUGAUCUUCGUGCAUCUUACAGAGGCGAUAUCCAAUGAGGGUCUGGCUUCCUAGUUCUCCUUUGGUGCCGAACUUGUUACCCCAGUUCCUCUACAAUCUAAAUGUCUUCCUCCACCUCCUCCGCCUUCUGCCUCGUGGUUGUGACGCCCAUCUUAAAGAAUGGGUUUAACUGAACGCGACCACAAUCAAGUGUACAACUGUACAAGUACAACUUUUGCUUGAGGAAAUCAUAUACACCGACUUGCUAUUGCAAGAGCUCAAUUCAGACAGACUUGACAACUUUAGCAAUUUUCUCUAAAAACUCCAACUCCAACCUUCAUAACUAAGGUACUGUUUGGCUAGGUGUACGUGAAUAGAUGCUUCCGUGAUCUAAAACGUAAACCAUAUAGAUUGAGUCUGAUUCAGUUAGAGGUGGAUUGAGAGAUUUAAUACCCUCCAAUCCCCCUCAAUCCACUUCAAACCGAACAAGUCCUAAUGGGGAUUGAAAGAUUAGAGAGGAAUUUGACUUGUAGGAGAUUUAAUUCUCUCAAUCCAUAUGAAUUUAUAGAAAAUGAACAUGGCCUAAAGGAUAUUAAAUUACUUCCUAGUCAAAAUUAAAUAUAAAGGGAUUCAAUCCAUUGCAAUCUCGAUACAACCGAACAAGGCCUAAGGCGGAUCCCAACUCGAGUAUUAGGGCAUGUUUAUUUUCUUGCAGGAUUAUAUAAUCUAGCUUAUUUUAUAUAGGCUAUAUAAUACAGUUUAUAUAAUCCUAUUGGAGAUGUUUGUUUACGUUGGAUAAAAACCAAAUAAUAAUCUAAAAUAAAUAUAUGAUCUUAAAAAUCUAAAUACCUAGAUUAUAUAUAAUCCACUAUAAUAAUUUGUGUUGUUUGUUUGCCAUUAACUCAUUUUAUUUGGAUAUAUAGUGUAGAGGGUAAACAAAUGUGACCUUAUUACACUUUGAAUCUACGUUUGAAGGACAUAUAGAGUACAAUAGGGGUAAAAUUCUUCGCCAACUUGUAAAGCAUUCUAAGAUCUGACGCCAUAACCGCCACGGAGAGAGAGAAAAAAGAGUAUAAUACCUAUCCAUGACACACCUCGAAACUGCUCUCCAUCACACAAGGUUGUGAAGUAGAGCUACUCGAACUCUAACACUUGGUCAACUCGAGUGCAGAGCAGUAGAUCCAUGGAGAUGCCUUCACAGGUACGCGGCGUCGGCGGAGUCCAUCCAUGCUCGUCCCAAAUUUUUAGAGGAUGAGUGUCCAACAGAGUAGGGGCCCUUGGGACGGUGUUCUAGGCCGAACUAUAGAUGGCCAAACGGGCCGGCACGGCCCGACCCGGCACGGCCCGUUGCCGGCACGGCCCGACCUAGUGCAUAAGAGACUUAAACGCAUCCAUCUAACCAGUGCAGCUGCAAUUUUAUUGUGUUAUAUGUUGAAUUCUUAUACUAAAUAUAUGUAAACUAUUAUUUUUAAAAUAAAAAAUGUAACCGUGUCGUGCCCGUGCCAGCACUACGGGUCGAGAUAGUGGCCCAGGCACGGCACUAUAGCCGUGCCGUGCCAGACACUGGCACUAUACUAACCGGACCGAGUCGUGACUGGACCGUGCUUUUUCGUGCCGUGCCUGGGCCGGCCCAUCGUGUUAGUGCCAAAUGGCCAUCUAUAGGCCGAACGUCCUUGCCAAUCAAAAGGUCGAGCAGCCUAGGUGUCCGUGUCAAGUAGGUUUGCUCAAGUGACGAGUUCGUUUUCUUUGCUAGACCUCUCGCGGUCGCGGGCCUGAUGCUGUGCUGCACACGCCUGUCUGCCAUCCUCACUUUGCUCUCGGUGCUCGCGACGCAACGUAACGGACGUCACGUACGGCGGGCGGCUCCCCUCCCAGGCGACGGCGGCGCGCGCAUGGAUUCAUAACCAGAGGCCCAGACCGUACCCUCCACGGCAUCGAUCGUGAUCUGAAACAACGCGCCAAUGCACCGGCGGCCGACCUGCGCGACGCUCGAGCCGGCGGGCGCUGGCACGAACCUGCGGCGCUCGGUGCCGGUCCCGGUCGCUGCCUGGACAUGGAUAUCCAAAUUCCAAACCCACCAAGGCAGGCGACAAGCCUUCGCCGUCGCCUCGGCGGUACUCAGUCACGUGCUGUCGUCAUCCGGGCACGGGCUGUACGUAGUUAGCACAACAAUCCGCGGAUCAUGACACUGUGUUUCCUGUCUACUGUUCUUUUCUUCUUUUUUUUGCCAAUCGGCGGCAUACUGCUUCCGUGACUGGUGUGACCUAGAGGUAAAUUAUUUUUCAUGGAAGAAUAUUGGCCUCGCCAUUCCUGGAAUAGUUGAGACGCAUGGCUGGCUUCACAGGAGCCGACGAGGAGAUGGACCUUUUGGAGACUGUCAGGAAUAGUGGGAUAGGACGAACGGACCCACCUCGUAUACGUGUUUACUGUUUAUUAGUUUGGGAGUUUAGAUUCAAUGUAGUUGUCUUUGGCUAGCAGAGUUCGCGGAAACGACGCGAGAAUGAUUUAUGGGGCUCCCAUGUCAGUCUUUGCUCCCAACGCAAGCUCCACCUGCCUCCAUGGCCGCCCGUAGAGCUCCCCCGAUAUGGAUGUCGUUGCCUCUCGCACGCCACACGUGCGCGGCGCGCCGCUGUAGUCCGCCGGUGCCGCAACUGCCUGCCCGCUCGUGCCGCAACGACCGCCGUCCCCAUACUCCCAUAGCCAUUAUUGGCUUUGCGUCUGCUGCCGGUGCCCAGCCCAGCCGCCAUAUAUAGAGAGAUCACCAGAGCGCCCCCAAGUGCCGCCGUAGAAGUAUGCCACCAACUGGCGCAAGCAAUGUGCCAUUGCCAUUCUAAUGGUUUCAGUUCGACAUCGCUGCUAGCUACUCGUUGUUUUCCCACUUGUUGUGUAGCACGCGCUGGUAGUAUGUGUUUAUCCAAAUAUAAACGUAAGGCGAUGUCCUCAAUGGGCCGAGCAUACAGUGUUCUUAGUAUUAACUUUGGCGAAACUGAUCUCUUUGAACUUUCAUGGGACUAAGCGAUGCUACGAGGGGGGGGGGGGGGGGGGGGGGGGGGGCGUACGUCCGUGGGCCCCGAUUCCCGAAACAUAUGCAGCUACCGAUGAUUGACCGUUGGCCCCAGCAAAAAGGUGCAAAUCUAGCCAGCUGUGCACGGUGUCCCCAAGGAACCCAAUCAUGGUCACCAAAGAAGGGACCAGCAGGCCGGGCAAUACUGCACAUUGGAAACAUGACAACUUCUUGCUAGAUAUGGAGCAAGAAAACUUCCGAGGUUUGUGAGUUUCAUUCAGAUACGGAGCGCGCGGCUAGGCCACUUCAUCAGCCACAUAUGCAUCGUCACGCAUCAAGAUUCAAACAGGAAAACUUGCACAUUUCAAAGUACAGUGCUACGCAUGUUAGAGCUUGGUGAAGUACGCGCUACAAAUAAUGAAUGGAAAAUUUGCAGCAAGUGCAGAAGAAAAAAAGAAAAAUAAAAGAGGAGAUGAGAGCGCGCGGCCGGGCUUGGAGAGAUCGGAUUGAUCCACAUUUCAGCUUCGGCUUUUGAUGCAGGUUUGGCUCGUUGGUGGUCAAAGUACAGCAUCGUCUCAUGGUCAUGGCUUCCAAAAAGAAGUGCAAGCAUCCUGUUGUUACCAAAAGAGGAGAAAGAGAAAAAGGGGGGACUUCCGACUUCGGACGUGGAGUUGCAGCCUACCAUCCCCGCUAGGCGCUAGCUAGCUGUGGUACUAGUGUACCUAGUAGUACUGGAACAGGCUCGGCAUCUCCCGCACGGCCCCGAACGCCGGCGACGACGGCAUGACGCCGAGCCCCCACGGCAGGCACGGCCCGUCGACGACCUCGGCCGCGGCGUCCACGCCGAACAUGCCCAGGGACGCCGCCUUCGCCACGGCCGCCGCCGGGCCGUAGCAGCCCCACUGCUGCGGCUGCCGCGCGUACCCGCCGUACGAGGCGGCGUAGUCCACCCCGCCGUCCGCCGCCGGCGCCACCGCCGCGGCCGCCGCGCGCCGCUCCUCCUUCUUGUACCGGAUCCCGCACGCGUUGCACAGCGACUGCACGCAGCAACAGAUCGAAAUGGAUAUGUACGCUUAGUCGCUUACUUCGAUUAGGAUCGACAGCGAGCGUGUGUGUGUGUGCUAGUAACGAAAUGCAUGCAUUGCAUUGCAUGGCAUCGCUUCGCGGCCCACGCACGUCACGUUACGUACCUUGGGUCCGCGCGGCCCGUUCCUCCAGAGCGGCGUGGAGGUGGUGUCGCAGUUGGCGCAGCGGCGAGCGCCCGCCUCGGCGCCGCGCGCCUCCUGCUGCCUGCCGCCGUUGCAGCUGGGAGCGGGCGCCUCCCAGCUGUGCAGGCCGGCGGGCGCGCGGGCCGCCGCCCCGGCCUCGGCGCGGCGCGUGGACGGCGUGCCCAGCGAGAGCGUGCAGUCCACGGAGCCCCCGUACAGCCCGCCGCUGAAGGCCUCCCCGUCGCCGCCGCCGCAGUGCUUAUAGUAGUGGUCCGCCCCCGCCGCGGCUGCGGCGAACAGCAGCGAGCAGCCGCCGCCGCAGCUGCCGUAGAGCAGCCCGCACGUGCAGGGCGCCGCCUCGUGCAGCAUCUUGACUGGUCGCAGAUGGAUGGACGGAUGGAUCAGACAGAGCUAGCUUGUACUCCAGCGAUCGAGUUGGCUUGGCUACUACAAGCCCUUCAAGUGGUGGUGGUGGCCGCGCUGGUGCCGGGGUGAUUAAUAAUAUAGUAGGAGAGCGGCUUGGAGAAGGACAAGAGAAUAGGAGAUCGAGGGGAUGUCUCUCCUCGGAAACUGGCUGUCCACGAAGCACAAGCGCUACGGUUAGCACGCAAGCAGCUCGUGCUAUGCGCGGUGGGCGUGGCGAACUGGCGAGACGCUGUGGCUGGCUGGCGUGUGGAUGUGGGGCGGCAGGGCAUGGCGCUCCUCGGGUUCUUAUAGCGGCGACGUGGGUAGGGUAUAGCGGCUGGCGUGGCGGUGGGGCUCCCCCGGCCGGCCUGUCUCCGCCAGCGCCUGUGCCCCGCCAGAUUUGGGAUUCCGGCCGGGGCGCGACGCGCGAUGCAAACGCGCGCGCCGCGGGCUAGCUAGAGAGGAAAAAAGGACGCGAGGCGGAUGUCUGCCUUGCCUUGUUGCCUGCUUCUGCUUGUGUUGGGGGCGGUCAAAGAGCGGUGUGGCCGCCCGGUCAAAAGCGAGGCCACGUGAAACCGGGAACAGUCUCCCACGCACAUAUGGGGACGUGGAGGACUACGGGGGGAGGGGAGGGGAGAGGCCGAGCGAAUGAGGCCACGCCGGAGCUCAGAUGGCUAUGUUGUGCUGCGCGCCCGGCCGGGGUAGCAGGACUACGGCUGCUGCCCUGCUGCUGCUGCGCGCGUUGGAGUCGAGUUCGCCGAUCACGAGGGGCACAGUUCGAUCUGUCCGUCCGUGCCUCCUGUCCUGCCGCGGCUGCCAUGGCAGUGGCUUCGUCCUCUCCUCGCUCGCUGUGGGACGGAUGGCCGUCCCAAGCUGAUGAGCCAGCCAGCAACAACGAGAUCGAUGCGUGUCAGGUCGGCGGCAUGCAUGCCAUGCAUGCGUCGUCGUCCAUCCGUUAGCGUUCGGUGAAGAAAGCUGCAACUGCAAGCAGCGCAGCGAGAGUCUGUGCGCGCGCGCGCUGCAUCGGCUAGCUAGCUGGUCGGUCUCCGGUCCGUACGUGUCUCCCUUCGUUUUUCGUCGUCAUGGGUCAAGGUAGACGGACGUCAUCCCUGUGUAACGCGAUGACACAAUAUCGGUGAUGACAGGAUCGGCCGGGCCGACGUUAUUGCCGUCGCCACGCGCUCGGCAGCCAGAGCCACAGCUAACACGCAACGUGUCCGCGUGAUCCGAUCCUAUCCAAUCUGGGCUGCUCCGAAGCGUGCGCGUGCAUGCAUGCAUGCAGCGCAGAUGGUGUACUGCUGUCUUGUGAACAGUCAUGUUUACGUACCCCUACAGUACGUAGUACGACACGCAGAGCGCGACGGAUCCGCGAUCUCAUUUGAACGGGAUCUCGAUCGAGUAGUAAAAGCCGGGCGGGUGCCGCCGCCGACGGACACUUAGCUGCACGUUUGGGCACAUGAUUGAAUCAACGACGCGACACGGAGCGGCGCUAUACACCGAGCUUCCAAAUGCCAACAAUAAAAUAAAGAGGAUCGGAGGGGGCCGAGAGAGAGAGGGAAAAAAGAGGAACGAAACUAAAGCGGGGGGCCGUAUCGAAAGAAAGAAAAGAAAGAAAGGAAGGAAGGAAGAAAACAAGGGAGUGGAGUGGAGAGAAGGGAAGAGGAGCAAGCAACGGGGCAAGCGACGCAAAACCAAAUCAAAAGGAGCAAAAGAGCAAAGCGGCAGGAAGAGGGAGGAUGAGCAGGGAGGGAGCGAGGGAACACAGGAAAAGACGGGCGCGCGCGGCUGCCCGGGGUAGCCGAUGAUAUAAUUUGGGCGGGGCGCCGUGCCAUGAUGGCCCGCGCGCCCGGAGGCCGGAGCCGGACUAACUAGUAUGCUCCCAUCAAAAGUGCCGCGUCGAAUCGAAUCCGAUCAUCGGUCCAAGGAACAGUCGCGGUCAGGCAUAGAAGAUCCCGCCUUUUGGCACCAACCUCCACGCACGCAAACCCAGGAUCGCCCCUGGACCGCCAGCUACGGGGAUCCGAUACGGAUCCCAGGGCUGUAGCUAGCUAGGCGCCCGCCCGCCCGUCCCGAUCAUUCGCAAAUCUGCGUUGCUGCACUGUAGGGCACGCAUGCCAUGCCAUGCCAGUUGCCACCCUCUUCUCCUGCAGCAGCUGCCGCUAGUCGUGGUCGUAGGACUAGUAGGGAGGGCGCUUCUUUUAUUUUCCCCUUUUCUUUUCUUUUUUUCUUGUUCGGGUUUUCCUCUCCUUUGUGUUUGCUGUGUACGAAUGUUUUUUCCUUUCCCCUAUAUCGAUGAGGCGACACUGCUGGAACUGCGCCAACGCUGCGUUAAGCUGCUGGUAAUUCCCCCUGCCAAGUCAAAGGAGGCAGCCGUGCCAGAGAAAGAAAGCGAAAGCCAUAUGCAUGCAUGUGGACCCCUCCGGCGGCAUUCCGUAUGCUUGCUGCCUUGCUUGGUAGUAACGGCCAAAGCGCCGGCACGACCGCCUCCAAAGCAAUGCUGCGGCCAGUGGCCGUGUUUGGUGUGUUUCCGUUCCUUUCCUUUCCUUGCUAAUAUCAUGUCCGGCAAACUUUGGAGUUGGAUUAAUCUAUCUAUCUGUCUGUCUCUGUCUAUGCUACGGAUGCAAAGUAUUUGUAGUAGUGCUACAUGAUGACUAUACUAUAUAGGUGGAUACGUACUACGUAGUAAGCAGUGCAGCAUACUACGUACGUGGAUACUGUCGCUGGAUGAACGCUUAUCCAAGCAGUCCAUGCAUGAUUUGGCAGCAGCCCGAUGCUGGAAUCCUGACAGGGUCUGUGACGCCUUGUGCUUCGUGUGCGUUCCCGCUCGCUCAUUGCGUGGGGCCAGAGAGGAGUUUAAAAUAAGACGGCAGAAAAAACAAGCGGACAGGCACGACGCACGAGCGCCCCGCGCAACCCGACGCCGACGGUCGACGACGUCAGUACGUACGCGCAGGCAAAACGAGGCGUGGGGGGAGUCGGUGUUUGGUGCGGUGGCGGGGGCAGGGGAUCCCGACGAGGAGAUCGUUGUUCAAAAAGUUGUCCCGACACGGCCAGAGUUAAGCCUAGAGAUUGGUGUCCUUUGGUUGGGUUUGGGGGGGAGGGGGGGUGGAUGUCUAUCAGCUUGUUCGCUGCGGCUUGCUGCGGCUGCAAUCCGGCUGCGGCUGCGGCUUCUACAGUAUUUUUCUCUCUAUGGAUUGCAGCUGCAGCAAUCCAAACAGCUGCAACAGUGUCGGCUUGUAGCCAGCCGAACACGCCCUAUCUCUCUCUCUCGGGCCCUUGCCGUGGCUAUCAGGAGCCUAGCCCCACCCGCUUUGCCUUUGGGUUGGAGAGAGACGGGAUCGCCGGUGGCCCGGCAUCUUUCGGAUAGCGAUAGUCCUCCCCCUGGAGCACUUCCCGUUUCUCUAGGUUUGAACCAUCUCUUGCCUUUAAAUCAACUGCUGCUGCCUGUCACUACUGGCUAGCUGCCGUACAUACAUGUGCUUCACGUACUAGCUUAGUAUUGGUGUACUGGAGUACAUCAGUACGUAUGAUUGCCUACGCCCACGUAGUAAAAGAGUGGCGUAUCGUAGGCAUCGUCCGCAACUAUCGAAUCCCUCCGGCCUCCGGGGCUUCUUUACCGCCGGCCGCCGUCGCCAUCGAGUAAGCGGGGCUGCGUGACAUGACUCAUCGGGCGGUCUCGUGCUUCGCCGCCUGAAGCAAGCCCGGCCGCUGUCGGCAGACGGCGCGCCCUACAUAUGUAGGCAGUAGUAUUUGACCCACCGGCGGCUUAGCUGUCGCAGCGAAAAGAGUAGGUGUAGUGUAGGCAAAUUUGCUCAAGGACACACUGUUUAAUGAUGGUAUUUGUUGAUUGCCACUACUCGAUGCCAUCUUUACUAAAAGUACUUUUUAAAUUAGCUAGCUAUUGGACACCAUAUAGCUACUGAAAUGAUUUUAUUUAGAACUUGGAGGAAGGGAGAAGGUUAAAAAGCGACAAAAAAAUGCUCCUCCUGACUAUUACACUACCCGUUUUCAUAUUUAUCUAAUAAAAUUUUAUGAAUGUUGCAUGUAAAAUCAGAUAAAAAUCGAACUUUAUAUUAGAAUUAUAGCACUCAGUGAUAUCUACAACUUUUAGUUAUUUAACAAGUAUUAAGGGAAAAAUAUUUUUAAUUUCCAAGAGCUCAAAACUUAAAGUUUAGAAUUGUCGAAAAGUCAUUUAUAAUCUAUUAUUCAUCUUACCAUUUUAUAUUUUUAAAAUUGAAAUUCAAGUUUUCUUACCUUGGCGGUAUAGAUCGUGUAAAUGAAGUCGUUUGAAAUUCCUAUCUUCUAGAAUUCAAAAUCUAAGAAACUAAAAUAAGUAUUUAGGAUAACAAAUAACUUCAACUUAAAAAGUUAUCAAAUAUAAAGUUAUAUAUAUUGAUAAUUGCAACAUGUAUAUGUUCCAUGUCAACACCCAAGGUCAUUCAUUAAAAUUCUAAAUUUCAUAAUCUAAGAAUUCUAAAAAAGAUUUUAAAAAAUACAUAGUUUUCAAACGAAAACUCGACAACUAUAAAGAUAUAGAGAGAGUUAUAGAUCUCAUUGAACUAUACAGUUUUGUAUAAGAAUAGUUUUUGGUUGACUUUAUCUGCAAAACUUUUUUUAAGAAAUAAGGGUUGUACUAUAAUAACGGGGGUAUUUUGGUUAUUUUGAACUUCUUUCAUAUCCACUCAUAAAUAAUACUAUUUUAAUGGUUAUAGUGUCCUAGAGCCAAUUAACACAAAAAGUACCUUCUAGUAAAGACAAUAUUAUUUCUCUACUCGUUUCAAGUAGGUGAAGGUCUUGCAUCCACCGUUCCUUGGGACCACUCACACCAUCACCACUUCAUCCCUACAUCUGGCGCGCCCUUUCUAAGCCUCGCUUGCCCUGCUCCUCCUCCUCCUCCUCCUCAUCCUUCAUGUUUUCCCCUUCUACAUCCCUGCCCCAUACCUGAUUAUCGGUGUCUCGGUGCUCCAUCCUAGAUAUGAUCACGCUCUUGCCACCGUGCCACAUUCGACCAGCGGUGGCUACGCCUUCUCUUUGUUUUCCCCUUCUUCCCUGACUCGCAUCCGGUUGGCAAUGGCUUGUCGCUCCGCCACCGAUCCGCCUACGUCUCCACCACCAUGACACACUUGGUUAGUGGUGGUUACACAUCUGGCUAGCGAUGGCUCGCCGCUCUACCACCAAAUUGGUCACGCCCCCACCAUGUCGCAUGCGCCUUAAUACGGUUAUGGCAAAGGCAUGUGAAUGUCUUAAGAGAGGGAGAGUUGAAAACAAGAAUGAACCAUGUGCGAACAUCCUACAUGAUUGUGUCAUGGGCUAGAACUUGGUGUCACUGUCAUUUUUUGUUAGGGUGUCCAUGGUAGCGUGUUGUGGCAAAGGGUGUCAACAUCGGCUAGGUAGCCAAAGCGAUCAAAGUUACCAUAGAAGGAGGCCACGAGGGAGAAUGUGGUGGAGCUGGUUAGUGAUUAGUUGAGAGGGAAACAUACAUUGUGAAAGAGGAGAGGAGGAGGUAGAGUGAUAAGGACAAGGGUUGUCAAUGUUUAGGUAGGUUAAAUAUAACUAUCAAUCUGAUGAAGAGCAACACACAUAUCCGAUUUCAGAUCAUAGAGACUUGAAUUUUGCAACCUUACUGAGAGCACCUAGAGGGGGGUGAAUAGGUGAUCCUGUAAAAUCAAACACUACAUAGCCACAAACUUGGUUAUUAAAGUGUUAGUGUGACUAAGUAGUUUUGAAGCGAGUUCUUGUGAACACAACUGUCGGCGUUUCGAGACCGGGGGGUCCCUGAGCCGAAGAGUGAAGUGUCGCCGCGUGCCCCAGCCCAGAUGGGUCGACGCGAGGCCGAGCGCGAAGGGGGGAAGCGAGGUGGCCGGAGAUGGGCGUGAGAGAGGUGGAAAUCCUGCGGCCUUCGUGUUCGUCCCGCGCCUAGGUCGGGUGCGCUUGCAGUAGGGGGUUACAAGCGUCCACACGGGGGAAGGAGCGAGCGGCCUCACGCGAGCGCCCGUCCUGUCCUCGUCCCCGUGCGGCCAACCCUCUCUAAGAGGGCCCUGGUCCUUCCUUUUAUAGGCGUAAGGAGAGGGUCCAGGUGUACAAUGGGGGGUGUAGCAGAGUGCUACGUGUCUAGCGGAGGAGAGCUAGCGCCCUAAGUACACGCCAUCGUGGCGGCCGGAGAGAUUUUGGCGCCCGGCUUGUGUGAUGUCGUGGCCAUCGGAGGAGUGCUGGAGCCUGGCGGAGGGACAGCUGUCGGGGCCGUCGAGUCCUUGCUGACGUCCUCUUGCUUCCGUAAGGGGGCCGAGAGCCGCCAUCGUCAGGGAACGUGCGGGGCGCCAUCAUCGCCUAUCUGGCGGAGCGAGCCAGAUGGGACGUCGGUCUUGUUCCCCGUAGCCUGAGUCAGCUUGGAGUAGGGUAAUGAUGGCGCCUCCUGUUGACGUGGCCGGUCCGCGCCCUCGGUUGGGCGAUGUGGAGGCUCCUCCGAGGUCGAGGUCGAGUCCGUCUUCCGUGGCCGAGGCCGAGUCCGAGCCCCUAGGUCGGGUGAGGCGGAGGCCGUUGGCUGAGGCCAGGGCGGAUUUUGAGUCCUGGGGUCGAGCGAAGCGGAGUUCGUCGUCUUCUGGGGCUGAGCCCAAGUCCGAGCCCUAGGUCGGGCGGAGCGGAGUUCGCCGUCUUCCGGGGCUUUGCCCGAGUCCGAGCCCUGGGUCGGGCGGAGCGGAGUUCGCCGUCUUCCGGGGCUUAGCCCGAGUCCGAGCCCUGGGUCGGGCGGAGCGGAGUUCGCCGUCUUCCGGGGCUUAGCCCGAGUCCGAGCCCUGGGUCGGGCGGAGCGGAGUUUCCUAUGGUGUGUGGCCGGGCCUGACUGCCUGUCAGCCUCACUCUGUCAAGUGGCACCGCAGUCGGAGCGGCGCAGGCGGCGCUGUCUUUCUGUCAGACCGGUCAGUGGAGCGGCGAAGUGACGGUGGUUACUUCGGCUCUGUCAGCUGAGGGGCGCGCGUCAGGAUAAAGGUGUCAUGCCACCUUUGCAUUAAAUGCUCCUGCGAUUUGGUCGGGGUUGCUUCUUGGCGAAGGCAGGGCCUCGGGCGAGCCGGGAACGUGUUCGCCGCUGGAGGGGGGCCUCGGGCGAGGCGGAGAUCCUCCGGGGUCGGCUGCCCUUGUCCGAGGCUAGGCUCGGGCGAGGCAUGAUCGAGUCCCUCGAAUGGACUGAUCCCUGACUUGAUCGCACCCAUCAGGCCUUUGCAGCUUUAUGCUGAUGGGGGUUACCAGCUGAGAAUUAGGAGCCUUGAGGGUACCCCUAAUUAUGGUCCCCGACAGUAGCCUCCGAGCCUCGAAGGGAGUGUUAGCACUCACUUGGAGGCUUUCGUCGCACUUUUUUGCAAGGGGACCAGCCUUUCUCGGUUGCGUUUUGUUCCGGUGGGUGCGCGCAAGCGCACCCGCCGGGUGUAGCCCCCGAGGCCUCGGAGGAGUGGUUUGACUCCUCCGAGGUCUUAACGCCUCGCGCAAUGCUUCGGCUGGUCUGGUCGUUCCCUCAUGCGAGCUGGCCGUAGCCCGGGUGUACGGUCGGGUCUCAAGUUCUCGGGCUGGUAUGUUGACGCUGUCAACGGUUUGGCUAGAGCUGGGUUUGCGAGAGCAGCCCCCGAGCCUCUGCACAGGGCGAGAGGGCGAUCAGGGACAGACUCGACUUUUUUACAUACGCCCCUGCGUCGCCUUUCCGCAAGGAGGAGGGGGGAGAGAGCGCCAUGUUGCCCUCGGUGGGUGCCGAACAUGGUGUCUCCGGUGAGCUGCAGGCGGGUGAUCCGAGCGGACGUCCGUGCCCCAUUCGUUAGGGGUCGGCUAGAGGCCCAGAGGCGCGCCCAAAAGUACCUGCGGGUGAUCUGCCGGACCCGGUCCCCUGGUGACGGGGUCCGAGGGCUCGAUGCCUCCCUCCGAUGGGAUUCCGUUACAAGAUCGUUCCCGCUGGUCUCGGAAAUGUCCUAGGGUACCUCGGGAGCGCAGCCCGAGCCUUGGUUAUGUAUCGAACGUACCCAUGGUCAUCCCUUGCUCUGUGUCUGAGGCGGCUGUGAACCCUUCGGGGGCCAGCCUUCGAACCCCUGAUCAGUAGUGGGCACGGAGCUCGAGUAGCCUGAGGCGGCCGUUGAACCCUUCCGAGGGGCCGGCCUUUGAACCUCUGACCAGUAGUGGGUGUGGAGCCCACGUGCUCUGAGGCGGCUGUUGAACCCUUCCGAGGGGCCAGCCUUCGAACCUCUGAUCAGUAGGGAGGCUCGGAGCCUGGUUCCUUCACAGGGAAGGAUCCCUUUCGGGGUAUCCCCCUUUCUCGGUCCCUGUUGCAAGAGAGAGAAAGAGGGAAAAAGGAAAAGGAUACGAAAUCGAACGACGCGGCGUACCUUUUUUGACGCGGUCAUUAUGGCGAAGGCGAAGCGUUGCUCGCUCCUCCUGCCAGAGGCGCCGCCUGUCCCACCACGGAGUUAAUGCGACGGGGCGAGUGGUUCGCGGGGCAGCCGUUGCGCGUGCGCGAGCCGUUCGAGGAACAGAACAUGGGUGCGUUGUCUUCACGCCGUGAGAGAGGGUUCUCUCGCUGCCCCCGGAUGGGACGUAAGCUUGGCUGACGACGUGACCGCUGCUCCUGCCCGCCUGCCACCGCCAUUACUGCCGGCCCGUUUUCGGCCGCAUUGACCGUCGCGCCAGGCUGGAGCCGCUGGGUCGUGCGCUGGGUCGCCUCGAGUCACGGUAUUGGUCCCAUAGUCGAGGAGGCGCGGUGGUGGCGCAGGUGGCGGUGCAGUUGCAUGCACGAAGCAUUUGGCGCGCCGGUUGCAUGACGCGUGGGUCUGGGCCUCCAUGUCGGGCGUGUUGGGAGUCGGAGAAGCGCGCCCACUUGGCGUGGUGCAUGCCGCCUGCACGGCUGCCCGCCCUGUCGCCCGCUAGUCUGGGCAAAAGUGGAGAGCCGCUUGUAACCGCUGGGCGGUUGCACGCACCGCGCACGGCGGUUUGGCUUCUUCUGCUCUGGGCCGGCUUGCAUGACGUCUGGGACCUAGCCCCCGCGCCGUAGGGGGAGGGCCUUGGAGCGUGUUGGAGAAGACUCAGUCCACGACGGCUGGGGACGCAAGUAGGGAGAGUCGCCUUUAAAAGGAGGGUGACCCUCUUGGAAGGCGACCAUGUCUUCGCGCUCCCUUAUGCAUCGUGUCUUUCCAUCUUCCAAGCCCCCGGAUGGGGGAUAUCCGCCGUCUUUCCGCUUCGUCGUUGGAGGAACGCAACUCUGCGGGAGUUGGUACCUUUCAGCCGUCGUUCGGCUUCAAGGAUUUUCAUCAUGUAGCCCGGUGGCACCCCUCCGCCGGCGGUCACCCAAGAUGGUGACCUCCAGUUCGAUGGCGGGGGAGAGCGAACCGGGCCGCGGCCUCUGCCCCUCCCUCAGCCUCAAGGAUUUUCAUCACCAGGGCUGGGGAGGGGAGUGUGCCGAGUUGGGGUCGGCCCCUGCGUGUGCGGUGGCCCGCUCCUUCCCUUAGUGAUCGGGGGGAAGGGCGGGAGCCGUCCAUGGUGCUGGCAGCUGCAUCGUGCCCGGCUCUCUGAGCCGAGCGGCUUCGGAGCCGCUCCUGGUGCCGCCUCCCGCCACGGCAGCUGGAAGAGGUUCCGCCGCCGACGAGCUUGCCGGCGCCACCCGCGGACCGACCUCCAACUCUACGGCCUUCUGCCCGUCCUUGCCUCACGAGUUUGGGCAUGGGCGGGGGCCUCCUAGCAGCAGCAUCCGCCCUGAGGUCAUCGCUGCUGCUGUUCGGCCCCCCGGAGCAGAAGUCUUCAUCGUCGCCGUUGCUGGGGCGGGCGGCGGCGAGCCGUUCGUCGGUCUUCUGUUGCUCCGCAGGCCCCUCCCCCGUCGAGUGGGGCUGUUCGUACCUGCGGAGGUGGAACCGGAGUUCCGUUUGUAAUGGCACUUCGAAUGCUAGUGUUUUUGUUCACUGUGGCUGUCGAGGCCUGAACAUGUAUGUAAAUUCGGCGCGGAGCCGUGUUUUUCCCCAUUUUCGAGCACUAAGACUCGCCUGUUGGUUGUCUGAACCGCUUCACCAUGCGUGAGUUGCCCCGGGUAAAGGUGACGAGUGAGGUAUCCGUAUCCCGGGGGCGUAGGAGUCCCUCGGCUCGGUCAGCCUUGUUGUCCGAGGCCUCCCUUGCUUAGUUAGAGGAAACCCUCGGCCGCUCUUCGAUGAGCCGAGGCCAGGGGCAGCGGUGCCAGUGCGAACAGAAGCAGAGUUGGCUCGAAAAGAAGACCAGGUCAGUCGAAACCUGGCCGCGUCGUCCGUUAGCGGGACCGACGCCGGAAUUGACCUGCCGAGGCCUCAGGCCGGGCUGAUGUCCUUGGGGGACAGCUAGCCGAGGCCCUGGGGUGACCAGCCGAGCCGCCUGCUCGGGCCGGAUUCUUGGAGAAGACCCUGGCGGUGAUGGCCCGGGCUUGGUGAUGACGUUGUCCUUCAGAGCGGAGACCCUUGGACCGCGUCGCCGUCUGAGGCUAGGUCGGACCUCGCCAGAGGUGUUGUCAGCGCCGAGGGUGCUGCUGCUCCCUUUAGCCGUCAAGAUCCGAGCCUGCAGGAUCGGAUUAUCUUGUAGCGUGUGUUUUCUGCGGCCGCCGAGGCCGAAGCACACCCUCGUCGUAUUGUAAAGCCGCGUCUCCUUUCCUCUUGUUUCGAGUAUCUGGACUUUUUUGUCGGUAACAGAACUGUUUCUGCGAGCGAGAGUUGCUUCUCACGGAAGGUGAUGAGUGAGGUAUCCGUAUCCCGGAGGCGUAGGAAUCCCUCGGCUCGGUCGGCCUUGCCUCUUACGCGCACUCUUACCCGUCCAUGGGGUUCUGUCACCGACGCGGUCGAGAGAGCUCGAAGAAUCGCUCCGGCAGAAGAGCUUCCGAACGUGAAGACUUGUUUGGUCCACGGAAUCACUUAUCCGAACGUGAGUUACUUAUGGCAGAAGGUGAUGAGUGAGGUAUCCGUAUCCCGGAGGCGUAGGAGUCCCUCGGCUCGGUCAGCCUUGGCUGCUUACGUGUACUCCGUCAUUUUCAGGAUCCACUUUCGAAGUAGUCGAAAAGCACGAAAGACAUUCCGGCGAAAAAGAUCUUUUUUCGAGGAAAAUUUCGACGCAGAGGGGGUUCCCCCCUUUAGCCCCCGAGGGAGGGUCGGGCUUUGCCGAGGCAAGGCUGACCCUUCCUUGAUGACUAAACUUUGCGUGAGAGCGAGGUAUAUGAACAACUUGAAAACAUCUUAAGGGUAGAAGCGACGUAGCUGUUGGAUGUUCCAAGCGUUGCUGUAGACCUCGCCUUGACUGUUGGCCAGCUUGUAUGUUCCGGGUUUCAGAACUUUGGCGAUGACGAACGACCCCUCCCAGGGGGGCGUGAACUUGUGUCGACCUCGGGCGUCUUGUCGCAGCCGAAGCACCAGGUCGCCCACCUGGAGGUCUCGGGACCGGACCCUCGGGCGUGGUAGCGUCGCAUGGACUGCUGGUACCGCGCCGAGUGUAGUAAGGCCUUGUCCCGAGCCUCUUCCAGCUGGUCCAGCGAGUCUUCUCGGCUAGCUUGGUUGCUUUGGUCGUCAUAGGCCCUCGUCCUCGGGGAACCGUAUUCUAGGUCUGUGGGCAAGAUGGCCUCGGCCCCAUAGACUAGAAAGAACGGCGUGAAGCCCGUGGCUCGGCUCGGUGUCGUUCUCAGGCUCCAGACCACCGAGGGGAGUUCCUUCAUCCAUCGCUUGCCGAACUUGUUGAGGUCGUUGUAAAUCCGAGGCUUGAGUCCUUGUAGAAUCAUGCCGUUGGCACACUCUACUUGCCCAUUCGUCAUGGGAUGAGCCACGACGGCCCAGUCCACCCGGAUGUGGUGAUCCUCGCAGAAGUCCAGGAACUUUCUGCCAGUGAACUGGGUGCCGUUGUCGGUGAUGAUGGAGUUUGGGACCCCGAAACGAUGGAUGAUGUUGGUGAAGAACGCCACCGCCUGCUCGGACCUGAUGCUGUUCAGGGGUCGGACCUCGAUCCACUUGGAAAAUUUGUCGAUGGCGACCAACAGGUGCGUGUAGCCCCCGGGUGCCUUCUGCAAGGGGCCGACGAGGUCCAGACCCCACACAGCAAAAGGCCAUGUGAUGGGUAUCGUCUGCAGAGCCUGAGCGGGCAGGUGGGUCUGCCUUGCAUAGAACUGACACCCUUCGCAGGCGUGGACAAUUCUAGUGGCGUCGGCCACCGCCGUUGGCCAGUAGAAACCUUGUCGGAAAGCAUUUCCGACAAGGGCUCGAGGUGCUGCGUGGUGGCCGCAAGCCCCCGAGUGUAUUUCUCGGAGGAGUUCCUGACCUUCAGUGGUGGAGAUGCAUCGCUGGAGGAUGCCUGAAGGGCUGCGGUGGUAUAGCUCCUUCCCUUCUCCCAGCAAGACGAAUGACUUAGCGUGCCGCGCCAACCGCCGAGCUUCGGCUCGGUCAAGGGGUAGCUCUCCUCGGUGGAGAUAUUGCAGGUACGGGGUCUGCCAGUUUUGAUCAGGCGUGACCCCGCUUUGCUCCCCCUCGACGCGCAGCGUUUCACCCUCGGGGGCCGAGGGUACCUCAGGCCGAACCGAGGGUGCCUCGGGCCAAGGGUACCUCGGGCCGAACCGAGGGUGCCUCGGGCCGAGCCGAGGAUGCCUCGGACUGUGCCGAGGAUACCUCGGGCUGGGCCGAGGGCGCCUCAGGCUCGGGCGCGUCGUCGAUCUUGACGGAGGGUUGAUGCAGAUCUCGGGAGAAGACGUCCGGGGGAACCGUUGUUCGCCCCGAGGCUAUUUUAGCCAGCUGGUCCACAGUCUCGUUGUAGCGCCGAGCGAUGUGGUUGAGCUCGAGCCCGUAGAACUUGUCUUCCAGGCGCCGAACCUCAUCGCAGUAGGCCUCCAUCUUCGGGUCGCGGCAGUGGGAGUUCUUCAUGACUUGGUCGAUGACGAGCUGCGAGUCACCGCGAGCAUCGAGGCGUCGGACCCCUAGCUCGACGGCAAUCCGCAACCCGUUGACCAGAGCCUCGUACUCAGCUACAUUGUUGGACGCCGGGAAGUGGAGGCGUAGCACGUAGCGUAGGUGCUUCCCGAGGGGCGAGAUGAAGAGUAGGCCUGCGCCGGCUCCUGUCUUCGUCAGCGACCCAUCGAAGAACAUGGUCCAGAGCUCCGGUUGGAUCGGAGCUGUUGGUAGCUGGGUGUCGACCCAUUCAGCCACGAAGUCCGCCAAGACCUGGGAUUUGAUGGCCUUCCGAGGGGCGAACGAGAUUGUUUCGCCCAUGAUUUCCACCGCCCACUUUGCAAUCCUACCCGAGGCCUCUCGGCAAUGGAUGAUCUCCCCCAGGGGGAAGGAUGACACCACAGUUACCGGAUGAGACUCGAAGUAGUGUCGCAACUUCCGCCGUGUCAGGAUCACCGCGUACAGCAGCUUCUGAACUUGUGGGUAGCGGAUUUUGCUUUCGGACAGUACCUCGCUGACGAAGUAGACUGGCCUCUGAACGGGCAAUGCAUGCCCCUCUUCUUGCCUCUCGACCACAAUCGCGGCGCUAACCACCUGAGUGGUCGCGGCGACGUAGACCAAGAGGGCUUCUCCGGCAGCUGGGGGCACUAGGCGCCUUCGUGAGGAACGCCUUCAUGUUCCCGAGGGCUUCCUCGGCCUCAGGGGUCCAAGUGAAGCGCUCGGCCUUCCUUAAGAGGCGGUACAGGGGUAGACCUCUUUCGCCGAGGCGUGAGAUGAAGCGGCUCAGAGCCGCGAGACAUCCCAUGACCCUCUGUACGCCUUUCAAGUCCUUGAUGGGCCCCAUGCUGGUGAUGGCUGCGAUCUUCUCCGGGUUGGCUUCGAUGCCCCGCUUGGAGACGAUGAACCCCAAGAGCAUGCCUCGGGGCACCCCGAAGACACACUUUUCGGGAUUGAGCUUGACACCUUUCGCCUUGAGACAUCGGAAUGUCACUUCAAGGUCGGAAAGGAGGUCGGAGGCUUUCCUCGUCUUGACUACGAUGUCAUCGACGUAGGCCUCGACCGUGCGGCCAAUGUGCUCGCCGAACACAUGGUUCAUGCACCGCUGGUACGUCGCGCCCGCAUUCCUCAAGCCGAACGGCAUGGUGACAUAGCAAUACAUGCCGAAGGGUGUGAUGAAAGAAGUCGCGAGCUGGUCGGACUCUUUCAUCCUGAUUUGGUGAUACCCUGAGUAGGCAUCGAGGAAAGACAGGGUUUCGCACCCAGCAGUGGAGUCCACGAUCUGAUCGAUGCGAGGCAGAGGGUAGGGAACCUUCGGACAUGCUUUGUUCAGACCAGUGUAGUCUACACACAUCCGCCAUUUCCCCCCUUUCUUUCUCACAAGCACAGGGUUGGCAAGCCAUUCGGGAUGGAAUACCUCUUUGAUGAACCCUGCCGCCAUUAGCUUGUGGAUCUCCUCGCCUAUGGCUCUGCGCUUCUCCUCGUCGAAUCGGCGCAGAGGCUGCUUGACGGGUCGGGCUCUGGCUCGGAUGUCCAGCGAGUGCUCGACGACAUCCCUCGGUAUGCCGGGCAUGUCCGAGGGACUCCACGCAAAGACGUCGGCGUUCGCGCGGAGAAAGUCGACGAGCACUGCUUCCUAUUUGGGAUCGAGCCCGGAGCCGAUCCGGACUUGCUUGGAGGCGUCGCUGCUGGGGUCGAGGGGGACGGACUUAACCGUCUCCGCUGGCUCGAAGUUGCCGGCAUGACGCUUCACGUCUGGCACCUCCUUAGAGAGGCUCUCCAGGUCGGCGAUGAGGGCCUCGGACUCGGCGAGGGCCUCGGCGUACUCCACGCACUCCACGUCGCAUUCGAACGCGUGUUUGUACGUGGGGCCGACGGUGAUGACCCCGUUGGGGCCCGACAUCUUGAGCUUGAGGUAGGUGUAGUUGGGGACAACCAUGAACUUCGCGUAGCAGGGCCUCCCCAAUACCGCGUGGUAGGUUCCUCGGAACCCGACCACCUCGAACGUCAGGGUCUCCCUUCGGAAGUUGGAGGGUGUUCCGAAGCAGACGGGAAGAUCGAGUUGUCCGAGGGGCUGGACGCGCUUCCCAGGGAUGAUCCCAUGGAAAGGCGCAGCGCCCGCCCGGACCGAGGACAGAUCGAUAUGCAGAAGCCCGAGGGUCUCGGCGUAGAUGAUGUUGAGGCUGCUGCCUCCGUCCAUGAGGACCUUGGUGAGCCUGACGUCGCCGAUGACGGGGUCGACAAUGAGCGGGUAUUUUCCCGGGCUCGGCACAUGGUCGGGGUGGUCGGCUUGGUCGAAGGUGAUGGGCUUGUCGGACCAGUCUAGGUAGACUGGCGCCGUCACCUUCACCGAACAGACCUCCCGGCGCUCUUGCUUGCGGUGCCGAGCCGAGGCGUUCGCCGCUUGCCCGCCGUAGAUCAUGAAGCAGUCGCGGACCUCGGGGAACUCUCCUGCCUGGUGAUCUUCCUUCUUGUCGUCAUCGCGGGCCCUGCCACCCUCCGCGGGUGGCCCGGCCCUGUGGAAGUGGCGCUGAAGCAUGACGCACUCCUCAAGGGUGUGCUUGACGGGUGUAGGAAACGGGUGACGCCUAAGGGGGGGGUGAAUUAGGACUUCUAAAACUUUUACUAAACUAGGCCACAAUUAAAUCCCUAGAGCAAAACCUAUGCGAGUAAUCAAAACUAGAAUGUGCAAACUAGGUUUUGUCUAAGUGUUGCUAUCUCUACCGCAAAAGGCUAAGUUUCAAUCUACACUAAAUAAGUAUGACUACAAGAUUGAAACUUAAAUGCUUAAUAUAAAUGCGGAAUGUAAAGAGCUAAGUAGAGAAGCAAACUCUCGUGGAUGACGCCGGUAUUUUUACCGAGGUAUCCGGAACCACGCAAGGUCCCGACUAAUCCUCGUUGGUGCCCCUACGCAAAGGGAAGCCCACGCGAGGGCCAAGCACCACGGUCGAGUAACUCCGUAGAGAGCCGCGGGCCUUCUCCACGCGCAAGUGGUGCUCCGCUUCCGGCUCCUCUCGGAUGCUCCCCGCCGUCUCCACUAUCGAGCUUCCGGCCGAAACGCCGCGGGCCUCGUUCCCUCCGGUACACGGUGGCGGCCGUGACACAAACGCGGUUGUCACGGUCUCGCAAGACUCUCGCCCCACUCGGUACAAUUACAACGACUCACGCAAGAGCCGAGGGGUUGUGUGGUUUUACAAAACUCACUCAACUAACUAGGGUUCACCUAGAGCAAGCGCUAAAGCGGUCUAACUAACCUAAGCACUUCGCAAAGCACCUACGCUAAUCACCGAGUGAUUCUAUUAAGCACUUGGGUGUUUGAGCACUUGGAAAUAUGCACUAUGUGUAUUGGAAUGUUGCUUGGGCUCUCACACUUGAGAAUGGCCGGUUGGGGUGGUAUUUAUAGCCUCCACACCCCCAACUAGCCGUUGGACAGAAAGCAGCAGCUUUCUGUCGUCGGGUGCACCGGACAGUCCGGUGCACCACCGGACACUGAACAGUAGAUGUCCGGUGCACGCCACGUCAGCCGACCGUUGGCGCCUGUAGCAGUCGACCGUUGGAUCCGACCGUUGCCUUCUGCCCGUUGGCACACCAGACAGUCCGGUGCACACCGGACAGUCCGGUGCUACAGCCAGAGAGCGCCUGUCUGCGGCCUCUCUGCGCAGACUGUCCGGUGCCUCACCGGACAGUCCGGUGCACACCGGACACCAAUGUCUGGUGCGCCACCAGGCGCUGGCUGACAGCCCUUAUCUUGGAUUUCUUCGCUGAUUUCUUCGGGCUUCUUUGUUCUUGAGUAUUGGACUCUUAUGCAUCUUUUUAUGUCUUCUUUUGAGGUGUUGCAUCCUCAUUGCCUUGGUCCAAUUCUCUUCGCAUCCUAUGAACUACAAACACAAACACUAGAAAACUUAUUAGUUCACGGAUUGUGUUGUUCAUCAAACACCAAAACUCAAUUAGCCAAAAGGCCCGGGGUCCAUUUUCCUUACAAUCUCCCCCUUUUUGGUGAUUGAUGACAACACAACCAAAGCAAGCAAAUAAUACAAGUAUUUGAAUGAACGUAUGCAAUCUACUUGCUAAGAUGCAUGAUUGUCCCCUCAAUGUGAUAUUAUGGACUUAAGCCUCCCCCUAACUCCAUAAUUCACUUACUUCCUAUUUUUGGACCAAAUAACCAAAACCACUUAAAAAGCCAUUUGUAGAUAUAAAAUUUUAAAUUUGUGGUGUUUGGUGUUUGAUAUAGUUUUCAUUGCUUUGGCCCCUAAACUUCUCCCCCUUUGGCAUCAACCACCGAAAAGGAAGACAUUAAAAGCAUGUAGGAAGUAAAUAAAAGCUUGCCCUCAACAAGAAUUGUAUCAAAUGAUAUCACUAGAAGGAUAUUAAAUUAAGCCAUGAAAGAUACCACUUGUAGACCAUGAAAGAUACCACGUGUAGGAGUUCCUCAAAAGAUUACUCCCCCUAAAUGAGUAUUCUCCUUUAGAAAGAGUUUUUCUCCCCCUUUAGAGAUGAAGAAAUACUCCCCUUGAUAGAGAACCUCUACUUAGGAAAAAGCAUGUGAAAAUUAGAGGUGCAAGACAUGAUUUGAAAAGACUAACUUCCCUUAUGCAUAGGUAACAGAAUAUGAGUUAACCACUUAUGCAUUUUUAGCAACAAGGAGGUAUAUGAUAUGAAAUAUAGUCUAAUCAAAUUUAGGAGAAGACAUGUAAAUGAUACUGAAUGUAGUCUCAAAAGAUACCAAUUGAAGAUCAAUGGCGAGCUUGAGAGACAUGAGAGUUCUUGGAGAUUUUGCAGUGGAAGAUUGUUGUCUUUCUCCGGGGACCUCAUUUUCCUUACAAUGAGACUAUCACAUGAAAUAGACUUGAAAAGGUGUUAGUCUCAAAGUGUUAGAUUAUAGAGUAACCUCCCCCUAAAGGUGUGCAUACAAGUUUUGAAUACUUGUAGGAGACAUGCACUUUUAUUUGAUAUCAAGAGGGGCAAAUUAUCCAUAAUCCAAACUUUGGCACAUAUAAGUUAAAUGAUACAACUUGUAAAAAUCAAAAUUUUCAAUUGAUGCAUCAUUUACUAUGGAGUGAUAUAAAAGCUAUGUGCCGUGCUUUAACUAAACAUUUUAAGCCAUGUAGGUUUGCUUAAGUAUAUGAAUUUAAAAACUAGCAAUCCUACCAUAUGAUUUACCUAGUAUGCAUGAUUUUGAACAAAAGUACAUAACAAUUGUAAUACUAGGCAAGAAAGGUAAACUAGAUAAAAGAUAAAUAGAUACGCAUAUCUAAAAACGAAAAAUACAAUAAAACUAGUUACCUUAGUCAUGGGUGGGAAAUUUGGGUCCAAAAUUUACACUAACCCACUUGGCAAUAAACUUGAUCCAAUAUGAUGUAUCCCAUGAUAUACAUCCCAAUUUUGCCAAGUCUCCAAAUUUCCCGAAGACCUUCGGUCCACUCACUUCCCUUUCGGGAUCCAAACCUUCUUGGUGCUUUUCAUGGUUGAAAUUAUCUCCUUUGGCACCCAGAUGCGUUUGGCCCCCUUUCCUUUGUUGGCUUGCUUGUUGGCCUUGAUUGCUAUCACCUUUCCAUUCUUUUUCUUCUUGAUCAAAUAUGGUGUAGCAUCCUUUUUGUUCACCUUUUUGAUGUAGGUGUUGGAGAUUUUGCUUGAUGGCUUUUGCUUGAGCUUUUGCCUUUGUUUAUCCCUGGUCAUCGCCUUGCAUUGGAAAGACUUGUGGCCUUCCUUGUGGCACAGCCUACAAAUCACAGUUUCUCCCUCUACAGGCUUGUUCACUCCCGUAGUGGUGUUAUCCUGUGGAGGUCGGAUUUGUUUGGCUUUGCCUUUCUUGUCAUACAAAGCCUUGCCAAGACGAGCCACUUCUUGCUUUAAUUGUUCAUUUUCCUUUGCAACCUCAUCCGAACAUGUCUCUACAACAAUAUUCUCAACAACAACUUGGUUGCAGGGUUUAGAAUCAUCAAUUAAAUCAAAGCAGGAAGUAGAAGCAUCUUUCUUAAUUAUCUCAGGUAUUUCAACCAAAGAUGCUGCUGGGGUGCUACCAAUGUUUUCUAGCUUAGUAGUUAGCUCAUUAUUGUGUAUGCUAAGAAUUUCCAUUUUCUCUAGCAAAUUUUCAAUAGCUUCUUGGGAGCUAGCUAACUUAGCCUUAAGUUUUUCAUUCUUUUUAAUAAGGCUGUCAUCGGUAGCAGUGGAUGGAGCACUAGACUCUAAUAGCUCAAUUUUAAUUGAUAGCUCACUAUUUAGGUUUGCAAAAGUUUCAAAUUUUUCUAGCAAACCUUUGUAAUCAUUUUGAGAGCUAACCAACUUAUUUUUCAAAGUUUUAAGUUGAGCUUUUUGCUUAGUGCAAACAUCCUGGAAAAAAUUAACGGCUUCCGCAAGCUCUUCUAGAGAGGCCUUUCCCUCACCUUCAUCAUCACUACUACUUUCAUCACUAGAGGAUGGAAUGCUUUUGUUACCUCUUGCCAUAAGGCAUUUGUGUGAUGAUCGUGAUGAUCGUGACGAGGACCGGUGGCUGCGCGUCCUUGGAGGUUCAUCUUCACUUGAAGAGUCAUCCCAAGUUCUAACACUUGUGAGCGCCUUGCCUUUGCUCCUCUCCUUUUUGGGUUUGGCCAUAUUUGGACAGUUGUCCCUGAAGUGGCCCUUCUCCCCACAUGCGAAGCAUCCUCUCUUCCUUUGCUUUUUCCUGUCAAUGUUAAAGAGAAGAUCCUCGACCUGCAGGGGCACACCCAUUAGAUUAAUCUUGCGGAUCAUCCUCAUUACCUUUCCGACGCGUCGGAUUGUUUCUUCGUCCUCAGAGGAUGAUGUGCAUGGUUGAUUAUCUUCAUCAUCAUCACUUUCUUCUUCUUCUUCCUCUUCUUCGCUUGAGGAACUUGGAGUGGGAGCCUUCUUUUUGCCCUUCCUUUCAUCACAUGCAAAAGCAUAUGGUCUUGAGGAAGUUGGCUCCUCUCCCCGACUCAUUUUUCGCGACAUCUCAAAGGCCGCGAUUUUCCCAAUCACAAUGGUCGGGGUCAUGUUGCUCAAAUCCUCCAUGUUGUGAAGGAUGGUGAUGAUGCUCCCAUAUCUUUGUUGUGGUAGCAGGGAGAUAAUCUUCCUCACAAUGUCCGCAUCACCUAGCUUAUUAAUGCCAAUAGAGUUGAGCUCAUUGAUGAUUAGAUUCAGACGAGAAUACAUGUCUCUAACAAGCUCAUCAUCUUUCAUAGCAAAAGAAUUAUAUUCAUUUAAGACUAGGCAAUGUUUUUGCUCACGGACAUUGGAUGUGCCGUCAUGGAGCUCAUGCAAUUUUAGCCAAAUCUCAUUAGCAGUUUUCAGGGUAAAUACUUGAUUGAAAAUAUCCAUGCUAAGAGAUUCAUACAAGCAAUUUUUGGCUCUAGCAUUUAAAUGGAUUUCUUUUUCCUCACUCGUGGUGGGUUUCUCGGGAUUCUUGAGAGGUUUCAUCCUGUCACGAGUGACUCUCCAAACACCUAGAUCAACGGCCUCUAGGUAACAAGCCAUUCUAGCACUAUAAUAUGGGAAGUUAGUGCCGUCGAAGUGUGGUGGCCUAUGGGUAUCCAUCCCUUCCUCUAAAAAGCGUCGGCUCUUUUAGCGGUGAAGCUAAAGCGUUUCAAAUGAGCCAAACCGGGUUCUGAUACCAAUUGUAGGAAACGGGUGACGCCUAAGAGGGGGGGGGGGGUGAAUUAGGACUUCUAAAACUUUUACUAAACUAGGCCACAAUUAAAUCCCUAGAGCAAAACCUAUGCAAGUAAUCAAAACUAGAAUGUGCAAACUAGGUUUUGUCUAAGUGUUGCUAUCUCUACCGCAAAAGGCUAAGUUUCAAUCUACACUAAAUAAGUAUGACUACAAGAUUGAAACUUAAAUGCUUAAUAUAAAUGCGAAAUGUAAAGAGCUAAGUAGAGAAGCAAACUCUCGUGGAUGACGCCGGUAUUUUUACCGAGGUAUCCGGAACCGCGCAAGGUCCCGACUAAUCCUCGUUGGUGCCCCUACGCAAAGGGAAGCCCACGCGAGGGCCAAGCACCACGGUCGAGUAACUCCGUAGAGAGCCGCGGGCCUUCUCCACGCGCAAGUGGUGCUCCGCUUCCGGCUCCUCUCGGAUGCUCCCCGCCGUCUCCACUAUCGAGCUUCCGGCCGAAACGCCGCGGGCCUCGUUCCCUCCGGUACACGGUGGCGGCCGUGACACAAACGCGGUUGUCACGGUCUCGCAAGACUCUCGCCCCACUCGGUACAAUUACAACGACUCACGCAAGAGCCGAGGGGUUGUGUGGUUUUACAAAACUCACUCAACUAACUAGGGUUCACCUAGAGCAAGCGCUGAAGCGGUCUAACUAACCUAAGCACUUCGCAAAGCACCUACGCUAAUCACCGAGUGAUUCUAUUAAGCACUUGGGUGUUUGAGCACUUGGAAAUAUGCACUAUGUGUAUUGGAAUGUUGCUUGGGCUCUCACACUUGAGAAUGGCCGGUUGGGGUGGUAUUUAUAGCCUCCACACCCCCAACUAGCCGUUGGACAGAAAGCAGCAGCUUUCUGUCGUCGGGUGCACCGGACAGUCCGGUGCACCACCGGACACUGAACAGUAGAUGUCCGGUGCACGCCACGUCAGCCGACCGUUGGCGCCUGUAGCAGUCGACCGUUGGAUCCGACCGUUGCCUUCUGCCCGUUGGCACACCGGACAGUCCGGUGCACACCGGACAGUCCGGUGCUACAGCCAGAGAGCGCCUGUCUGCGGCCUCUCUGCGCAGACUGUCCGGUGCCUCACCGGACAGUCCGGUGCACACCGGACACCAAUGUCCGGUGCGCCACCAGGCGCUGGCUGACAGCCCUUAUCUUGGAUUUCUUCGCUGAUUUCUUCGGGCUUCUUUGUUCUUGAGUAUUGGACUCUUAUGCAUCUUUUUAUGUCUUCUUUUGAGGUGUUGCAUCCUCAUUGCCUUGGUCCAAUUCUCUUCGCAUCCUGUGAACUACAAACACAAACACUAGAAAACUUAUUAGUUCACGGAUUGUGUUGUUCAUCAAACACCAAAACUCAAUUAGCCAAAAGGCCCGGGGUCCAUUUUCCUUACAACGGGCCCCUGGUGAUAGGGGCACGGCUCCUUGAGCAUCUUGUCGAAGAGGUUGGGACCUCCAGGGGGUUUCCGAGGGUUCUUGUACUCGGCGGCGGCGACAAGGUCCGCAUCGGCGGCGUCGCGUUUCGCUUGCGACUUCUUCUUGCUCUUCUUCCUGGUGCCGCGCUGAGCUGACGCCUCGGGGGCAUCUUCCGAUGGGCGGCCCUGGGGCUGCUUGUCCUUCCGGAAGAUAGCCUCGACCGCCUCCUGGCCGGAGGCGAACUUGGUGGCGAUGUCCAUCAGCUCGCUCGCUCUGGUGGGGGUCUUGCGACCCAGCUUGCUCACCAGGUCGCGGCAGGUGGUGCCGGCGAGGAACGCGCCGAUGACGUCCGAGUCGGUGAUGUUGGGCAGCUCGGUGCGCUGCUUCGAGAAUCGUCGGAUGUAGUCCCGGAGAGAUUCUCCCGGCUGCUGUCGGCAGCUUCGGAGGUCCCAGGAAUUCCCGGGGCGCACAUACGUGCCCUGGAAAUUGCUGGUGAAAGCUUGGACUAGGUCGUCCCAGUUGGAGAUCUGCCCCGGAGGCAGGUGCUCCAACCAGGCGCGAGCGGUGUCGGAGAGGAACAGGGGGAGGUUGCGGAUGAUGAGGUUGUCAUCGUCCGUUCCACCCAGUUGGCAGGCCAGACGGUAGUCCGCGAGCCACAGUUUCGGUCUCGUCUCCCCCGAGUACUUUGUGAUAGUAGUCGGGGGUCGGAACCGGAUCGAGAACGGCGCCCGUCGUAUGGCCCGGCUGAAGGCCUGCGGACCGGGUGGUUCGGGCGAGGGACUCUGAUCCUCCCCGCUGUCGUAGCGUCCCCCACACCUUGGGUGGUAGCCUCGGUGCACCCUCUCGUCGAGGUGGGCCCGACGAUCGCGGUGAUGGUGCUCGUUGCCAAGGCGACCCGGGGCCGCAGGCGCUGUGUUGCGCGUGCGCCCGGUGUAGACCGAGGCUUCCCGCAUGAAUCGGGAAGUCACGGCAUGAUGUUUCGAGGGGUACCCCUGCCUUCGGGAGGCGGAGCUCUCGGCCCGCCGGACCGCGGCGCCUUCCAGGAGAUCCUUGAGCUCUCCCUGGAUUCGCCGCCACUCGGUGGUUGAUGGCUCCGGCAUCGCGCGGAGGAGCAUUGCCGCUGCAGCCAGGUUCUGGCCGACCCCACUGGAUGUGGGUGGCGGCCUGACCCUGACAUCGUCGGCGAUACGAUGCUGGAAGCCCUGGGGUAGAUGACGUAUUUCUCCGGCUGGAGGUUGGCCCGCCCAUGCCUGCCCGACGUCCCGGUGGAUUGGCUCUAGCGCUCCUGCUCCCUCGUCGAGCCUGGCCUGCACCCCGCGGAUUUGCUCGAGUUGUGGGUCGUGACCCCCCGCCGGAACGGGGACCACAGCUAGCUCCCGCGGGAUGUCAACGCGAGGCACCGACCUAGGGAGAUCACCGUCCUCCGGCAUGCCGAGAUGGUUGCCUUCGGAGGGACCCCCUAGAUCGACGUGGAAACAUUCGCGGCUCGGGCCGUAGUCCUCGUCACCGAGGCUACGGCUACCGUUGGAACAGUCGGAAAGGCAGUAGUCGCAUGCGGUCAUGAGGUCCCGCAUGGCACUGGGGUUGCCAAGUCCGAAGAAAUCCCAAUAGAAGCUGGGCUCGUCGUCUUCCUCGGACCCAGAGGGUCCGUAGGUCGAGACGUCCGUCAGCCGGUCCCAAGGUGACCGCAUACGAAACCCCAGAGGGUUCGGAUUCGCCUCUACGAAAGCGUCCACCAAAGCGGAGCCGCCAGGCGGGUCGAGGCUAAAUCCGAGAGGCGUGGGAUGGGAAUCGGUUGGUACCUCUUGGUCGACGGGCGGUGAUGAGGUCACGUCGGGGACUAACUGCACCAUCGUCUCGGGUACGAGGGCGACACCCAGCAAGCCUUUUGCGAGCGUGUUGGCGUCGUCCGUUUGCUCGGGAUUAACGUGUCGUGGGGAGACAGCGCUCGUCUUCGUCUCAAGCGCGAGGCCGAUGCCCGGCGCGCCCCCCGUUGGAUUGCUGGCGUUGUCGACUCGCUCGACGACCGACGAGGCGCCGCCUCCUGCUUGGCCUUGGUUGCCCCGCCUCCUCCUCCUCCGUUGACGGGGAAGAGGACAGGGCGAGCUCGAAGGUUGUUCUUCCACCACGCGGGGAAGACGUCGUCGAUCCCGCCGCCGGUGGGCGGACUGUCGGCCGCCACUGUCGCUGUCGCCCGGCGGUGGAAAGAGUAUCAUGUCGUAGCUGCCGUCGAGGGACAUGAACUCAAGGCUCCCGAAACGGAGCACCGUCCCGGGCCGGAGAGGUUGCUGGAGACUACCCAUCUGGAGCUUGACGGGAAGCUGUUCGUCAACACGUAGCAGGCCCCUACCUGGCGCGCCAACUGUCGGCGUUUCGAGACCGGGGGGUCCCUGAGCUGACGAGUGAAGUGUCGCCGCGUGCCCCAGCCCAGAUGGGUCGACGCGAGGCCGAGCGCGAAGGGGGGAAGCGAGGUGGCCGGAGAUGGGCGUGAGAGAGGUGGAAAUCCCGCGGCCUUCGUGUUUGUCCCGCGCUCAGGUCGGGUGCGCUUGCAGUAGGGGGUUACAAGCAUCCACACGGGGGAAGGAGCGAGCGGCCUCACGCGAGCGCCCGUCCUGUCCUCGUCCCCGUGCGGCCAACCCUCUCUAAGAGGGCCCUGGUCCUUCCUUUUAUAGGCGUAAGGAGAGGGUCCAGGUAUACAAUGGGGGUGUAGCAGAGUGCUACGUGUCUAGCGGAAGAGAGCUAGCGCCCUAAGUACACGCCAUUGUGGCGGCCGGAGAGAUUUUGGCGCCCGGCUUGUGUGAUGUUGUGGCCGUCGGAGGAGUGCUGGAGCCUGGCGGAGGGACAGCUGUCGGGGCCAUCGAGUCCUUGCUGACGUCCUCUUGCUUCCGUAAGGGGGCCAAGAGCCGCCAUCGUCAGGGAACGUGCGGGGCGCCAUCAUCGCUUAUCUGGCGGAGCGAGCCAGAUGGGACGUCGGUCUUGUUCCCCGUAGCCUGAGUCAGCUUGGAGUAGGGUAAUGAUGGCGCCUCCUGUUGACAUGGCUGGUCCGCGCCCUCGGUUGGGCGAUGUGGAGGCUCCUCCGAGGUCGAGGUCGAGUCCGUCUUCCAUGGCCGAGGCCGAGUCCAAGCCCCUAGGUCGGGCGAGGCGGAGGCCGUUGGCUGAGGCCAGGGCGGAUUUUGAGUCCUGGGGUCGGGCGAAGCGGAGUUCGUCGUCUUCUGGGGCUGAGCCCAAGUCCGAGCCCUGGGUUGGGCGGAGCGGAGUUCGCCGUCUUCCGGGGCUUUGCCCGAGUCCGAGCCCUGGGUCGGGCGGAGCGGAGUUCGCCGUCUUCCGGGGCUUAGCCCGAGUCCAAGCCCUGGGUCGGGUGGAGCGGAGUUCGCCGUCUUCCGGGGCUUAGCCCGAGUCCGAGCCCUGGGUCGGGCGGAGCGGAGUUUCCUAUGGUGUGCGGCCGGGCCUGACUGCCUGUCAGCCUCACUCUGUCAAGUGGCACCGCAGGCGGAGCGGCGCAGGCGGCGCUGUCUUUCUGUCAGAUCGGUUAGUGGAGCGGCGAAGUGACGGCGGUCACUUCGGCUCUGUCAGCUGAGGGGCGCGCGUCAGGAUAAAGGUGUCAGGCCACCUUUGCAUUAAAUGCUCCUGUAAUUUGGUCGGGGUUGCUUCUUGGCGAAGGCAGGGCCUCGGGCGAGCCGGGAACGUGUUCGCCGCUGGAGGGGGGCCUCGGGCGAGGCGGAGAUCCUCCGGGGUCGGCUGCCCUUGUCCGAGGCUAGGCUCUGGCGAGGCGUGAUCGAGUCCCUCGAAUGGACUGAUCCCUGACUUGAUCGCACCCAUCAGGCCUUUGCAGCUUUAUGCUGAUGGGGGUUACCAGCUGAGAAUUAGGAGCCUUGAGGGUACCCCUAAUUAUGGUCCCCGACAACAACAGUCACAGAGAAAGCAACACAAGAGACACACGAUUUUUAUCCUGUGGUUUGGCCAAGUAACACUUGCCUACUUCCACGUUGUGGCGUCCUAAUGGACGAGGGUUGCACUCAACCCCUUUCAAGCGAUCCAAUGAUCAACUUGAAUACCAUGAUGUUUUUAUCUUUGAGUACUCUUCCCAUUUGUGAGGAAUCUCCACAAGUUGGAGCCUCUCGCCCUUACAAUAAAGAUCACAAAGAAAGCACAAGAGUAAGGUUGGGAGAGCAACACACACAUGACUUAAAUCCGCAGCACAACCACACACACAAGUCAAGACUUGAGCUCAAAACACAACACAGAGAGUUCGCAACUCAAACGGAGCUCAAAUCACUAACACAGCGAAUCAAAUGUGUGGAGACGGAUGUUGGGAACUUGCUCUCCUGGGCAAGAUGAUCCAACGAGGGAUUGAAAGGAAUGCAAACAAGGUUUUAACUCGAGAUGGCGUUUGCUCUAUUAAUCCAGCCUCUCAAGGACAUCUAAUCACCAAAAUACUUAUAGAAAUUGCCCAAGGGCACAUUUCCCUUUCAAUCUCCCCCUUUUUGGUGAUUUAUGCCAACACAUCAAAAAGCAACAAAAGGAAGUGCAACAUCAAUGCAAAUGAAGACCAAAUUGUUUUUGCUUAUGAUUUGGCAUAUUUGGAUCACUCUUUGCCACCACUUGGUUUGUUUUUGCAAAUCAAAUUCUUUUUCCUAUCUCUAAGUCAAACACACUUAUUUGGGCAAGUAGAGAUAUUCCAAGAGUAAAAUUGACCAAGUGCCAAAAACUCCCCCUUUUCCCAUAAUCAAAAUUCUCCCCCAUAAUAGACCAAAAUUUGAUAGAACACAAAUUCUAACUCUAGUGUUUUCGAAAUUCACAAGUGGUUGGCUAAUCCAUUUGCUUUGGCCUUAAUUUCUCCCCCUUUGACAUUAAGCACCAAAACGGGAUUAUUUUUUGCCCUUUAACCCCAUUGCCUCACCAAAAAUGUCAAUUAAGAGCAAAAAGGCAAUGAGAGCACAAGUAUGAACUUGGAAUUAAAUACACAAAUACCGAAGUGCAGUGGAAGUCUUUGUGUCGUCCAAGUUCAUUUUCCCUUUCAAUGUUCCUUCGCGACUACAUCGAGUAUACUCAACCAAACAAGUUAGUCGCGAGAGGCCAAGUUGUAGUUUAUCUCCCCCCUUAACAUGUGCAUCAUUUGCAUAUGGACUUGUGAGGUCCGGGGAUAACUUGUACAACUUGAGCACCAUAAAUAAACAAUAACUGAUUUAAAUGCACAAAGUAACAUGAUCAAAGGCAUAGAACAAAUGUAUGCUAUAGAUCAAUCCAAGUUAUGCGAAUCUAAGACAUUUAGCUCACUACGCUACCUGCAAAACCUUUUCUCAUCUAAAGGCUUAGUGAAGAUACCGACUAGCUGGUUCUUGGUGCUAAUAUGGUACACCUCGAUAUCUCCCUUUUGCUGGUGGUCUCUCAGGAAGUGAUGCUGGAUGUCUAUGUGCUUAGUGCGGCUAUGUUCAACAGGAUUAUCCGCUAAGCGGAUUGCACUCUCAUUGUCACAUAGGAGUGGGACUUUGCUUAGAUUAUAGCCAAAGUCCUGGAGGGUUUGCCUCAUCCAAAGCAGUUGCGCGCAACACUGUCCUGCGACAACGUACUUGGCCUCAGCGGUGGACAGGGCAACGGAUGUUUGCUUCUUCGAACUCCAAGACACCAGGGACCUUCCUAGAAAUUGGCACGUCCCUGAUGUACUCUUCCUAUCAACCUUGCACCCGACAUAAUCAGAGUUUGAGUAUCCAAUCAAGUCAAAGGUAGACCCCUUUGGAUACCAGAUCCCGAAGUAAGGCGUAGAAACUAAAUACCUAAGAAUUCGCUUAACGACCACAAGGUGACAUUCCUUGGGGUCAGAUUGAAAUCUAGCACACAUGCAUACACUAAGCAUAAUGGCCGGUCUACUAGCACAAAGAUAAAGUAAUGAACCUAUCAUUGACUGGUAUGCCUUUUGAUCAACGGACUUACCUCCUUUGUUGAGGUCAAUGUUCCCGUCAGUUCCCAUAGGUGUCUUCGCGGGCUUGGCGUCCUUCAUCCCAAACCUUUUGAGGAGAUCCAGAGUAUACUUCGUUUGGGAGAUGAAAGCGUCGUCCUUGAGUUGCUUCACUUGGAAUCCAAGGAAGUAGGUCAACUCACCCAUCAUCGACAUCUCGAACUUUUGCAUCAUCACCCUGCUAAACUCCUCACAAGACUUUUGAUUAGUAGAACCAAAUAUUAUGUCAUUGACAUAAAUUUGGCACACAAAGAGAUCACCAUCACAAGUCUUGGUAAAAAGAGUAGGAUCAGCUUUCCCAACCUUGAAAGCAUUAGCAAUUAAGAAAUCUCUAAGGCAUUCAUACCAUGCUCUUGGGGCUUGCUUAAGUCCAUAGAGCGCCUUAGAGAGCUUAUAAACAUGAUCGGGAUACGUAUCAUCCUCAAAUCUAGGGGGUUGUUCCACGUAUACCUCCUCCUUAAUUGGCCCAUUGAAGAAAGCGCUCUUCACGUCCAUUUGUAGCAGCCUAAAAGAGUGGUGAGCAGCAUAGGCUAAUAAAAUCCUAAUUUACUCUAGCCUAGCAACAGGAGCAAAAGUCUCCUCGAAAUCCAAACCUACGACUUGGGCAUAACCUUUUGCCAUAAGUCGAGCCUUAUUUCUUGUCACCACCCCAUGCUCGUCUUGCUUGUUGCGGAACACCCAUUUGGUUCCCACAACGUUUUGCUUUGGACGUGGCACUAGGCUCCAAACUUCAUUUCCCUUGAAGUUGUUGAGCUCUUCCUGUAUGGCCAACACCCAGUCCGGAUCCUGCAAGGCCUCUUCUACCCUAAAAGGCUCAAUAGAAGAGACAAACGAGUAAUGCUCACAAAAAUUAGCUAAUCGUGAGCGAGUGGUUACUCCCUUGCUGAUGUCACCCAGAAUUUGAUCGACGGGGUGAUGUCUUUGGAUCGUCGCUCGGACUUGAGUUGGAGGGGCCCAUGGUGCUUCUUCCUCCAUAACCUGUUCUUCUUGUGCUCCCCCUUGAUCCUGCCCCUCUUCUUGAGGUACCUGUUCACCGUCUUAAGUUGGGGGAUGCACCAUUGUCGAGGAAGAUGGUUGAUCCUAUUCCUGUAGUUCCUGUGGUCGCACAUCGCCUAUCGCCAUCGUACGCAUUGCGGCCGUCAGAAUUUCUUCUUCAUCUACAUCAUCAAGAUCAACUUGCUCUCUUGGAGAGCCAUUAGUCUCAUCAAAUACAACGUCGCUGGAGACUUCAACUAAUCCCGAUGAUUUGUUGAAGACCCUAUACGCCUUUGUAUUUGAGUCAUACCCUAGUAAAAACCCUUCUACUGCCUUGGGAGCAAAUUUAGAAUGUCUACCUUUCUUCACUAGAAUGUAGCAUUUGCUCCCAAAUACACGAAAGUAAGAGACAUUGGGUUUGUUACCGGUAAGGAGUUUGUAGGAGGUCUUCUUGAGGAGACGAUGCAGAUAGAGUCGGUUUAUGGUGUGGUAGGCUGUGUUCACAGCUUCCGACCAAAACCGCUCGGGCGUCUUGAACUCUCCAAGCAUUGUUGUCGCCAUGUCGAUUAGCGUCCUGUUCUUUCUAUCUACUACACCAUUUUGCUAUGGUGUAUAGGAAGCGGAGAACUCGUGCUUGAUGCCUUCCUCCUCAAGAAACUCUUCAACUUGUAGAUUCUUGAACUCGGACCCAUUGUCGCUCCUUAUCUUCUUCACCUUUAGCUCAAACUCGUUUUGAGCUCUCCUUAAGAAGCGCUUUAGGGUCCCUUGGGUUUCUGACUUAUCCUGUAAAAAGAAUACCCAAGUGAAGCGGGGAAAAUCAUCAACAAUUACAAGACCACACUUACUUCCCCCGAUGCUAAGGUAGGCAAUGGGUCCGAAGAGAUCCAUGUGAAGUAGCUCCAGUGGUCUUGAUGUUGUCAUUAUGUUCUUGCUGUGAUGAGUGCUUCCCACCUGUUUUCCUGCCUGACAUGCUGCACAAGGUCUGUCUUUCUCAAAACAGACAUCGGUUAGUCCUAACACAAGAUCUCCCUUUAGAAGUUUAUGAAGGUUCUUCAUCCCAACAUGUGCUAGGCGACGAUGCCACAGCCAGCCCGUAUUAGUCUUAGCGAUUAAGCAUGCAUCUAGACCGACAUUCUCUUUCGAAAAGUCAACUAAAUAGAGCUUGCCGUCUAAUACACCGUUAAACGCUAAUGAACCAUCACUCCUUCUAAAGACAGAUACAUCAACAUUUGUAAACAGACAAUUGUAACCCAUGUUACAUAAUUGACUUACAGACAGAAGGUUGUACCCGAGCGACUCUACUAAAAAUACAUUUGAUAUGGAGUGCUUGCUUGUGAUGGCUAUCUUUCCCAAACCUUUGACCUUGCCUUGAUUCCCAUCUCUAAAUAUGAUUGUAUCCUGGGAAUCCUUGUUCUUGACGUAGGAGGUGAACAUCUUCUUCUCCCCCGUCAUAUGGUUUGUGCAUCUGAUGUCGAUAAUCUAGCUUGAGCCCCCGGAUGCAUAAACCUACAAGGUAAUUUAAGCUUGGGUUUUAGGUACCCAACUCUUGUUGGGUCCUACAAGGUUAGUCACAAUAACUUUUGGAACCCAGAUACAAGUCUUGUCUCCCUUGCAUUUGGAUCCCAACUUCCUAGCAACUACUUUUGUGUUCUUACGUGAAAGUACAAAUGAAGUAUUGCAAGCAUGGUAAAUGAUAGAAGGUCCAUUGCACAUUUUCCUAGGCGCAUGAUGCACAACAAGAUUUCUCCUAGGCCUACUUCUACCAUUAACAAAAGUGGAACUAGAUGCAACCAUAGCAUGUGAAUCAUUAAGAGCAUCCCUAGAAUAUUUCCUAUCAUAAAUAUAGGCAUGAUUCUUUUGGGAACUACUAGUCAUAGGGGCCUUCCCUUUCUCCUUGUUGAGAACGGGAGCCCUUUGGCUUGUUAAGUUCUUGGUUUCUUUUCGAAAACCAAGUCCAUCCUUAAUCGAGGGGUGUCUACCAACAGUGUAGGCAUCCCUAGCAAAUUUUAAUUUCUCAAAUUCAAUUUUGCAAGUCUUAAGUUGAGCAUUAAGACUUGCCACAUCAUUGUUCAAUUUAGUAAUAGAAGCAAGAUGUUCAUCACAGGCAUCAACAUUAAAAUCCUUACAUCUAUUACAAAUAAUAACAUUCUAUACACACGAACUAGUUUUAUUAACUUCCUCUAGCUGAGCUUUUAAUUCAUCAUUUAAAUUCUUUAAACUAGAGACAGAUUCAUGGCAAGCAGAUAACUCAGAAGAUAGCAUUUCAUUUCUCUUAAUUUCUAAAGCAAGAGAUUUUUGCACACUAACAAAUUUGUCAUGUUCCUCAUAUAAAAUAUCCUCUUGCUUUAUAGCAGUCUAUCUUUUUCAUUGAGAGCAUUGAUUAAUUCAUUAAUUUUCUCUACUUUAGCUCGAUCUAACCCCUUAAAUAAAUCAGAGUAAUCUACUUCAUCAUCAGAAGAUUCCUCAUCGCUGGAAGAAGUGUACUUUGGGGUGUCUCGAACAUGUACCUUUUUUUCCUUGGCCAUAAGACAUAUAUGGCGUUCGUUAGGGAAAAGUGAAGGCUUGUCGAAGGCCGAGGCAGCCAAACCUUCGUCGUCGGAGUCAGAUGAAAAGCAGUCAGAGUCCCAUUCCUUUCCAAGGUGCGCCUCACCCUUCGCCUUCCUGUAGUUCUUCUUCUUUUCCCUCUUCCCGUGCUUUUCUUAUCCCUGGUCAUUUUCAUUAUCGGGGCAUUGAGCAAUAAAAUGACUAGUCUUACCGCAUUUGAAACAGGAGCACUUUCCCCUUGUUUUAUUCUUGUUGGGGUACUCUUUGCGUCCUUUGAGUGCGGUCUUGAAACGCUUGAUAAUAAGCGCCAUUUCUUCUUCAUUGAGCCCGGUAGCCUCCACUUGUGCUACCUUGCUUGGUAGUGCCUCCUUGCUGCUUGUUGCUUUAAGAGCAACGGGCUGCGGCUCGUAGAUGGGCGGUGGACCAUUUAACGCAUCGUUCGCGUAUCACGCCUCUUUCACCAUCAUACGCUCGCUUACGAAUUGUCCGAGUAUCUCCUUGGGCGUCAUCUUGGUGUACCUGAGAUUUUCACGAAUAAGGUUGACAAGAUGGGGGUCAAUUACAGUAAAUGACCUUAGCAUGAGUCUGACGACAUCAUGAUCCAUCCAUCUUGUGCUUUCGUAGCUUCGGAUCUUGUUGACCACGGUCUUGAGCCUGUUGUAGGUUUGUGUUGGCUCCUCUCCCCUGAUCAUCACGAACCUCCCCAGCUCGCCCUCCACCAGUUCCAUCUUAGUGAUCAUGGUGGCAUCAUUUCCCUCAUGUGAUAUCUUGAGGGUAUCCUAGAUUUGUUUGGCAUUGUCCAAGCCACUCACUUUAUUAUAUUCGUCCCUACAAAGAGAUGCUAACAAAACAGUAGUAGCUUGGGCAUUUUUAUGGAUUUGCUCAUUAAUAAUCACAGGAUUAUCGAUACUAUCAAAAUGCAUCCCAAUUUUCACAAUUUCCCAAAUGCUAGGAUGGAGAGAAAAUAGAUGACUACGCAUUUUAUGGCUCCAAAAUGAGUAAUCCUCUCCAUCAAAGUGUGGAGGUUUUCCAAGAGGAAUAAAAAGUAAAUGUGCAUUUGAAUUGUAUGGAAUACAGGAAUAAUCAAAAGAAUAAUUUUGAUUGACCGUCUUUUUCUUUGACGAGGAGUCGUCGUCGUCCCUUGGUGAAGAAGAUGAGGCAUCACUGUCGUAGUAGAUGAUCUUCUUGAUGCGCCUCUUCUUCUUCCUGUCCCUCUUCUUAUGACUCAAGCCUGAGUCAGUGGGUUUGUUGUCUCUUGGCUCGUUGAGGAGGGACUCCUUCUCCUUAUCUUUAAUCACCAUCCCCUUAUCCUUAGGAUCCAUCUCUUCGGGCGGUUAGUCCCUUAAAUGAAGAGUACGGCUCCGGUACUAAUUGAGAACACCUAGAGGGGGGGGGGGGUGAAUAGGUGAUCCUGCAAAAUCAAACACUAAAUAGCCACAAACUUGGUUAUUAAAGUGUUAGUGCGACUAAGUAGCUUUGAAGCGAGUUCUUGUGAACACAACAAUCAUAGAGAAAGCAACACAAGAGACACACGAUUUUUAUCCCGUGGUUCGGCCAAGUAACACUUGCCGACUUCCACGUUGUGGCGUCCCAAUGGACGAGGGUUGCACUCAACCCCUUUCAAGCGAUCCAAUGAUCAACUUGAAUACCACGGUGUUUUUAUCUUUGAGUACUCUUCCCGGUUGCGAGGAAUCUCCACAGGUUGGAGCCUUUCGCCCUUACAAUAAAGAUCACAAAGAAAGCACAAGAGUAAGGUUGGGAGAGCAACACACACACAAGACAUAAAUCCGCAGCACAACCACGCACACAAGCCAAGACUUGAGCUCAAAACACAGCACAGGGAGUUCGCAACUCAAACGGAGCUCAAAUCACUAACACAGCGAAUCAAAUGCGUGGAGACGAAGUCUGGGAGUCUUAGAAUGUUUCUUAAGAGCUUGUUAUUCUGCUCCAUGCGCCUAGGGGUCCCUUUUAUAGCCCCAAGGCAGCUAGGAGCCGUUAGAGAUCAAUUUGGAAGGCAAUCCUUGCCUUCUGUCGAGUGGUGCACCGGACAGUCUGGUGCACCACCAGACAGCCACUGUUUAUGUCCGGUGUGCGAUCUCCUUCCAUAUCAGUCGCAGCCGACCGUUGCUCCUCGGGGCCGGUUGGCGCACCGGACAUUGUCCGGUGCACACCGGAUAGUCCGGUGCACCCAGCCGACCAAUGGAGCAAGCCACGUGUCGCAUGUUGAUCGUGCGAACGACCGUUGCCGCUGGCGCCGUUGGCUCACCGGACAGUCCAAUGAAUUAUAGCCACAUUGCCUUUUCCUUUUCCUGAGAGCGAGGAGUUCGACCCGGAUGACUCACCGGACAGUCCGGUGAAUUAUAGCCAUACAACUCCUUCGUUUUUCGAGAGCAGCCGGUUUACUGUUGACCAGCCUGGGGCACCGGACACUGUCCGGUGCAUCACCAGACAGUCCGGUAUGCUAGGCCGAGCUGGAGUUGACUAUACACAACCAACUCUUUUCCAAUUCGUUUCUUCUCUUCUCAGCACUGUUUGUAGCACUUAGAUAAACAUGUUAGUACUAAAAAAUAAUGUACUAAGUCUAGAAACAUACCUUGUACCUUGAUUUGCACUUUUCACACAUUUAGCACAUGAUGACUCAAUUAACAUGUGUUGGGCAUCUAAUCACCAAAAUACUUAUAGAAAUUGCCCAAGGGCACUUUUCCCUUUCACUUACCACCAUGUCUCCUCUAGUAAUCAACCAUGUCACAAUCUAGUUGACUUUGCCAAGAAGGAUAAUUCCUAUUUGCUAUUGUGACUUGAAGAACAUAAGAAAGGACAAAAUAAAACACAACUCAAAUAAAGUGGCAAUUAUGAAUAUAGGAAUAAUCUCUCAAAUUUUGGGUUUUACAAAACCUAUAACAACAAUUAUUUAAAGAUAGAUUGAUCCAAGAAAUAGUCAAACCCUAACAUGGGUGAUGGAUACUAAAUAUACAGGUUUAGGAGUAUCCAAGGAACUCAUAUUUGUAUCCCUAAAGACUCCCAACACAUUAGAAAGGUUCAAAUGGGCCAAAGUACGAUGGUGUAGAACCUUGAUAUAUUUUAUACCCUAGCUUGUUUCAAUGAUUUCCAUCGACUUCAAUAAAAUUUUGAUGUGGGACCAAUAAUAUUGGUUAGCUUAUAACUUUUUAUCCGUAGGUGGAUUAUCGAAAACAGAAUCUAUAUAUGACAUGAGCAUUCAUUUUAGUGCACGUUGUUCCUAGAGCCCAAGAUGGCUUGGAACUUGAUGUGGGUUGAUUCGCCAAUUUGAUCUACACAUUCUUGGUGGCCUCCUAAGGAGGUGGCUAUGGAGUAUAGCAACCAAGGCUACUUUGGUGUGUUCUCUAUCUCCUUGGGAAUGCUCUAACAUGGUCUAGGGUCUCAAAGAUGAAUUUCAAGACCCCGAUGACAUCACAACACCUGACAUAAAAUAGCGAAAAUAUGUGUUGAUCUUUGAAAUCUUAUCAAAUAAGUUUUCCAUCAAGUACUCACGGGCCUCAAACACACUUCCGGUGAAAUAGUUAUGGCCUUGUCAAUAAAAUAGCAUUGGUCUGUUGGUGAACAAAAUGUUCAACUUUGAUGAAAUUGCACUUUAAAAUUGUUCUUAUUUAUGGUAUAUCUAUACUUCUCCAUCAUCACUAUUGAAAUAUCGAUGUUAGGUAGUAACUAAUUAUUAGUUUUAUUAUCAUAGAAACAUAGAAAUAAGUACAACCUAUAAUCAAUGGUUAUUUUUGAAGAUGGCAUGCCCUCAUCACAGAGGAAUAAAAGAGGGAUACAUGAUGAUGACUUGUAGAAGUAAGGUGCUGUUUGGUUCAAAAAAUGUAACGCAAUUGGUAAGGGUAACGGUUUACGAUCGAUUACUAGUGGUAACAAAUUUGAAUAGGCUGGUAUCAAUUUUUAGUAUGGUAUCUGAUUACGGUUGGACUAAAACAAACAUGAUUUAACGUUAUCAGUUACCCAUUGCGUUACAAAUAUGUGAACCAAACGGCACCUAAGUGUCUUUGUUCAUUCCAUGUUGGAAGAAUGUGGUGACAUAAAGCAUACGAAUCUAUGGUGUACCAAGAAAUAACUUUGAAAAACUUAAAAAUAUUUUCAAAGCUUGUGGAUCUACUUUCUUUGCUCUUAAAUAAUUGUCAUUCUCACUAAUUGAGAAAUCAAAUAAAUUUAAAUUAUAUAUCUCUACUAACUAUGAAGAGGCUAAUGUAGACCACAGUCGUGCCCCCGCUCCGUCCUCUGCGCGCAUGCCUCUGCGCGGCGUCCCCGUGCAUGGCCACACAUGCAAUCAGCCCCAGUCUGCAUGCAAUCCUCUACGCGGCGUUUGCGCGACUUCCCACGCAUACAACCGGCCCCAGUCUACAUGCAACCCCUAAACUCGUAAAGGCAUCACGUAUGCAAGUAUGCAACUAAACUGGUGCAUGCAACCAUGCAUGCAAAUACCUCCGCUCCAUGGAAAGCUUGCAUAUGCACAGCCGUGCAAGUAUGUAAAUGUGAAUGUCAUUUGAACCAUGAUUGUUUGCUUUAAACUCACAUAUAUCUAGCCAACAUGACACACAUAUUUUUCGUUUUAUAUUUAUACUCAAGUAUAAUAUAGUCUUUUAUAAAAAAAAUAGGGGGGAAAUUAAAACCUGGUCGUGUUCCAGCCAACCAUGAUACUUCUUACGUGAGUUUGCUACCUCGAUGCUAUGUAUGAUUUUCUUUGCGUUUAAUAUCAAUUAUAACUAUGAUAACUAAUUUUUAGUCGUUUUGUACCGAAAAUAUAGAUUGGUCAAGUCGUUUAGUAAAACAACAUAUCACACAUACUUGCAAAUUAUUUUCACAUCAUAAUGAAAUAUAUAUCCAUAUGCCAAUUAGCAAGUCAAUUUUUAGAAUAGUUCAUAGCCAUCGGUUCAGACCUUUAUGUGAAAGGAUGUUGGCUCUAUGUGUGCUUAUACGAAAGAAUGUUGUCUCUUCCCUUUCCUAUAGGAGGGUGAAAUAAGUUUUACUAGCAGCGUUGUACCUGAGGUGCCAGUAGCCUCAGUGUGCCCGUCGCUCCUCAAGAUGGCCUCACUGGCAGCAAAAUGUUCUCUGAUGAGUUGACUCGUGUGCUUGACUGGGAUUGUACUUUAUCUCUUCUGCCAGCUAAGCUCUGGUGAAUUCCUCCGGCAUCAACGUUAGCACGAUGGUUCGCCCAACCGAGCAUGUCCCCGAUCCACAAAACUAUAUAGUUGGGAACCUCACAGGUAGAUUCAUAGUUAACAGUUUGCUUAAACAAACUGACGUGGUUGUUUGAUCUAUGCAAAAGUGGCAUUGGUUGGUUUUAAUAGUGAAAUGUCAUCUUAACCAUUUAACUAGCUAUGUCCAACACAUUAUGUAUUUAUUUUUCUAAAUAUUGCCAGCUGCUCUCCAAUACAAAUUACAUGGUUGCCUCACUAUCUGUUUCCAAAAAACUUUUUGGAGGUAAAAUCAAACUGAAAUUCAGCGAUGGCUCAUCCCCUUGCAAUCGAUAUUCUACCUUUCAGUUUCUCCUCCUUAGCGUGGCUUUGCAUCAAUCUAUGCUGAGAAUUAAAGCAGAUGAUGUCUCCUCCAAUCUUGAGAAUUUUUUUGGAUGACCUGAUAUGUUAUGAGCUAAACUUUGCCAGCAUUUUAUCCUUUCCUCAGUUCCUCUACAUGUAAUUUCAGCUCGUCACAAAAUGAAGGAGGCGAGGAACCACUACCACACACGGGGCUCCUCGCGAGGCGGCGGCGGCACCGCUGCCGAGCGCGACCUGGUGUUACAGUGGGGCAACCAGAAGCGCAUGCGCUGUGUCAAGGUGCAGCGCCGCGACGAGACCGCCGCCGAGAAGACCACCAUCAGCUAGCGCCGCGCCGCGGCUGCCCAGCACCACCCAACUGGCCACACCCACCAGCACCACCGUGUUCUCAGGUCUGUGUCUUUCUCUAAUUUGUUUCUUUUUUUAUCGUUUGUGCCUUCGUGGUGUCGAUGUGCCCAUUGCGUGUGCCGACUCUCAACAUGAUUGGUUUGUUUUGAUGGCUACCUGUAUUUAUGUAAGUAAUGUAGAAUUCAUGCCAAAACAUAUUUCCCCACAACAUAAAAGAUAAGAGGGCCAUAUUUGUGAGCUAAAAUAAUUUUGAUAGUCACAACUCACCAUCUCCUUUGGAUAGCCUUAGGAUCUCCUUUUUAUAAUUUUGAUCCUACCAUACAAAAUUAUUCUAUAAAGGUCAUGGUAUAUCAUUAUAUCAUGUAUUCAACUUAGAGUUUACCUAUUUCAAUUAAUAGUUACAUUAAACCAAAUUUUGGUCUUUCGAAAUGACAGAUUUCGACAUUUGUUAUGAUUGUUGAGUUGAUUCUUGAUAACAUCACUAAACAAUGACCUAUGUGUAUACAAGUGUCCCUCGUUGCAACGCACGGGUAUAUAGCUAGUAUAUAUAUAUAUAUAUAUAUAUAUAUAUAUAUAUAUAUAUAUAUAUAUAUAUAUAUAUAUAUAUAUAUAUAAAAGAAAAUAGUGAUAUUUAUAAUAUUAUUUAAUGUUGAAUGUUGUUGACCAUUGAUAAAAUUAUGUUGGGUUCGAUAAACUUGUCAUACUGACAUAUUAUAUUAUUUUAGCAUCUUUUAAUACUGAUGAGGUAUAGGGUUUCAACAUUUUAUAUUUAGUACUUACUUUUGCGAUUCAAAUGAUCAUGUCUACUUAUAACGUUAAUGGAUAUGAGUAACCGCUACCUGUGGUGGGUAUGGCAUAAUUUUGUACCAUGAUGGAUAGUGAAUGCGGAUAUAGGACAAUUUUUUCUUUGGUGGGUGUGUAUGUAGGUGUAUAUAGCUUUGGUACUUUACCCGUCGCCAUCCUAGUUCGUUGUGAUGCAAGAACAGCAUAUCCUGCAUUCCUGCAUUACAUGAGGCUCUGAGCUGUGGUGAUUUAAAAUGGUCUACGGGCCACAUUGUAAUCUCUGUCUGGCCCAAUUUAAAGAUCUACGGUCCGCACUUGCAAGCCUCCGAGCCGGCCCAUAAACACGCAAGGCUUAUCAGUAUCGCCUAGCGGGGCCCUCUUCCUAUCAAAACCUCAUCCAAAUUCCAAAGACCAAACAGAGAGGGAGGGAGAUAGAGCCCCACAAUACCGAACCGAAAUACCCAGCCAACAGCCACAACCCACGCGCCACGCGCCCACGCCCACUGGCCACCGCCCCACCCCCACCCGUGCCCGUCCCGUGCUAGCUUAGCUCUCGGCUCUCGCCAUGGACGCUGCGGAGAGGAGGCUGGCUCGCGUCGCUGCCCACCUCGUUCCGUCCUUCCCGGUCCCACACGCCACCGGGCCUCCCCUCGCGCCUUCUCCCGCGGCAGCGUCCUCGUCGUCGUCCUCGCCGGCGGGGGACAGCUACAGGCGCGUGCACGGCGACGUGCCGUCGGAGCCACCGGAGUGGCGCACCGCCACAGACGAGUCAGGGAAGGAGUUCGUCGACAUCAUCUACGAGAAGGCCGUCGGAGAGGGCAUCGCCAAGGUGAGGCUUCUUUCUUCGGUCGAUCCUCGUGAAGCUUUGGAUCAUUGUUCUUGCGUCUCGUGUUUUUAUCAACGCGUAUUGCUGCCGCAGAUCACCAUUAACCGGCCUGACAGAAGGAACGCCUUCCGUCCGCUGACCGUGAAGGAACUAAUGCGCGCGUUCAACGAUGCCAGAGAUGAUAGUUCGAUUGGAGUCAUCAUUCUUACAGGGAAGGUACGGAUGCUUUUAGAGAAGAAACAACAAAAAUAACACUAAGAAUUUGGGUGUCUAUGGGAGUCGGGUUAGCUUUGGUGUGUAAGCUUUCGAUGUUUUUGGUUGACCAGGGAACCAAGGCGUUCUGCAGCGGCGGUGACCAGGCGUUAAGAGAUUCUGAUGGAUAUGUGGACUUCGAUAGCUUUGGCCGCCUCAAUGUCUUAGAUCUCCAGGUCAGAUGUGUUUCUAUCUCCGAUCUGUUUAUUCUCUCCACUUUCAGAUGGUUUCUUUAGUGAGGUUUGAACUGACUUACAUUGUUCAGAACAUGAUGGUGACGUAUAAUUUUGACUAGAAUUCCUGUCUACUGAUAUUUUUUUAAUAUUUUCUGAUAUACCACUUAGUAAAUUUGCAGGAGCAGAUUUUCCUUGCCGUUGGCACUUCUAGUCUGUGUAAAAAAACUAAAAAUGAUUAACCUUUAAGGCAUUAGUGGUUAUCUUUGUACUGAGAACAUCGGACGGACCAUUUUUUCCUUCAGGUGCAGAUUCGCCGUCUUCCAAAGCCUGUCAUUGCUAUGGUAUGAUCAUAAGUUCAUAACUAUACUUCGCCUUUUUGCUAUCUCCUUCGCCAUCAUAUGGAUUGAUUUUGUGAUGUUUACUAUCAGGUUGCUGGUUAUGCUGUUGGUGGUGGACAUGUUUUGCACAUGGUGUGUGAUAUAACAAUUGCAGCAGAGAACGCGAUAUUUGGGCAGACAGGGCCCAAGGUGAUAUUUUUGCUCUAUUCUGUAUCUUGUGAUUACCGAGGAUGCAGAUAAUACCAAUAAAGUGAAACAUCGUAUUUUACAUAAUCAGUUCAUAGCAGGGUUACCUUUUCUGUGUUCAUUAAUCAAUCCCUUAUUGUCUUUUCGCUAAAACUAUAUACUUGCAGUGUAUUUUAACAUCCCAAUCUGUAACUCCUAUCACAGGUUGGAAGCUUUGAUGCUGGUUAUGGAUCUUCGAUAAUGUCCCGGUUGGUGAGUUAUCAUACUAUCAAUCUAGUGAGGUAGUAGAAAAUGUCGCAUUAUUCCUCACACACUUUGAAAAGAAACACCUUCAAUACUCAAAAGUUUUUAUUCUUAAUAACACAUUCUUAAAAGUUGACUUGUACGCUAUUCCAUUUCAUAUUAUCGACAUGCUCGUGAUACAUAAACAGCAUGCUGUUGUUGCUCCAAUUAUAUAUUUCUCAUGGACAGGUUGGACCCAAGAGAGCCCGUGAAAUGUGGUUUCUGUCACGGUUCUACACAGCUGACGAAGCUGACAAAAUGGGACUCGUGAACACCGUAGUACCGGUAAGCGCUGAAUCCAGGGUCAAUUACUAAAAACCAAACUGUUUCAGUCAUGCCGAUCCACUGACAAGUACACGCUUCUGUACACUAGCUUGCUGAACUGGAGCAGGAAACUGUCAAAUGGUGCCGUCAGAUCUUAAGAAACAGCCCCAUGGCUAUUCGCGUGCUGAAAUCUGCACUCAACGCGGCAGAUGAUGGCCAUGCAGGCCUUCAGGUAAAGCCUGCCAAAAUGCUAACCCUUCCCUUGGAAGUUGGAACUGCUGCUGGUGAGCUUCUAUCUGCAUGUUGCAUUACUGAUGGCGCUUCUGCUCUAGGAGCUUGGCGGGAAUGCCACGCUAAUAUUCUACGGCACGGAGGAGGCAAAGGAAGGGAAGAACGCGUACAUGGAGAGACGACGCCCAGAUUUCUCCAAGUUCCCACGCAAACCUUGAGUUUCAGCUCUUUGCUGAACUGGCCAAUUAUUUUACUGAUCCCCCCACCCCACCCAACUUGGAUCAUUAUGCUUACUCUACAUUGAGGAGACGGACGAUAAUCAUUUUCACUCCAAUCAAUUUUCAUAUAUACACGAUAAAUGUAUUUUGCAUGAAAAUUCAGAUCAAUGAAAAGUAAAUCUUGAUGUAUUUGAUUCACCUUUGCCUUCACUGGCCGGGCAGGAGGGAGAUCCUUAAUAAUUAUAUAUGCGCUUCAACAUUCGUGCUUCUUACGAGUAGCGCGGAGAAACUUUUCAUGGUUUUCUUCCUCAUUCUAGGCAGAAAGCUGGCUUUACUUGAGUUUCGCUUGCUGAUUUACACACGUAUUCUAUGGCACAGAGGAGAAAAUUUCAUAGUUUUCUUCCUUAUUUUAUUGUUUUGAUUUUUAAUUCCAUUUCCUUGCCUAUGGCCCACCCGUCGAAAGAAAGGAUUUGCGGUGGGCCGUGACGCAACUGCUGACGAGGCCCAAAUUUGACAAAGGAAGCCCGGUUAUUCUGACGCUUUGCCCUUUCCCUUUCUCUGCUCCGGCCUCCGAGCACCUAGAGUCGCGUCCCCAAUCUGCACAGCGGCGGGAUCCCCUACAGGCCGCAGCAGCACACCGCACAAUGGUUCGGUCCACAAAUACCGCGCCACGUGCACAUCUCAGCCAGCCCUACCGCACAGGAUCCCGUCUCCUCACCGCCGCACAACAAAUAGAACCACGCCCACAAUUCUGUGAACAACGCAGAGAAAAGAAAACCGCUCCAAUCCGGAAGCUGAAAAUAGCAGAAGAAUCCAGAGGCGACUCCAGGUUUGUCGGCGAUGCUGCGAGCGGGAGGCAGGCGGCUCCUCGCCCCGGGGCUCCGUCGGCUCGGCCUGGGCACAGGCGCCUCCGGCGAGGCGGGUCCUGCCGCGGCGGCGGCGGGGGUGAGGGCGUACCACGAGCGGGUGGUGGACCACUACAACAACCCGCGGAACGUAGGUUCCUUCGACAAGGACGACCCCAACGUCGGCACUGGGUUGGUCGGCGCGCCAGCCUGCGGCGACGUCAUGAAGCUGCAGAUCCGCGUCGACGAGAACUCCGGCAAGAUCGUCGACGCCUGCUUCAAGACUUUUGGCUGCGGCUCCGCCAUAGCGUCCUCGUCCGUCGGUGAGCCUCCUCAGCCCUAGCACCACGUCUGGAGUUCCUCUCGCCUCCUCCUAGGUGGUUCGGGUGUAGCGUAUAGUGUAGUCUCAGUCCUCCUUUUUUCUAUGAAUUGAGUUACAUCACUAAUUGGUUAUCUAGUUAUCCCGAUGCCUUUAUUCCAAUUGUGGAGACCUUUUGCAGAUAAAGAUGAAUUGUAACCUCUGAAUUGAGUCACAUCACUAAUUGGUUAUCUAGUCAUCCUGAUGCCUUUAUUUCGAUUGUGGAGGUCAUUUGUAGAGAAAGAUGAAUUGCAGCUAGCUUAGUAUUGUGUUUCUUAUAUGUGCCAUUUUUUCGGGGACUAUGUGAGGUACAGUUUGUAAGUAAUCAAUUUGAUUUGUGAUGGUACAGAUAUAUCGACUGUACUGCUAAAUUUCAUCUGUAUUGCUGUUUCGUUUCAAUUUGCCUAAUUUUGGUGCUUUAGACCUAAACUGGCUAGUUGUGUUGAAUUUUAGACAUAUGCGAUGCAAUCAUUUUAUUUUUGGUGCUUUGGACCUACUCCCACCCUUCCAAUUAUAAGAAAUUUUGACUUUUCUAACUAUGUAGGUUUUACUAUGCGCUUACAUAUAUCUAGAUCUAUAGUAAAAGCAAUGUAACUAGAAAAUAAUUGACUAGUUGUGUUCAAUUUUAGACAUGUGUGAUGCGACCAUUUUAGCUACAGAUAAGUUUUAUGACAAAGAAGUUCCAUAUGACUUGCAUACUCAUCAUAUGGUUAAUGCUGAAAUAUUUUUUAUAUCAGAUCUGCUAGUUUAGAGCUAAUAAAUGUGUAUGCUGAGUGUUUUGUUAUGAUUCUGGUUCUUGCAUGAUUUUCUGGAUUGUAGUUGUCCAAAAGGGGAGGCCCGGUGCAGUGUUGAUGUUGAGAGUUGUCUCACUGAGUCAUCAGGUCACGGUUCAAAGCUGCUUCCCCGCAUUUGUAGGAAAAAGCUUGCAUCAGUUUAUCCUUUUCCCAAACCCCACUCAUGUGGGAGUCAACGGGAUUGGGUCUGCCUUUUUAUGCUGUUUUUUUUUUUGUAAUUAUCAAGGAGAAUGGCCAUGUAGGAUCUAGAAGUUACAUCUUAAUAUUAAUAAAAAGGGUUAAUUGUAUACAUGCCACUCAACUUUUACAAAAUUAGACGGCAAUUUUAUUUUGAUGCCAUGGAGUGACAUGAAAAUAAACUAGUUUCCAAUUUUUCAAAAUUUUAAGUGGCAUGUUUCCAAUUGACCCUAACAAAAAUGAUAGUCGUGUAGUUAGAGAAGUUCUUAUUUCAAUCAGUAGAUUCAGAUGCUUGUAGUUUAUAUAGUUUUUAUUAGUUGCUGAACCAAAUUGGUUCAGAUAUGAUAGACAAUGUGCCCUGGUUUUGAUGUUCUUACUAACUUAGUAAUGGAAGGGUACUAUGGAAAUGUCUAGGAAGAUAAUCCUGCAAAUAAUGAAAUAGUCAACAGAAUGAUCAGGCAACUUUUAAGUCAUUGGUUUGAUGAUAUUAUGCAUAUAAUACCUAACCUCCUGCAUUAUUAGAGUAAUUCUAAGAGACUAUAUAUCCUUUCUAAUUGUUAGGAAUAGAGAUUUUGAUAGACAAAUACCCUCCAACAGCUUAUUUAAGUGGUUAUCCAAAUAUAGCCAUCCUCUAUUUUGAAUUUCUUGCUAGCCAGAGAUAGAUAGUGAAAAUGACUCUCUAGCGUGUGCACAUUAUAUUUAAAAGCUCUUGGAGAGUGAAAAGAUAUAUAAAGGAAUUUUUAUGUAGCUCCAAAUGAUGAUUUUGAGAGUGAGUUGUUCUUAUGAAUGAUAUUGCUGUGAAUCACAAAAUGUGGACAUUCUGUUGUACUGUGUGACUUGUAAGCCAACAACCAUGGGAACCAAGUUGCCAGUUGAAACUUCGAUUUAUUUAGUCCUAAGUGAUGGGAAGAUAAUCUGGAAUGUGGGACAUGAGGUUUUUACCUUAUUUUUUGUGUUAUAGGUUAUUUUAUUACUAUUAUAUUAAAUGAGUGUUAAGUAUCAUCUUGUCUUGCAUAGAAGAGUGGACCUGCUGGUUCUUGUAUCUUACAAGCCAGAAGCAUUCCUGAAUCUUGAUUCCGUGAAGAGCCUCAUCAGUCAUCCCUAAUUAAACAAAAUGCUGCUUAAUGCGCAAUGUUGAUUAUAUUAUCCUUGCAGCUACUGAAUGGGUGAAGGGAAAACCAAUGGAUGAAGUUUUGACAAUCAAGAACACGUAAGUUAUCUACUGUCUUCUCUAAUAUUUUUCGGCUUGCUUAACAUUAUCCAUUUCGUUAAUCAUCUGAACAUGCUAAUAUCAUAUUUUGUAAAUAUGAAUUGUUGUCUGUUUACAUCUUCACUAAUUGCACACACUCCCUGUUUUUCAGUUCCUUUGCUGUUCUUUGUAAUGUGAAUACCAGUGUGAGAACCGGUUUGUAUCCGUGAAGACUUACUGGUUGUUAUAUGCUUAUAUCUCUCUUCGGUGGCCAUUCGAUACUUCGAUUUUAUUUUUUGUUAUAUAACAAAAUAUCUGGUUAAGCAUGAUUAGUAUUUCUUAAUGAUGUCUCAUUCCGUUUUGAUGGGUUCUUUGAGUUACAAUGAAAUGAUCUUUUUUCAGCUAUCAGGGGGGUAAUAAUCAUUUUAAUUUUCUCCCUUGUUCUUGGGAGUGACAGAAGAUUAUCUGAUAUGUUAGUUUCUAAAGUUCCUAUUCAGUAAUAUUAUGGCACAUCUGACAUUGUUUGAGUUUCAGUAAUCAGAAAUGCUACAUGUGCUUAUUCCUUUAGAGGAUGUGACUUAUGGUCUUAUACUCCCUUUUUUUAGAAAAAGACGAAUUCCUUCAUUUACCUUCUCACCCUCGCUGUAUUUUUAGGGUUUGGUUGUUGAGAUUUUUCUGGGCACUAUCAGAAUCCCUUAGCAAAGACCACUGUAACUUGUUGUGUUACUCUUUUCCAGGGAGAUCGCGAAGCACUUGUCCCUUCCACCAGUAAAGCUCCAUUGCAGCAUGCUUGCCGAGGAUGCGAUUAAAGCUGCUGUAAAAGACUACGAAGCCAAGAAGUCGAAGAUGGGGCAGAAGGGUGAAGACAGCCCUUCAGAGAAGGCUGCUGAAGCAUGAAAGGUUCUGCCGUGAAGUAUAUUGUGCUGAUACGUUUCUCAGUCCAUGACUAUCCGCCGCAUAUUGCCAAAGAUAAAUGAUUCUGUUUGUGAGGCGAGGGAUUGUGUGUAAUGUUCACGAAGUGUGGUAGUGCGGCAUGUGGCUCAACUGUUUUAAGGAUGGUGACGACUGAUUUCAAAUAAAUUUGCUGUCAUCGUAGAAUUAGAAGAAAGUACUAUGUGGAUUUACAGGAGCUGUUUCUGGAAUUUGUGAUAUCAUGGUACUUUCUUUUUGCAAGAAUGUUACUGUUGGUAUUGGCAUUCCGGCAGUAUAGGUUGACGAUUGACGAAUAGCUAGCCAAAGUAAUGCAAAGUGAAAUCUAUUACUACCAUUUUAUGUCCUGUAUACGUCGGACGGUCUAGGUACUAAUGCUGGACAACUUUAUGUCCUAUAUACGUCGGACGGUCUAGGUACUAAUGCCGGAUAGGCGUAGACAGGUGUGGAUAGUUUGGCUAUGAAGGUUGGACCGUGUGGAUACGAUUAGGAGUAACAAUAAUCUCAGACCUUUAGACUAUAAAGUUCUAAAACAUGUAUUAGAAAGCAAAACACUUUCAAGACGUUUGACCGACUCGGUAGAGUUCACUCUAUUUUUAAUCAGUUGCUUGCUAAAUAUACAAAGAAUGUCAUUCCACAAAACCGACCAAUAAAAAACAAAGCAAAGACCAACUAAAUCGGCCUAAAAGGUAGCGCAACCAAGAUCGUCCGAUCAUAUUCCUCCAUAAAGGCAUGGUGUUUCCCAAUCUAUCCAUCCUCGAUACGUUGUCCUACUCAAGUGUGGCUUGGUACAAUGAUGAAUCUGUAUGACUGGCCUAAUCCGUUUGCCUAUUCGGGUUGGAGGCCAUCACAAGUUUUUGCUUAUUGACAUGUUGGUCAGGCAGACAUGGCCAAAGAAGAUACAAUCCGAAACGGUUUCUAUGCAUCAAAGUUGUAUCAAAUAUUUAUAUUAUCUAAUUACAAGCCGAUGACUUGCGUCCAACUGAGUCCUUACUUCGGGAACAAAAUAACUCAUGAGAUCUAUUAUUUUCAAAGUACGUUGAUGCUUUUGGUUCGCCAAGCUCCACCAAAAGACCAAAAGACAGGGGGCAUGUGUUAAACACCAAAAGUGACGGACGGUUCGGCCCUAGGAAUAAAUGUAGCAUAGUCCUAGUUAUAGCUUUUCCAAUAUCUACCUUUAUCUCUAUUCGACUCUACGUCGUCUAGAUCCGUCUUGGUGGUCUGCCGACUCUAAGACAACCCAAGGACCUUACCCCAUCGGGGGCAAGAUCCACUACACUCAAGUUCUUCUUAAUUCAAGAUCCGAUUCUCUCAGAGUGAAAUCGAGUGCUCUAGACGACUUUACGUAGUCUGGAGACGCUCUAGGUGACCUACUGACCCGGAGCACCCUAAGAUCUCCCCUAGGGGACGAGAUCUAGGUUCCUGCGAGGAGGAAGACGACCCGACGGCAUCACAGACAGUCCGGACCCAGGCGUGGACCGUCCGGAAGCGUGCAGGAAAGGCGCUACUCCUGCGCUUAUGUCGCAGACCGUCCGGCCCAGAGCCACGGAUCGUCCGUACCGCGUAGAGAGCAUCGCCAGACGGUUCAUCUUCCAGUGUUUGACGUCCGGAUCUGCGCCAACACAUCCCAAAUUCAAACAGACUAAGGGGGUGUUUAGUUUCUAGGGACUAAUGUUUAGUCCCUUUAUUUUAUUCCUUUUUUGUGUAUAAAUUGCUAAAUAUAGAAACUAAAAUAAAGUUUUAGUUUCUAUAUUUGGUAAUUUUGGAACUAAAAUGGAAUAAAAUCUAGGGACUAAACAUUAGUCCCUAGAAACCAAACACCCCCUAACCUAGAACUAAGGCCUGGAGAUAUUCAGAACAUCAGCAACUUACAGACAGUUCGUAUGACAACCGGUUUCAUGAAUAACGGGGUACCACUAACGUUCAACCCCCAAUUCAGCUGCUCAUGUAUUCUUCACUAAAAAUGUUCUCUUAAGUGAAACUAGAAUCUGAUGAGAAUCGAUAAAGUGAUGUGCGAAAUGGUGUAAUAGAACUGCAACUUGAACACUCAGUAUGAUUUCCACUCAACCCCCCUCCCACUAUUUUCUCGAGUGAUUUCUAUUUUUACAAAGAAAAAUGAACUAAUAUUUCUUGGGAAAAUAAAAAUCCCUUGAAAAAGUAGGGUUCACAAACUAGCUAACAGUAUAAAAAUGCACAAUGGAAACCACUACAAAGACUGCUAGCAAAAUGGCAAGGAACAGAACAUGCACUUACAAGGAAAGCAAAAUGUCCAUUUGUCCACCAUCAUGAAUUAAUGAUAGUGCCAAGAAGGCAAAUACACAUUACCAGUUUCGAGCAGAUCACAUUCACUGCCAAUUCAAGGCAGAGAUAUAUCACGCACAUACAAGCUAGUGAAUCGACACAUACACAAAUCUCAUAUCAUGAAACAGCAAUUCCUUACGAACAACAGUGGGGAUACAAGAGAUUGGGGAUGCAAACAAAAGAAACUAAAGAAAAAAAAGGAGUACUCGUAUACCUAGUGUCACGCGAUAGACACCUUGGCGCCGACCUCCUCGAGCUGCUUCUUGGCGUCCUCGGCCUCGUCCUUGCUGACGGCCUCUUUGACCUUCUUGGGGAGACCCUCGAUAAGGUCCUUGGCCUCCUUGAGCGCGAGGCUGGUGAGCGCGCGCACCACCUUGAUAGUGGCGAUACGCGCGCUGCUGGGCACCUCUUCGAUCAUCACGUCGAACUCCGUCUUCUCGACGGGGGCCUCCUCCUCGGCCGCGGCCCCGCCGCCCGCCCCGGGCGCCGCGACGACGGCGGCCGGCGCGAAGGCCGCGGCGGUGACGCCGAGCCGCUCCUGGAGGUGGUCGACGAGGCUGCGGGCCUCCUCGAGCGUGAGCCCGGCGAUGGCGUCCCCGAGCUCCAGGAUCUUGGGGGACUCGGUGGCGGUGCACGCGACGGCGACGGCGCGGCGGCCCCGGCGGAUGUGGGGCGCGGCGUGGGAGGACCUCGGGAGCGAGGCGGCGGGGCACGGGGAGGUGGAGGGGCGGGAGAGGAGGGUGAAGGCGGAGGAGAGGGUGGUGGACGCCAUGGCUAGCUCUUGGGAGCUCGUGCGUCGGGACUCAGAAGUGAGCAACAGCGGCGGGAGGACCGGAGGAGGCGGGGGAUAAGAUGAGGAGUGCGUGCGAUGGGUGCCGUUGCGAUAAGAUGGGGAGAGUGAUAUACGAACGGUGCGAGUGGCAAACACCUACACUUUCCUUGCAAAUUGCAAUUGCAUCUCUGGAUUUGUAAAAGGAAGCACACACCAUGAUGAUUUAUUUUAUCGAAUUUUCACAUGGGCAAUUUAAUAUUUUUAUAAACCACAUUCUCUGGCUUGGAAAUUAAUCAAAGAAUUCAAAUAGUACCAUUUGACGCGGCAAGUUGGACGUAAAAUGAGAUCUUCAAAUUGGAAAGUACACGUGAUGCCAAUUUUUUUUCUCAUAAUACUUUUUUGUGUGAGUUGUCACUUCUUAGAUUUGGAAUACGUCAUUUUAUACAAUUUUUACUGAAUCACAUUUGUGUAUUUUUGUACACCUGUUUAUUUCUCAUCGGGGCAGAGGUGGAUCCAGGAUUACGAUAUAAGGGGGGUCGAUCAAUUCAUCAAUAUUAUAUGAUAAAAAAAUAUUGUAUAAUGUUAUCAAGUUUAAGCACUCGAUAUGGAAUAAAAAUUCUAAAUCUUUAUGAAUCUAAGUUAUUAAAACCUGAAGCCGUUUGGAGCUCUCCCCGCGUUUCGCGGGCACUCGGCCGCGUGCUUGCCGACGCGUGCCCGACGGCUCGGACCCGAAAAAAUACUCAUUUUAGCUCUGAGAGGUAACGUGCGUCCAUGCCCUCACACGUCAUCUCUCUCACCGUGCACUGUCUCUAUCCUCUCCCAUCCACCUCCCUCCGCACACUCCGCCGCCUCACCUUCUCCCCCUCUCCCUCCCCGCCGCCGCGGUCCCCGCCGCCACGCUGUGGCCCUUCUUCGACGCCGUCUGCUCCGACACCGCCAUCACCUUCGGCUCGCUCGUCGCGCUCCACGAGUACCUUUGAGAAUUCGUCGGUUCGUCCUCACCCUCACUCUCCCUUCCCACCUCUCCCUCACACACGUCGUCUCUGCAGUCUGCACGCUGGAUCUGCUGCCUCCCUACCACCACGCCCAUGCUGACCUCGCCCUCCUCCCCAGCGCGCCCCUACCACCGCCUCCUCCUGAUCGCGCACCUGUCACCGCCUCCACCCGACUCUGCCGCUAAGCGGGCGUCCCACCGGGUCGUGUUCGGCACCAAAGCGACUGGAUGGGCUCGGCCCGGACCCCACUCCCGACCAUGCGCUGCCGCCAGUCGAUGAGCCGGUCAGUCGCCUUGGCGUACCGCUUCCUGCCCGACGCGUCGCGGUUGCCAGACCAGAGCGCCUCCGCCAUGGCCGAGGCUCUCGGCCACACCCGGCCGUGCAUGACGGUCUAUCUCUGCAUCUGAACUGCACUACAACUCUGCAUACAGCCGUAUCACUACCACCUUCACAUAUAUAAUUUUUUUCAGGUUAGAUCAACAAAUAGCUUCACAUUCUGCAGCCCCUGUAGGAGUCCUCAUACUAAAAAUUUUCAGUGAAAUUUAUAAGUCUCACAUAUGUGCAAUGCUGCAUCAGAGUAAGAAUUUACUGCAAAAGUCAGUUGUUCGAGGCAAAAAAUUGACAGUCUUCAUAUGUAGUUUUGAUCAUUGUGAAGAGUAUAUAUUGCAGUCAUUGUACCAUGGCACGGUGCCACGGUCUAUAAUACAGACAAUUAUCAAAAGUGGAGAGACUACAAAUUAAACCCUUCCACCACAUGAUAAAGUUAGAUUAGUAUAGCCCUACAGGAGGCACUAUACGGGAACAUACCAAAGAACUCACAUAAGGACAUGAUCAAAAUAUAGGGCCCGCUGAGGCAUUUAUGCAAACAGACCUCCGUCUAGCAACGGGAACUCCAUAGUUUCAUUGCUAAAAUCUAGAUCAUCAUACCAGUUAUUCUGCAGUCCAGGUAGUACCAUUGUAUCAUUGCACUGGAUUAAAUCGAUGCUAUUCAGUCCUAUAUCCCCGAAGGAGACGCCUUGAAGUUGAUAGCCGGACAGUUCAUCAGGUAGACAAGUCAAAUCAGUGCUGCAUAAUAUACUUGCCUCUUCUGAAGUAAGCAAAAUAUUUUAGUAUAAGACAGGAUAAUUAUCGAUCAUAAAUACAUAUGCAUGCUUAUAAUAUAAUUUCAGUUGAUAGUAGCGAUUGUUUGCAAUAGAUUUUAUCGAAAAACAGACCAUUCAGUAGUUAUAGAUUCUCUAAUAUGUCAGCCAAAUGAACUAAGAAUUCUGUCCAGAUGAAAAUAAAAGAUUAAAGAUGUUCUCAAAGACAAAUAAAAUAUGUUCGUUGGGUCAUUCACUGAAAAGUUUUCUGCUCCCAAAGCCAGCUAUGGUGUGACAAAAAAUAUAGCAAGUAAAUAGACUCCACUCUGCAGCGCUAUAAAAUCAGAAGACAAGAUGAUACGACCCAACAUGUAAUCUUGUUUGUUGCAGGUCUUUACUACGACUGCAACUUUGAAGUUUGGUAUUCAUAUAAUCAAUAGGCUCAACAGUAUGUCCCUUGUAAAUGGUAGGAUCAGAGUGCUUCUGCUAUGUCAUCUUCGACACUUCCUGGUGUUUGCAACAAACAAAGUGCUUCUAUGCUGUGCAGUUCUUGUUUCUUACAAGUGGUGAUGGUGGUAGUGGUCUGGUCUCUAUGUGAGCAUUGGUCUAGAGUAUCGUGAAGCUAUGCGGCUCUUCUUUCAUGUUCAAGAUGAAGUUCAUGAAGCUUGGAUCGAAUCUGGAUACCUUUAAUGAUGAUGGCAAUGAAAUCAGAUGAUCGAUCGCUUCUUUUAAUUUGGCUUUUACCUUGUUUCUUUAAUGUUGCCUUUGAAUCCUUGUGUUGUUCUUAGAAUCUGACUGAUUUUUAUUUAUUUCAAUUAUAAAUGGUAUGAUCUGACUAAGAAAUUCCUAGACGCAUUCUCCCUGAUUGCUGUUACUGUUGAUGGAUACUAGAUGAUUAUAUAAUAUGUGGUAAAGUUUUCCCAAUAAGCUCAGUUGUGCAGAUCGUUUGUUUCUUCUUCUUAGUUAGAGUGAAAUUAUUUACUUUAUGAAUAACUAGAUCCAUAUAGGAUAUAGUGAUGUUAUUUAGGAUGGAGGGAUUCUUAUCGCUCUUUGGUGCUUCUCCCUAUAAUCAGUGCUGAAUAACUAGAUCCAUAGUGCUGAUAAAUUUUUGGUGCUUCUCCCUAUAAUCAGUAAUAGCAUACUAAAAGUACCUUUGAACUAGAAACCUUAUGAUAUUAUUUUUCCACAAUAAAUUCUUGGUGCUACUCCCUGUAUAUCAGAGGUUAUAAUCACUCCUGAGCACAACGAAGAAGGGAUUUACACGAUCAGAUUCUACAUUCAGGUAUUUAUUGUUUAAACCAUUUGACCAGUAAGUUUGAGGCUGCUUCUCAUGAAACAUUUCCUAUAAGCUUUAUGAAACAUCUGUUGAUAAAACUUUGUUUCUUAACAUGUCCAGCGAAGCUUUCUUUCUUAACAUGUUGCUAUUGUGUCCAGCGAAGAUGCAGGCUAUCUCCUGCUAAUGUUGCUGCCGAAGAAAUGAACUUCUUACUUUUAUGUAGAGGCAACACUUACUAAUAUGAUGCUCGAAUUUGCAAUGAAUGAUGUGUGUGUGUGCUAUUUUCGGACCACUGGUAUUUAAAACUGACAACCAUGAAAUUUUGGUACACAUGAAUCCCAAGCAAUUUGUGUAACAUAUGGCUAAACAAAACAUUGAUGCUUGAUUUGUGAUCCAGCUGAUUUUGAUGUCAAUUUAUUAUACAUGUAUAUAUCUUUGCAAUAACUUCUUAUGUAUAUGGUUAUAUUGCAAAUACUAUUGUCUCUUUACUGUCUCCUGAUAGGGCGCCCGAAUGGGUGCCUCCUCUUCUAGUUAUCUUAGUUCUGAGAGUUCCCUUUGACCCGGGAACAGGAUCUGGAUGUCGCCUAGAGGGGGGUGAAUAGGCGAAUAAAACUUAUUACUUUAAAACUUAAAUUCUUACUCUACUCGAAGACUUAAUACGCAGUGGAGUGAGAAGACUCUUCGAGUAGGUUGCAGCGGAAUCGGAGAUCCUGUCUCAAAAUGUCCUGCACUUCAAAUAAAACUUAUACCACGGAUAAGUAUUGAAGUGCAGAUAUAAUAUCGAGUAAGACAGAGAGUCAGGAUACAAUACAGAGCACACAGACGCAAGGAUUUAUCCCGAGGUUCGGCCAAGCCUGAAAUGCUUGCCAAGUCCUCGUUGGAGUUAGCCACACCUGGGCUUGGAGUCUAUUUCAACUCCUUCCUCCGUUUGCUCAGAUCUGUCAGUAUGACAGAUAGAGCCUUUCAGUAUUGAGUUGGGUUACAACAACACCGUGGCUGCUUACAAACUUCUUGGCAGCACCUCGGUAGAGUAACGAUACGCUCAAGACCUUGCUCUAGCUCUUAGCAGCACUUCUCCUCUCUCUAAAGGCUUAUAGCUGUGCUGAUGUUCUCGCAGGGGGUUUGCCGCAAAAAUCGCUCGUGCGCGCCGCUGCCCAGUCCAUGCCGUCGUCGGCCAAGAAGGAAAGGAGCGCCUCCGCCCUGCUCCCAAACAAGAAACCUUCAAGACGGCGGGGACAAGUUCAGGAAAAAAUUCCUCUACAAGAAACAAACAACUAGGCAAGAGACGAGCAUCCACACAAGAAUUCCUCUGCAGCUCGGGAAACCGAUCGGUCGCGGCAUCCUGUGCUGGGUAUAUAACGGUAGAAAGGGCAGUCUACAGCAGGGUGGAAAGAGGCAGUGAGAGUGAUUGACGUCGUGUGCAGUUUUUUUUUGUUUUUUUGUUCUUUCUUUUGUUUUGACCUGUACACGUUUACGGAUUCCUAGAUUUUUUUAAGCGGAUAUGGCUUUAGGAUUUGCAGGCCUAUCCCUGUAAAACUCUUCGUUAAGCCCUUCAAAGAGAAUUUUUUACAUGAGCAUUACCUUGUAGACUUGUAGUUGUAGAGAGUGAGGUAAAUGAUCCAAAGGUGAAGUUUUUACUACUAUAUGAGAGAGCAAAGUAGGUGUCCAUAAUAUGACAUACAUUUGUACAUAAGCUAUCACGAUAUUAUUGGUGUGAUUGGUUGCCCAAAUGGGCACGGCCAGACCCGGCGGCACGUGCGUUGACCACGCUUGAAACCAUGAUUGGUUACCUGUACGUCAUCGGCGUAGCCUGCACGCGCAGACGCAACCUAGGUAGGAAACCACCCGUAAGCCUGCAUGGACAGAGACGCGAGCGUGCAGCCUUCUCUACCGGACCAGGCCAAGGCGAGCCGGGCGCCCUCUAGCCCACAAACCAAUCACGCAAUAUAUUUCUGUUGCAACGCACGAACACUCACUUAGUAUAUAUAUAUAUAUAUAUAUAUUAUUUUUUAUGGUCUGUCUCACGACCUAAACGAGUUAGUAGAUAAGACGAGUCGAGUCGAGUUAACUCUAACUCUGAGUCUGAGGUACGUCGAUAUCCAACCCGGAGAGGAUAGGCAGCGUUGGUGGAAGUGGCGCUGCGGCGGUGUCGGUUGGAGAGGAGGCGGCGCUACGGCAGUAUCGGUCGAAGAGGAGGCAGCGUUCGAGGAAGCAUCUUCGUGGUGGCCAUCCGCUACUACUAGGCGUUGUUCGACUCGCUGGACACGAGCUACGGCGCGAGCUACAGCGAGGACAGCCCCGAGCGGCACGCGGUGGAGCAGCUGCUGCUAUCGCGGGAGAUCCGCAACCUGUUGGUCGUGGGCGGGCCCGCGCCCACCGACGACGUCAAGUUCGACGGCUGGCACAGUACAGGUUCCACGAGGCCUCGCUCGCCAGUAGCCCCGCGGCGCAGGCGUCCCUGCUACUCGGCAUGCCCCUCUAUGCCUGCUCACCGCGUCAGCUUCGUGGCAUUAACAGUCGUUUGUGAGUUCAGUUGCCACGCAGGGCUAAAUCAUCAGUUGUUUUGCAUCUGUAACUAGCUGCUCGAUUUGGUCACCAGUUGGGAGAAAAGAAAAGGCGGAGACAUUUCUUCUGAUCACCAGAUCACGUACUAAGAGUAGAUCCAUUUACAGUGAUAGUUACUGAUGUACGCUUUAAUUAGUUCAAUGCUAGAUCGAUCCUGUUCAGCUAUCAACCGCUUCCUUGUCCAUGGUUUCUUUUCAUUUUGGUGCUUUGUCUAAUCGCUUUUCCUUCAUUACAUAGAUUGUGCCCUGCCCUUUAUACGUUCUAGUGACGAUUCUUGCUGAGGAUAUAGCAUAGUUUUCCUGUAAAGUAGCUAGCUAUCAAGCAUUUGUGGCUACAUCGAUGACACCUUAAACCCAAUCCAUGUUUAGAACACUUUUUUUGCAUCCUAAAAUUCAUGUGACAACUCAAACUAUUGUACUAGUCCACUGUCCAUGCUGAUUAUACAGGAUAGCGAUGAGUAUUUGUGCAAUUGUUGUUUACUGAACUUCAUUUGGGUGUCCUUACUUGACAUCACUCUUCUUGUGUGGGCAUGCGAAUCUGGUCGACGAGCAAACAUGGCGGCCAAUGCAGAUCAUAUCAGAGCUGCGUCAGCCCAAUAGGCCUAAAUUGGUGUUUUAAAAAUUUUAGGGGACAUUUAUUAGCAGAUUGUUGUGGUUUUACAUUUUUUAGCAUAAUUUUGUUUUCAACAAUCCCCAAUAACAGAUUUUGAGGUAAAAAAUUUAGUGAUCUCUUGGAGUUGUGCUAUCAUAAGUUGCAGAACACGAACGCCAGAUAAACAUCGAUAGCAGAAAUGAAUUGUCAGAAAAAUACAGAUAUUACAUUAUUCUACGAGGGUGGGUCAAAGCAACUUGCCUCUAUACUAGAGUAGUUUAUGAUUCUUCUAGUGUAGACCAAAAAAUAAUCCUAGAAGUAAGCUUUUAAAAUUCCAAUUCACUUCCCCCCCUCUCGGGGCUAGGAGCCUAGGACCCAUGUGUCCCCUCUACAUGAUUAAAGAUUACAUAUUUAGAAACAGUCCAUAAAUGAUUUUAGGUUCUUUCAUAGAAAGGACAUUAGGUCAAAACUUGUUAAUACAUGGUACAUCAUGUAAUAAACUAGAAACCAUGAUUUAGGAGUAGCUAAUUCAAUUUUAUUGUCGUUUGGCUAACAGUAGCGCACAGGCCAUUGUUCCCUCACCCUGGCUUACUAGGAUGUUGACAACUUCCUCUAUUCUAAAUUAUAAGGAUUUUUUGAUAUAAUGGUUUUCUAUGCAUAUAGACAUAGUAUAUAUUUAAAUACAUAGAAACAAUCAUGAAUUUUAAAAGGUUAAAUUAUUUUGUAAUUUAGAAUGGAGGGUGUAGCUAAUUAUACUGAAUCUUAGGAAAAUCAUACUGAAUAUCAAGGGGUACUGUAAACUGUUAUGCCUUACAGUCUGGUAUUUGGGAGUUGGGACUGAACUCUAAGAAGGUUGUCUGUAGUGUCUAUUUCAAGUUUAAAUUUACAGCUUAAUUCAAAUCUUAAUCAAUGAAUAAUAUUGGUAGGAGAAUGCUUGACCAUAAUACUGAAAAAAGUUUCAGAAGGCUCAAGACACAAGGACAUGGAGACCUUGUUCUGUGUCUACACUAUAGGGUUAUAUAUUCUUUCUAAUAACCGAGUUAUGUGGAAUAAAUCAAGUGCGGAGUUAUCUGAAACAAAUAGAUGAGUAAGUAAUCACUAUCACUAAGCUAAUUUACAGUUCCUGAUUUAACUCUAAAAUUACAUCUUACUACAGUCUUAAUCAGCAAAGAAUACUGCCAGAGUAAUACUUAUUGGUCACAAUGAUGAAAAGAGUUCCAAAUGCCUCAAGACACGAUAACAUGGAGACCUUAUGCACAUGUCUGCAAUUUGGAGUUUUCUAGCCUUUGUGACUCUUGAAAUAUUUUGAAUAUGAAUCGAUACGAAGUUAUAUACGAAUAUUAUAUGAGACGGUAAAUUAGUAUCACAAAACAAUCCAACUAAACAGACAAGUACAAGCUGAUCAUAUUCAAAUUACUAUUGCAGAUACCCAAGAUUUAAGCUGUUUGGAGGGCAACUCAAAGGAAUAGAGAUGAUAAACACGAUUAAAAGGCUGACAGAUAGUUGUUUUUUUCUGUAACGAUAAGGUUACUCCAUGACUCCAUGUAAUCCAUUUACAUUACAUUUCGGCGAGCCAAACACCACCUAAAAAUUCUACUUAAAAGGACGUCGGUCUUAUAUUUCUAGUCUGAAUUUACAACUUAUCCCAAGUACUUAAAGCACCUAUAGUAAUAAUCUACUCCCUCUAUUCCAAAUACAAAGUCGUUCUUGUUUUUUAGAUACAUUAUUUUUAUUAUAUUUAUAGACAUAAUGUAUAUCUAGUUAUAUAACAAAAGUUGUGUAUCUAGAAAAGUCGGACUUACAAUUUUGAAUAUGGGAAGCAAUAAUAGAACUGUAUAUUUAUCAUCUAACACUGAAUUGUAAUGUUUUUUUGGUUGGAAUUGAAUUCCAUUCUAACAAUCAUAAUUUAGACAUAAACUAAUUAAGUUAAUAUAUUUGUAUAUGUAAUUUAUUUGUAUAUUAUUUUAAAUCAUAUGAUAGAGAUAGUUAUAAAUUACACUUAUGCAUAGUUAUAAAUUACAUUUAUGUGAUAAAGAAGCAAGUAGAAAAGUAUGCUAUAAAUUAUACAUUAGAAAAAUAACAUCUAUAGAAUCAAUUUUCUUCUCUCACAUCAUAAAUUUAAAAUAGGCUUAUAUAUAAAUUUUGAAAAGUUAUGAAAUGUCAAAAUCUAAAAAAUAGUCUACUCAAUUAGUUAGAUCUAAUUUCUUAAAAUGAAGGGAAAUAAAAGGGCCCUACAUGGCGAGCUCCUGUUCGGCUGUCAUUGCAGCUGCUACUAUGAGCUGUGGCUGCAACCUGCAAUGUGCUUCCUGGUAUUACUGUAGUACCAGCUACAGCGAACACCACAGGUCGUCCAAUCCCAUUCUCAACGGCCUUCCAGGACAAGCGCACCGUUAAACGCCCGGACGCGCGCGCUGGGGGUGCAGUAUACGCUGCGUCGUGGUCGUUGCUUAACCUGAACGCAUGAACGACGGUUGCGGGGGCUGAGCAGGUCGCCUGAACUGCUUCCAAGUUUCUGGUGAGUGGUGAAGCAGCGCGACUCGUCAGAGUCGCAGUGAGCGUGCGGGCUGAAGAGGCAUUUCAUCAGUGCUGAGACUGCCUCCAACAAGUAGCAGCCAUAUUGGCCAGCUAUUUGGAUGUUUGCAUGUCCAUGCAGUUUUAGUUGGCCAGCUAAAAUUAUUAACUUUGCAACAGACCAUGCAAAAUAGCUGGACAUCACAAGUAGGAAAGAAGGUAAAAGUGAGCCGUACAUAACAGAUGCAUAUGGGGCCAAUUAGUCAGGGACAUAGACAUCAAAUUAGUUGGCGUGUGUCGCGGCAGCCAUUCUACCUUUCCUCUCUUUUGGCUACCAUUUUUGCUGCCGCAUAUGGCUGCCUCGUUGGAAGGCUACAGUGCGGUAUGAACAGGCAAAUUGCUUUUGCAUGGCGGAAUGCCUGGCCCGUUGGAGUCAGCCUGAUCGCUGAGGAGGUCCAUUACACCUUACACGGGCCUGUGGCCGUGGUCCUCUACUAAGGGCUUCCUCUGCGGCUCAGAUUCGGCCCAUCCGCUGCGGCAGCGCUGAGUGGGAGAAAACCACGUCGUACUCCGACGCGGAUAGCGACGGUUUCUUCUGCUUCAUCACAGAUGUGAAGAUUCAGUUUCUUGUGCACAAGCGGUUUCUAUAUUUCCUCGUUAAAUCGUUUGCCAUAUUAAUAAAAAUAUAUGAGUGAUGGAACGAGUAAUACGCAUAUAAAAGCAAAAAAACUACAGUUUAUAUUCUGCAUGGUAAAUACCCUUAAUAAUCUCUCCCUAGUCUCUUCACAAACCCAAUAUCUUAAUAAUCUCUUACAAACCCGGUAGCUGAAUAUACAGCCAGAUUCUGAACGACCAGAUCAUCGUUAAGAGAGGGAUUUAUAAGGGUCUAUUCAGAUCCAUUAGCACUAAAAAUUAGCUAGCUAGUUAUUAAUUUUGAAGACGUUUUUAUCAACAGUUGGUUGAAUAGGGAGGUGAAUAUGAUCAUCCAUUAGUAACUCUAAACCUGCAAAUAAAACUAAUCGUUAGCAUUUUAACUAAUGAUUAAUAUGCCCGUUUGGAAUCGCUAGUAUUAAUUUCACCUGCUAAUUUUGAAUGCUAAUAGGUUCGAACAGAUCCUAAGCAAACAAAAGAAAACAACUUUCCAGUAUAUUUUUUUAAGACUCAAAUGGCUUUCUCGCCUGGGAACAGGCAGUUCAGUGUGUUCAUGACAGCGACGUGUUCUUGAGAGUGCAUGAUUAGUUUGCUGCGAUGUCGCUCUGAUUCUCAGGGCAUGUACGUUUUUAGUUCUUGUUUAAAAGAACGCAUCCCGGCCCUUCCGACGACCCAAACUGUACAGGCAACAGACAACACGGUCCAGAUGGAGUCGGUGCACACGUACAUGUUGUCUCCUCCUCAGCUCGUUUAGUUAUAACACACCACCACCAUAAUAAUCAUCAUUAUCUGGAUCACUUUCUGAAUUAUUCAGUGCCUACAUAUAUGUUUAUUCGGUUGGUUAGUUUGCUGCGGUUGUUGAUUAGAGAAAGAUGGAGGAACUAUGGGAGAGACGACACUGACAGCAUUUGAUUAUCGAGAUACUACUAUAGAUGUUAACAUUUGGUCUGCAUGCCCGUCUGUGACCCAAUAGCGCUUCAGAUUUUCACUGAAGUAACCACAAGUACAACCAAUAUGAUCGCAGACCAUAUUAUAUGCCUUAUUUAAACUGCACUCAUGCAAGAGGACUCAAACAAAGUACAAGUGUCUUCAAACAGGCUGACCCACUGUCUCUAUACUUCUCAACGUUAUAAGUUCAUAACAGACCGCUAACCAUUUUAAUAGAUAUAACCAGCUUGGAUGGAAAAAAGCUUCGGUUUAAAGCCAACUAUUUAGACUGUUGCAGCUGCAAUCUAUAGAGACAAAUACUGUAGAAGCAAUAGAAGCUAAUACGAAUUAAAAUCAGGCGAAUAAAUUGACAACAUCUUUUAGUUUUAAAUAUGUUGACGAUACAAAUUGUAUUCAUGGAUUAUACAUGACUUGGAUAAAGCUCCCAACCUACAACAACCUUAUGUAUUCGAGAAAUUGUCAUGUCUCAAAAUCAAUUUCCAUAAAAGCAAAAUUGUUUUGCUUCAACAAAGCUAAAAUUGCUAAAUACCCCUUAUAAAGAUGUCUUUCGCUGCAUCACAUGUAAUUCCACAUCUUAGUAUUUAGGUAUCCCCAUAUCUACUAUAGGAAGUCCGAAAAUGCCAACUGUUUCGAAAUGGGUAAGAAGAACCUGGUAAUUUAGAUGUUGGACAGAGCGGUGAGAGAUUUCAAUGGAGGUAGGAUCUGGUAAUUUAGAUGCUUGAUAUAUGAAUCCAGCAUUUAGGGUCUAUCAGGUGUAGUUUUACUGGAUCUAAAUCUAUCAAGAACAGAUCUAGAUUCGUCCUUUUCUCUUGAACGCUUCCAUCUCCAUCAGCUCCAACGUGGAUUCGAUCCACCAAAACCUCAGAUCUAGCCCCAAAUUCAUCAAAUUGAUGGAACAAUUGAAGGGGUGCUCUAUUGAAUCCAACUUUCGUCGAGUUGGAACAAAGAUUAAGCAUUUGAGUGGUAUGAGAGUUGAGGAACAUCACACACAAGAGUUGAUGAUCCAUUUCUAGUAGCUCUAUAUACCCAAGUAUUUAAAGAUCACUCGUUUAUUAGCGUAGGUGCUUUGUGAAGUGAUUAAGUCAGUUAGACCGCUGCUUAAAGCUCUCGCUCUAUGUUUAGGUCUAGUACUGCUUGACAGCUUGAGUGAUGUUAGAACACCUCUAUCCCCUUGGUGUUUGCGUGCACCAUUGUACUAGUUAUAUUGGAAGAGCUUAUAGUCUAGGUCACACUAACCGCUGCCAAGUACUUAAAGAGCCAGAUACUCUUGUAAAGUGUUUCUUUAGGACGAAAUGGACAUAGACACUAGUAAGUAGGGCCUAUUUGAAGGGCAAAAAAGUAUAUUCGAACUAAAGUAUUCUUGUAUGGAUAUGUAGUUGUCUUGUUGCUAAAGACAGACUCUUUUUUUGGGAUAGAUUCACGGUGAAAUUUGAUGUCCACUGGUGUAGCUGCUUCACGGCUAAUCUGAUAUCCCGAUUUGUUUUGUUUAAUAUGAAGUUGUCCUAAAUAAGCCCCUCACGUCUAGAUCCAGAUCUGGAUUUGAUGCUGACUGCUGUGCUGGCUAACCCCUCCGUCACUUCGUUUCACUGCCAGAAAGCAAAAUACUACUACUAACUAGGUAGUACAGAUAAUACGAGAGCCAUUACAUAAUGUUCGUAGGCUCAUGGGCCUAGAUGACCAGGGGAAUAAUCGGCCGCCAGCCGGUUGAUUGCUGUGAUUAGGUGUGAGGAGGGGCUCGUUGGCCGUUGGGAGAAUGCAGAGGCACGGAGGGGCCGAGGGAAAAAAAAACACACUCCCUUGUCGUGUUUCUGCAAUGAGAAAAAAAAAA